AAUGGGGGUACCUAACAACCACUAGAGCCUGCAAAUAGCAGAAUCGUGACCCGGAGCCACGGAGGAACAGAGAUUUUUCGGUAUGCUUCACGUCCAGCCGGUUCAGCAUGAUCGCUCCAAGGCCAAUGGGACGAACACAGUGCAGCUGAAAGCAACAGCGUCAACAGAAUGCAGAGUAUUAAGUUUCCACAGGGGCAGAGCCGCCAUGCCUGAUGCCAAGACAGGUCCCAAUCACUGAAAGAAACACCACAGGAACAAGUACAAAGUAUAACGUUCAGCCUCAACUGGCGUGCACACCAGGUUCAUCACACAUACAGACGGUACUUAGUUGGUCACGAUUCGAACAUACAGACCACACGCAUAGCACACUUAAGGGGUGGGGCAGUACCAACUCAAAGGAGCCGACAAUGGUCCAGUGCGGCACUGCCCAGAAGGCAAACACACCCACGUCCAGAUAUAGUGGCAGUAGGCACUGCCCGACAAUCUUUAUUCAUGCAGUAACCAGAUAUAGUGGCAGUAGGCUGAGCCCACGUCCAGCAGUACCCACAAUAGGUGUGCUUAAUCGUCGUAGUUGUGGCGACGGUGGUGGUGGUGGUGCUUCUCAUAACGCUGCUUCUUCUCGUCAUCGGAGUCAUCAUCCUACCAAGUGGCACCAACAAAAAGUUAGUAUGGGAGAGAAAGUUGUAUUCUAUUUUUAGCACUAUUGAAUCAUUUGUGCCAGCACUGCAAACAGAAUACUUGAUUCCUUAAGAAAUUAGCCUUUGCUCAACAAAGAGAAUAUGCGCUACACGGAGAGCAAGAUUUACAAGCUUGCCAGCAAUGCAUGAGUAGAGGGGGGAGGGGGGGGGGGGACAGCUCAUUUCCACUGCACCUUUUAAGAUCAUACACAUCAAUUUCGUGCUGUGAAUUUAAAAUUUUUCAAUUUUUCAACCUAAUUUGAAGACUUAUGCUUGCCCAAAUGCAAGUGUUAUGAAAUAUACUGCAUAAAAACCAUACGUCAUCGACACCACAGCUGAAGCACAGGGCUGCACUUCUACAACUCGGUAUUCAAUACAAAUGAACAGCCGUUACUGAUCUUUUGUUUAACUAGACUAUUUUAGGGUGAAAUCAAUAUGUCAUAUACCCCACAGUUUGUAUGGGACUUCAGAGAAAUACUACAGAACUCGAUCAGUAAGAUAGUUAUGCACCCUAAAUACCACGCAUUUUCAGACACUAGAAGCACUAACAAGCAAUUCAAAAUGGAUCAGCUUAAUACAGAAUUUUCCUCACAACAUGUUUCUAACACUGGAUAAAACUUAUUAAAACACCUUAAACCUAUAUUUGUAUCAGCGGCAUUUAUCUUCAAGCUACUUUUGCACCAAAAACAUAUGUUCUGAAUUUUAGAUUCACAAGCCUCUAUUCCUUCUACCCAACAUAAUUUUGAUAUGUUCCAUGACACCUGUUAUCAGCUAAACAGUCAUCUAUUCUCAAAAGUUCAUCUAUUGUAAGGCCUAAUACAACACACAAUUAAGUCUCCUGCUUUUCCUCUAAAAUUCAUCACAUGAUACAUUAUAACAUGCAUAAGCACAACAAGGUAAUUCAGGUAGAUGAAUAAAUGUCAACACAGCCCAAUUCAAAGGGAAAGGGACUUACAUUCUUCUUGCGACCAUAGCUCCCCUGGUACUCCUCUCCGCCACCAUAACUCGGCCUCUCAUACCCACCACUUUGAUACUCCUUCCCAUAUGGCUUCGGCUUUCCAUACCCAGCGGAGCCGUACACACCUUCAUCCUCAGACGCCUUCUUCCCAUACCCAUACCCAGAACCACCAUAGCCCUCCUCCUCAUUCUUCCUGCCAUAGCCAUACCCGGAGGAACCGUAGCUCUCCUCCUGAGUCUUCCUCCCAUACCCACCACUGCCAUACUCCUCCCCACCCUGCGGCCUGCUGCCGUACCCUGAUCCGUAGCCCUCCUCAGCCUGCGGCUUCCUGCCGUACCCGGACCCAUACUCCGAACCGUAGCUCUCCUCUACUUGCGGCUUCCUCCCAUAACCAGAGCCGUAGCUCUCGGCCGGCGGAUCAGCGCCGUACCCAGAUCCAUACACUGCCGACCCAUAACCCUGCUCCGGCCGGGCCUGGCCGCCGUAGCCAGCGCCGUACCCGGCGGCCCCGUAGCUCUCCUCGGUCUGCGGCUUCCUCCCGUACCCAGAGCCGUAGCUCUCCUCCUCUGGGUUCUUCCUACCAUACCCGGACCCGUAGCCAGAUCCGUAGCCGCCGCCCUCCUCCGCGGCGGGCUCGGGCCUGGAUCCGUAGCCGCCGCCGUAGGACGGGUGCUGCUCCUGCUGGGGGCGGAACCCGUAGCUGGGCUUGGCCUUGGCGUGGUGGCCGUAAGGGGACGGCUCGGACGCGGAGUAGUGGGGCGCGUCGUACGAGGUGGAGGGCUCCGAGCACGGGUGGCAGGUCUCCUCGGACGGCGGCAGCGGGCGGCCGUAGGUGACGAAGAGGUCGUAGCCGCCGCCGUACGGCGUGGGGUCGAACUCGUCGAAGUCGUCCGCCUCCUCGGCGGCGCCGCCCCGGGAGCUCUCGUAGUACGCGGACGCCAUGGCGGAUCGCGCCGGCUGCUCGAUCGGGCGGCAGGCGGCGAGCGAGGGUUUGGGGAUUUCGGUCCGGAGUGCGGGAUGGAAAUGGAAGCGUGGCUGCUUGUACCGCGUCGUGGCAAGCGCGUUGCGAGCUGGGGGUGGAUGGGAUCUGGGGAGACGUGGGGGGCACGUGGUGGCGGUGGGCCGGUGGGAAGACAGGCAGCAGGGAGCGCUGGAUGCGCGGCGCGGGGCAAACCGGGGUUUCCUCCCGAGGCUGCUGCGUCGGCCGAGUGACUCGGAGGAGCGGACCGUGGGACACCGUAGGGAGGAGGAUCUUCAAGCGUUUAGCGUCGUUGCCCACGGAUAGCUUCUGAUUGGUUGGCUGGUUCUACCGCAGCCAGGCUCCCGGGAUUGGUUUCGCUGGAGCAGCGCCAGAGCCUGGUUCCCACGAUGCAAACUGCGCCUCCGAGCCAGGCUCCCUUUAAAUGGGCGGGCCUGGCUAGACGCGUGCCUUGCUGCACCGAAACAGAGACGAGCCGUGCGGGCAGUAGGCCAACCAAUUGCACAUCCUACCAGCGUGCAAACGAGCAACCAAUCACCGUCGGGUCGCAGGCGUUGGGCCUGGCUCCCGGGUGCGAGACAGGCUCCGCUCAGACGAGAACCAAUCACUUGCCGUUGGACAACGUAGCACAUCCAUGUCAAAUCUGGGUGAUCCGACAAACUAGCUGUACAGGCACAACGACCAACAAGCUGUUAAAAUUUGAUCCCAUCAACCGUGUCACAUCGCAUCCAGCUGCGAGGCCAUUAGAGUUCAUCGCAGUUCUUCUGCAACUGAAGAGAGGGAAAUGCAGGAGUUUUUCUUCGAUUCAGGGCACAACCCAUUGUGUUAAAACCUUGCACAGUUGCACCAGCUUGCUGGAGUCUCAGUUAGUGGUCUACUCCUACUCUCAAUAUGUCAUUUGUUGUACACAAAGAAAAAGAAUAAAAGAAGAGAGGCUCGGCAGCUUUCCCCCUGUCAAGAAUGGUGAUUUUAAGUGCAAAACAACAGAUGUUCUUUUGUAAUCUAAUUGCCAAUUACAUCAAAUUUGUUGGGAUGUGAUAUACACAUGGGCCUGCAAGUGAGACUCGAGAUUGAAGCUAAGGGCGAAAUGACCUUUCUGUCGAAGAACAUUACAGUUUGAUGGGUCCUUAAAGAUGAAUACUCCAUUAGGUCGAGGACUAACAAAAGUAAGGCCUAUGACCUGGUUUACCUGGCAUGUCAACUUCACCAACUUCGUUUCCCCCUUUGUUUUCUUUUUGUUCGAUUGAACUGUGUUAUUUGGGUUGGCUUUUGGCAGAUGGAUAGACUCCUCUGGCUUCAAUGGAGAACCUAAUUGUGUAUUUUGAGGCCAAAGGGACCAACAUUUCGCCUGUUUUUUCAUCAGAUAUGCAUUUGACGUACUGUACAAAACAAUGGUAAUAGUUACAGAUGGUCAGUUGCUUGAAGCCGGGAAGGCAAGACAGACCAAUGCACUCUCUUUUUGGUUUGUGUCGUCAGCUGAUACUAACCACCAUUUUCUUAAUCAUCUGUUUGCUGUGUCCGCUUUCUGGUAGGUUGGUUAGCACAAUAAUGGUGUCAAAGCAGCCAUGAUCUCUGAAAAUGAUGGCCGCAACCUUGGAUCCCUGCAUGAAACAGUAGACAAAACAGAAUUGAGAAACUAAGUAGGGUGCAUAAAAGAUUGAUAAAGACAAAAGGAAAAGCACAGAGCAUUCAAUUUAAAGAAAAUGUAACUGAGUGUUCAGAAUACUUGCUUUUUCAGUAUAUCCAAAAUAUUAUGUUUUAUCUCUCUUCACACAGUUAAUUUUUUUCAAAGGAUAUACUCCAACGAUGCAUAAAUUGAAUGUCUGCUUUUACUUUCACAAUUUCAUGAUAGUAUUUAUGUGACAGAAAAAUUAUCAAUUUACAUUGCAACUGUUUAAGUAAAUAACAACACAUCUAAGGCCUCAACAAAUUUUGUAACACUUUAUAAAUAUUAAAGUUCCAUUGCAGCCCAGGAGUUAAAGCAUACUAACGUCUGCCAGCAUCUCUUGAUUAUCUCUGCUACAGCAGGAUCCACACUGCCUGGAAUAUCAAGUCGUCGGUGCUGAAAACCAACAGCUCCAACAACCUGCAUGGGAUUCAUACCUUCCCAUGGCUGUAGUAAUGUACAAAGUUCCCAUAAUAUGACCCCAUAGCUGAAAACGUCACACCUGAAAACAAAUGCACAAUGCAUUCAUCAAUCACAAAACCAUUUCGAAUCAAAGAGAGGGACAUGUAAAACCUACUUCUCAUCUGAUGGUUCAUUUCGAAGUACUUCUGGUGCCAUCCACUCCGCCUGCAUUUGAUAUAGCGCAGACAGUUAGCAGCUUCAGUAUUUAGCCUAAAGCAGCUUGCGAGUUUUUGAUUAAGCAAAUCUAUUCAAAGUGCAAAAUCUUAUAAAAGACUGCUGAUAUGACAUCAUCAAAGUACCAAAUUCUAACACAGAUACAAGGAGAGAAAUCAGGAAGCUUAGAAAAGACUGCUAAUUUGACAUCAUCAAAGUUCCAAAUUCUAACAGAUACAAGGGAAAAAGAAAACAGAACUGGCUAAAUACUGUAAAUGAUUCAGAAUCUAAUGACCCUCUCCAAUCCAUCUCAUCCUCACGCACACGCAUGACAUGAAAGAAAUUAUAGUUUGCAAACAACAGCAGUCAAAAUACAAAUCACAUGUGCAAGUUUACGUUGAUAUCAAGAUAAAGUGAAUUAUGAGUUUUAAACAAGCUCCUGGAGCUGGCCUGCACGAUUACAGACCCCACUAGCUACACAACUUAAUGUUUCAGCAAAAUUUUUCAGAACCUAACAAUCCUCUCCAAUCCAUCAAACCAUCAGAGAGUAAAUUUUAGCAUAAUCAAUAGACAGACCAGACAUGCAAGUCUAUACUCAUCUCAACAUAAAAUGAAUUAUGAGUUUCAAAUAGUAGGCAUCUAGCCCUGACAAACACGAUUGCAUGCCCCAACCCUUCUAGCUACACAUAUCAAUCCUAAUGCUAAAAAUAAAAGUCAAUAGCGAGCAUUUCAAUCAUUUUCCUACUAUUGGGAGGUAUCCUAUAUAGAUUCACACAACAUGCAACAGAAAUGAGUUUUACAAAUGAGCAGAACUAAAAGGCAAGCCAAAUAUAAGCUUGGUGUUUUCAAGAACAAGUUUCUUAUUAUAAGAAAUGGAAAAUGUUUGAUUUAAUAUAAUUAAGCAAGCUUACUGUUCCGGCUGUGGAUCUUGAGGAGAGGAGGGUAUUAUGCUUUAUACGUGAUAAACCAAAAUCGCAAACCUAAACACAAGACAAGUAAUAAUUGUUAUAUAUCUAGAAAUGUCCAAGACCCAAAGUGUACCACUGUUAAAGGACCUGUUUAUUACCUUCACAACCCAAUUUUUGUCAACAAGUAGAUUUGGAGACUUCAAAUCUCGGUGAACUAUGACAGGGGUGCAAUUGUGUAAAUAAUUCAUGCCACGGGCCUGUGGCAGACAACAACCAAGUAUUAGAAAAGACAGAGCGAAGUUCUCAAUAUGAAUGAGACAAAAACAAAAGGUAACUUCGGCAUACCACAUCAAGUGCCAUCCUUAGACGCCUUCUUUCAUCCAACUGGUUAUUGGGCCGAUGGAUCAACCGAAAUAAGCUACCUCUGCAUUGUCAGGACUACAGUUAGCAAUUGUGCAUUUAUGCAAGUCAACUUGUACAGAAACCACAAAGAUAAUACAUAAUAACUGACCGCCCUGAUAGCCUAUACCUGAAUAAUGCUUUAAAUACUAUGCAUAUGCAGCUACAAACGACAAGAUCUUGUACUCUCAUUAAGGUCCUGCAAUGUGUUUAUAUUUUAAACUAUUCUUAUACAUCUGGGGGGGAGGGGGGGGGGGCUUAUAUAUAUGGUCAUGUAUGACUUGUACAAGAAUACAAAUACAAUUCUACACAUAUCUCUAAUACUAUGCGCAUAACCUCCCAUUUUCUUAGAAGCAUUUUAGUGCACUAUUCCAAAACUCUACAGUAAUCAGUGCUUUUGUAUAAAUAUGCAGAGAAAAUUCAAGGCAAGCGAGAGGCUGAGAUUAAAUGGUACUUUCCCCACUAAUACUUUCUAGGAAGAGUACUUUGGCCAUUUCAAAAAGACUGUCAUUUGACAAAGCUGGACCAGCGGAAAUACAAAAGGCAAUCCAUCGACAGUUCCAUAUUUUAUACGAGAGGGAUUAGCUUUGUCAAGGGGAAAAAAUCAAUGGUGAUGAAUCAAUAAACUACCAAGUAAAGGUAACAAAGAACCAGAACGGGAGAAAGAGGAGGACUGAAUAGAGGAGCAGAAGGAUGGCGGAAGCAAAGGGUGUAGAUUUUUGCCUGAGUAUUGUAGAUUGAGUAUUCCAGUUCGAGGAUUUGAUCAUUUUACAAUCCACCCCCCCCCCCCCAAACAAACACAAAAGUAAUAACAGGGUAACUUUGUGAUUUGUGAAAUCUUAUCACAUUUUUUGCUCUGACAAUUUCAAUAAUUUAACCACAAACUUUUUAGAUUCUUUUAGAGGACUUGAUGAUUUCACACACCCCCCCACAAGUAAUAACAGAGUAACUUUAAGAUUUGUGACAUUACAUUUUUUUUUACUCUGGAAUAUUCAUUAGUUUAACCACAAUAGUAUCUGUACAAGACACUAUACAUAUGUUACAUCCAUUAAGUUCUUUUAUUUAUAGAACACAUUCUUCAAAAAGGGGGAUCAAACAUUAUUUAACAAAGAUUGGCACUGUCAUUAUAAUCCAUGAAGUAGUUGAAGAUUCAAAAACUAAAAUAAAAUAUCAACAAGGAAGAAAAGGUACCUUGGAAGAAAUUCAGUCACGAUGGAUAGAUGAGGUACACGAGUGACAGCCCCCAUGAAAAGAACAACAUUAGGAUGACGCAAUCUUUUCAUUAUUCCCACCUAAAUAGAAAUGAAUAGUGUCAUGAAUAAAAAUAAAAAAAUUUAUAAAAGAGUUGAAUAAUCAAUAAAAAGUAGACAUGCAGACAGGUAAUCUCAUGUCAACUUAUCUUGUGAUGAAAAUGAGUUUCUACUUUAAAUUAUAAAAAAAUGUUUGUUCAAGUGGACUAACUCUAAUUUGUUGAAUUUUUGUAGUCCAAUUCAAAACUAUGCAUAUCAACAGAGCUUGGUUUAUUAUCAUGCUUUUCAUUUCAUGCCAUACCAUGCCAAGAAUGCCAGACAAGCACUAACUUAUUUUGUGACCCAGAUGUGUUUGAAGUACCACUCAAAGUGCAGCUAGGUCCUCUAGUAGAUUUUGGUACAUUGAAUGACAAAAUGAUUAAAGGUUUAACAUCUUUGUUAAAGAUGUUUAGAUGGAAUAUAUUCUUAUGAUAAUAUUUUUGACACUGGGUCAUAAGACUUGUAUUAACUUAAAAGCUCAAAUUGAUUUAUGCAAGCAAGUUUGCGAUCCCAUAAAGCAAAGUUGUGAUGUAUGAUAAGCAAUUUGAAGUAAGGGUUGAAGACAUGGUUUCAUGCGUGAUGAGAUGAUCUCUAUAAAAAGCUUGUUGGUAGGAUUGGAUAACGAGCCAGCUCAGCUUGUGCCAGCUCGUUAUUAUAACGAGCUAGCUCGGCUCGUUAACUAAAUGAGGUAAAAAUUGAGCUCGGGUCGGCUCAUCAAAAGCACCAGCUGCUAGGGGCGGAUUUAGAGGGGGUGCAGGGAAGCAUGGAGCCCCCCUACUGUCGAAAACUCCAUUGGAGGCAAAGGGGAGUUGGUGGAGGAGAGAGAGAAAAAGAAGAGGAAAAGAGAAACAAAGGGUGGAGAUGGAGGAAGAAGGAGGGAGCCCCCCUAAACUUCAAACCUACCUCCGCCACUACCAGCUGCUCGUUUCAACUGGCGAGCCAACGCAAGACAUAAACACAAUGAAGGAAUAGAUGCAAUUUUUUUGAUUGGCAUAAAAUUAACAGCACAGCAGCAACGCAGAUGAAGAACAGACGAAUUGCCAAGGCCUUGACCCCACUCAUGAUGGCCGGGUGUACCUAGGUGACCUGCCGCUGCCACAGGACACGGCGUUCUCAGUCUUAGCUUUCUGAGCGAGCGGACGAGGACUUUGGGGCAUUCUGGAAGUGUGGCAUGCACCACAACAUAGUCAAGCAAGUCCAUGGCCCUGCUUGCCUCCGUUUUUCUCAGACACGCUUAGAUUAGCUAAAUGAAAAUUUUCUCACUUCUCGCUUUUCGCUUCUCGUAGUACAAAUCUUUAAAGUGAAUUAACACAUAAGCAAAAAUAAGCAGGAUGUUUGGUGGGAUUAUCGCUUAUUUCCACCGAUAAACCGAUUAUAAUCGGAAACAAACAGCGCCUAUGGACUUGGGUGGGUGGCUGAGGGGCGCGUUCAGGGCGCUGACUGGGCAGCGGCGAUGACGAUAGGCGGGCGGCCGCAGGGGUGCGUCGAGGACACCGACUUGGAGGACGGCGGCGGCGGCGGGUUGGAUAUUAGAGCUUGGGGAAGUGGUCGCAUCCUUGCUUGGGUGGCACAUCGGGCACAUCAACGCUAGCGGUGGCGGCUUGAUUUGGGCUAGCUGCUAUGGUUCUUUGACCUUGAACUUGGACGAUGCCUGUUGGGCCUCUAGUGGGCUAGAGGGAUAGCCCCCUUCCCGCUGUGCUGGCUCGGCUAGCCGCUCACGCUCGUUAACUAAACGAGUAAAAAUACUAGCUUGGCUCGUUAUUAAAAUACAACGAGCCGAGCUGAACUAGCUACGAAUCGAACGAGUUAACGAGCCACAAGCUAUUUGUCCAGCCCUACUAGUUGGCAGAUGAUGGGUUAUUAAAACUGAAAGCUGGCAAGCAAGACAAACAAUAUUCAAGUAUGAAUCCAAGAUCUAUGUGAAGAUACGAAUUUAAAAUGGAUAUUCAUUAUUGAUGUUAAAGCAAAAGUGAACUCAAAGUGGUAAUAUUGGAUGAAGAAGUCAAGCAAGGAACCAACAACGAAAGAUUAUCCAAAGUUUUGAUCAAGCGACUGUCGGUGUUUUACCGGCAAGUCUACAUAGGGAUACCCUAAGGUAAUAAACUUGUAGGCAGGGUGUUGCUGAGAUUAGAAACUCGAAGGUGCAAGCAACACAAGGUUUAGACAGGUUUGGACCGCGAUAUGCGUAAUACCCUACACUCUGUAUGGUGGUUUGUAUUACUUUAAAUGUGUAUUAUUUUGAGGGGGUCCCUCCCGCCCUUAUAUACUCUGGGGGAAAGAGGAAUUCUAGCCCGAUACUAGGUUAGGAACCCUAUCCGAGUACUACUUGGGCAGUUUCCUUCUGUACCGACUAGUUCUACUCGUAUCUGAGUACUUUACAAUAAAUAUAAGGUAUGGGACAUGCCUCAUCCCUUGUCCUAGAAUAUUCUAUACCAUGUGCGUAGUUCCGUGGCUCCGGAUCUAACAAGCCCCCGAGCUCUUCGUAGCCAGUACUGCAUGCUUCUUAGUACUUCUGAAGUCAUUUCGGUUUCUUCUUAAUUCCAUCUUGAAGGCGUGCUCAGAGUACUUUCUUAGUUGCCUCGAGGCUGUGAGGUGCUCACACCUUGAGUAGUUUUAAAUCUUCUUUUAUAUGAGGUGCGAUGAAAAUCGCACUUCAUAUGGAGUAGCCCUCGAACCUUAGAUUGAAUUGAAGAAUUAGGCUAAGGGUCAAAUUAGUCUUGAAUCUUUUUUUCUUAUCUUCCAAAUAUUUUUGAAAAAUAAGCCAUCGAUGACGCAUGCCCCGCAACUCCUGAGCCUUGAAUCCAAAUCCUAAAGAUUUGGAAAAAGGAUCCAAAUGAAAGUGGCAUGCCUUGUAGAAUAUUUUAACUUGAAUUGAUGGUUAAGAUAGGAAAAAUUGAUUUUGAAAUUUAAAAAUCCCCUUUCUCGGAUGAUAUCUCUGAAAAUGGUUAGGCAAAUAACUUCCCCAAAAUUUUCCUAAAUUACCGCUUAAAAUAAAUCUUGUACUGAGAAAAAUUCCUCAACUUCCGCACAGUGAAAUUGGGUCCGCCGCUGGUUAUUUAAGUGCGCGGUGACUUGGAAUUAAACCACACUUUCACCUGCCUUUUCACUGCUUCGAGCCCUUCAUCUUCCUCUGUUCUAGUGCUGCCGCCAUUUCUAGAUCUAGAUCUAGAUCUAGAAGCUGCACCACCACCUCCCCCAUGCCCCUAUGCCGGCUCUCCGCUCUCCCAUCCCUCAGCCCUCGAGCGCAUGUGAGUGAAGAGACUCGUGACAUCAAGGAUGGGUAAGAAAAAUGCGGCGAAGGGGAAGAGGAAAGAUUCCAAGGCCACCACUCCAUGGACGACUCAUGGAAGAAAAGUACGUGCACUGAGGCAGAUCUUCAAGCGUUAGUAGAUGAGGGCCUCCUGCAACCUAGAGAGAUAGUGCAGUGGCGACCGACUGAGCGAGAUGUCAGGCCAUUUGAACAUACGAAGGAGAUUGUUUUGUUCCAACAUUUCGUUGAACACGGUCUAGGUCUCCCGACAUCAAAUUUCUUCUGCGGUCUUCUCUUCCAUUAUGGCAUCGAACUUCACCACUUGAACCCCAAUUCCAUUUUGCACAUAGCUAUUUUUGUCCACUUUUGCGAAGCCUUCCUUGGCUUAGAGCCUCAUUUCAACCUAUUCUGCUACCUCUUUCACCUCAAGCCUCAGCCUAGUGAACAGAAUAUUGCAGAAGUCGGAGGAGCUGGUCUUCAGCUUAGGCAGGGCAUGGACAAAAAGUACCUUGAAUUCAAAUUCCCGACUAGUUUGUCUAGCUGGAGAGAGCAUUGGUUCUAUAUUGGAAAUCAUAAGCCAAGUCUUCCAGAGCGGACUACUGAAAAGCUGAAGAUAGCCCGUGAGUGGAGAGAGAUGCUAUACCAAGCAGAUAUGGAUAAAAUUUAUGAGUUACUUGUCAAGAUUAUGGAGCACAAUAUUGUUGGUGUCACUGGUGCCUCUGUCGUGUACUCCUGGAUGGGCAGGCGUAUUCAGCCUUUGCAGAAACAAACUUGAUCUGGUUUCGAGUAUCUUGGUAUCUCAGACCCACCUCGGUUUACUGCAGACAGGAUCCAACAAAGCGAGGUUGUGAGGCGAGUAAGCCGAGUACUGCUUGAUGCCGAGAUGGUUCCGUUGUAAGCAUCUAGGCCCUUAAGGUAUGUUUCGGUGAUUAAUGACAACCAUUAUUGUGACUAAUGAGUUUGUGCAGAUUUUUAGAUCAUUAUCGCUCAUUUGGUUAUAUGUCAAAAGAGGCCCCUAAUUUUCAUUAUUCAAAAAGGCGAUCUCGGCAUUCAACUCAAUAAUAUGUCAAGACUAAGGAUCUUUCUAGUCCUAAGUGUUAUAAGGUUGAGAAGGGCACUUAGGUUAGUAUAGGUUUUAUAGUUUUGUAGUGAUCGCACUAUUAAGAGGGGUUUAGGCUUAGUAACUUGAGCAUGGAUAUGGUCAUUUGAAAAUGGAUGCACACAAUGGUCACUCAAGUUUCUAGAAGCUCAAAUAAGUGGUUCUCAACUUAUAUCUCAAGAAAUAUUUGGAUUUCAUUCAAGACUCAAGUCAGAAAAGGCAAAAUCAGAAAAAUCCUAUUCACCGGUUUAACCGACGCUUCAACUCUUCUAUACGUCGGUUAAACAAGGUCAGCAGAGUUUGACAAGUCAAUUCACCGGUUCAACCGAUGAUAUUUGAAAAAGGUCGUCAGUGCAGUUGUCCAGAGACUUUGUUUUUUUUCAGUUGAUCAGCGGACAGCUACACUCACCGGUUAAACCGACGAUAUUUGAAAUUGGACGUCGGUGCAGUUGUCCAGAGACUUGGUGUUUCAGUUGAUCAGUGGAUGGCUACACUCACCGGUUAAACCGAUGUCACGUCGGUUAAUCUUCCCAAACAGUAACGGCUAGUUUUCAGAAGGGGAGUUUACAUUCACCGGUUAAAACGACGAUGACUAUUGGAGGGACGUCGGAUUAACCGGCGCUACGCAGUUUUCUGGCAGCUUUUUCUCCAACGGCUCUAUUCGUGUGAGCUGCCCAUAUAUACCCCUCCAAUGGGUCAUUCUACUACUCUUGACACCAGGAAACACCCAAACACACAUAAUAUAGUCAAGAGCCACCUUGAGCUUCAACAUUUCAUACACUUGUUCAUUCAAUCAUUCAAGAUGCAAGAUUAAGGACUUGAGUAGAGAGAAGCUUGUGUGCAUCCAUUCUUGGUGAUUGGUUCUUGCUCAAGUGAAGGCCUUAGCUUGUUACUCUUGGUGAUUGGCAUCACCUAGGCGAUCUUGGUGAUCGAGGUGAUUCUCGCGGAGCUUGCCAAGGAUUGUGGAAGCCCGGAGAAGAGAUUUGUACGUGGCUUGAUCUCCACCACACCGGGAUGGUGAACGGAGACUCUUAGAGAGCGCCCUCGUCUUGGUGACUUGGGAGGUGACAAUACUCUUUGUGAGUGUCACAACGUGGAUUAGAGGUGUGUGCCAACACAUCGAUACCACGGGAAAAAAUCCGGUUGUCCCUUGUCCACUUUACUUAUUCAAGCAUUAUCUUUUAUGCAAUUCAUUCAUGUGCUUGAUUUAGGAAUCACUAGUUAGCUCUACCUUGCUAGGCUUUAUUCUUUUUUCCUUAUCUAGCUUGUGUAAGUCUUUUAGUUAUCCGGUUGGUGAAUUGGAGCCUUUCUAGUUUUGCAUAGGUUAAGGUUGCUUUAUCUUGUUUAGAAAUUUAAAAAGGCCCAAUUCACCCCCCCUCCUGGUCCAUCGAUCCUUUCAAUUGGUAUCAGAGCCUCGUUGCUCAUUUGGAUCAUUAGGCUUCACCGCCUAGAGCUAUGGCCAAGAUGGGUGGUUCGCCGCCUCACUUCGAGGGCAAGAACUUUGCCUUUUGGAAAGUUCGCAUGGCCGCAUACCUUGAUGCGAUUGCCCCCGAAGUAUGGUUGGCAACUAAAGUCGGGUUCACCGGAGAUCCCACCCCCGACCAAUUAAAAUGGAAUGCUAGAGCUAGAAAUGCAAUUUUCGAAGCUAUUAGUGAGGAGGUCUUUGCUAGAGUAAAUGGCAUGGACCUAGCAAGUGAUAUUUGGAAGGAGAUCAUUGAGAUUCAUGAAGGUUCCACCAAAGUUCGUGAGCAAAAAUAUCACUUGUUUAGAGCUAAGUAUGAUUCCUUCAAAAUGCUAGCUCAUGAAAACUGCAAUGAUAUGUAUUCUCGCUUGAAUGUCAUUGUCAAGGACAUUAAUGCACUUGAAAUAUCCAAAAUUGACAGUGCAUCCAUCAAUCGCAAGAUCCUCAUGCUCCUCCCGAAGCCCAAGUAUAACAUUAUCAAUGCUAUGCUUUAAAAGGAGGAUCUCGCCACAAUGGAAGUAGGAGAACUUGUGGGCGAAAUUCGCGCUCAUGAAAUGAGCAUUCUUGGUAUGUCCGAAGAGCCAACAUCAAGCAAGUCAAUUGCUCUAAAGACCAAGACAAACAAAUCCCGCAAGCUCAAGAUGGUCAAACAAGACUCAAGCUCAAGCAAUGAAGAAGAUGAUCAUCAUGAGAGCUCAUCCGAUGUUGAAAAUGAUGGAGAACUUGCUCUCAUGAUGAGAAAGUUCACACGCUUGAAUGAGAAGAUCAAUAAGAAGGGCUUCAACUUUGACUCCAAGAAGGGAAUGUUCCGGCCAAUGGAUGUCAAGAACAAGAUUUGCUACAAUUGUGGCGAAAAAGGACACAUCCGUCCAAAUUGCCCCAAGCCGGACAAAAGAAGCAAGGACAAAAAGAGUAAGCAUCGUCAUGAUUCAAGCGAUGAUGAAGAAGAGGAGAGGAAGAACAAAAAGAAGAGAUUUGGUAAGAAGAAGACCCAUGACAAGAAGACCAAGCUCUUCCCAAAGAAGAAAGGGCACACCAAGAAAAGUUUCUUGGUGGAGAAACAAGAGUGGGUGACCGAUGUCUCAUCAAGCGAAGACUCAAGUGAUGAAGAAGACACUGUCACCAUCGCCCUCACCAAUGAAGAACCAUCUCUACCUCCGCCUCCUAUGUGCCUCAUGGCAAAAGGUAACACCAAGGUAUGUGAGGUAGAUAGUGAAGAUGAUAGUGAUGAAGAGUUUGAUCCAAAUGAAUUUACUAACCUCAUCAAUGAGUAUACAUCCGUCAUCAAGAGGGAAAAGGGCAAAGUUAAAAUUCUUGAGAGCACUCAUGCCAAGUUAGAGCUUGCCCACUCCGACUUACUUAGUAAGUACAAUGACUUGCUCAAAAAGCACAAUGAGUCACUUGUACUUGUUAAGCAAGUUGAAGAGAGUCACAAAAAGCUCAAACAAGAGCAUAGGGAGUUGGCUCACAAGUAUCAAGAACUUGAAUUUGCUUAUGAAGUAAUUGACCCAACUCUUGAGAAAGUUGUUCAUGAAAAGGUCAAUGCUUCUACUUCAUGUGAUGACCUACUUAUUGAUGCAUAUGCCACUAAUGUUGUGCCCAAGCUUGUUUCUUCUAGGGAAAAGGAAUUGAUGGAUCAAGUGGCAAGCCUCAAGAGUAGUGUGGAGAAACUCUCAAGGGGAGAAUACAUCCACAAGGAGAUUCUCUUUAACAACGCCCGUGACUAUGGUAAGAGAGGUCUUGGUUCAUUUCCGGAGCCAAACAUGGCUACAACUCCUUCUCCGGAGAUCAAGACAAGCUUCAUCAAGGAAGUGGGCUCAUAUUGCCAACAUUGCCAAGUCACCGGGCACCACACUAGGGAGUGCACUUUAUCAUCACGUUCUCUUCCUAAAUUACCCAAGAAUUACUCAUCAAUGUUCCAAAAUAAUCAUUUUCUCUUGAGUAAAGUGAAGGGCAAGGUGAAGGCCAAGUUCAUUGGCAAAAUUGCUAAGGAGUCGAAGAAGAAGCUCCCCAAGCAACUUUGGGUCCCAAAAGCUCUUGUCACACAUGUGCAAGGCCCAAAGCUUGUUUGGGUUCCGAAAACUCAAAAAUAAAUUCUCAUGUGUGUAGGUGAACUACAAAGCCGGUGGAAAAUAUUGGGUACUUGAUAGCGGUUGCUCUCAACACAUGACCGGCAACGAUAGCAUGUUCACCUCUCUUGAAGACCCCGGCGAUCAUGAACAUGUCACCUACGGUGAUAACUCAAAGGGGAAAGUCUUAGAUUUGGGUAGAAUUGCAAUUUCAAAAGACUUAUCCAUCUCAAAUGUUUUGUUUGUAGAAGCACUUAGUUUCAAUCUCAUUUCUAUUGCACAAUUAUGUGAUCUUGGACUAACGUGUGCCUUUGACAAGAAUGGUGUUGUAGUGACUCAUGAAAAAGACAAGUCAUUGGCAUUCACAGGGUUUAGGCAUGGCAAUAUCUAUUUGGUGGAUUUCUCUUCAAAGCAAACAAGCACCAUGACUUGCCUCUUCACCAAGUCGUCUCUUGGGUGGCUUUGGCAUAGAAGAAUUGCUCAUAUUGGCAUGAGCAACCUCAAGAAAGCCCACAAGAGAGGGAUGAUCACCGGCAUAAAGGAUGUCACUUUUGACAAGAACAAGCUAUGCAAAGCAUGUCAAGCCGGGAAGCAAGUUGCAACUCAUCAUCCUAUCAAGACGAUGUUGUCUACCUCCAAGCCGCUCGAGCUACUGCACAUGGAUCUCUUUAGUCCAACUUCAUACAAAAGCAUUGGUGGUAACCUCUAUUGCCUAGUAAUUGUUGAUGAUUUUUCACGUUACACUUGGGUCAUGUUUCUAGGCGAUAAGGGUGAAACUCCGGAAAUCUUCAAGUCAUUUGCAAGAAAAGCUCAAAGGGAAUACAAUUCCCCAAUUGUGAAGAUUCGGAGUGACAACGGCACCGAGUUCAAAAAUAUGAAGGUUGAAGAAUGGUGCGAUGAAGAAGGAGUCAAACAUGAGUUUUCCGCCACCUACACGCCUCAACAAAAUGGAGUGGUGGAAAGAAAGAACAAGACACUCAUCACCCUAGCAAGAGCAAUGUUGGAUGAUUAUGGCACGUCCGAGAAGUUUUGGGCGGAAGCAAUCAACACGGCGUGUCAUGCAUCCAACCGAGUGUAUCCUCACCGACUCCUCAAGAAAACUCCAUAUGAGCUCAUCACCGGGAGGAAACCAAAUAUAUCAUACUUUCGGGUCUUUGGUUGCAAAUGCUUCAUUUAUAAGAAGAAAAGGCUCGGUAAGUUUGAAAGUAGAUUUGAUGAAGGUUUCUUUCUUGGUUAUGCAUCAAACUCCAAAGCAUAUAGAGUAUUCAAUCAAACCUCCGGGUUAGUUGAAGAAACAUGUGAUGUGGAGUUUGAUGAAUCUAAUGGCUCCCAAGAGGAGGUUGUUGGCUAUGAAAAUGUAGGGGAUGAAGAGAUUGAAGAAGCCUUAAAGAAGAUGUCCAUUGGGGAUAUCAAGCCGGAGGAGGUGCAUGAAGACAAUGAUCAAGGGGGAGGAACUUCCUCAUCUUUGCCAAACACCUCCACGGCACCCCAAGUGGAUGAAGAUCAAGAUAAAGUUGAUCCACUACCUCAAGAAAAUGUGUCAACGCCAACACCCCAAGUCCAAGAACAAGAAAAGCAAAAUGUUCCACCACAAGCACAAGUCACUCAUGAUCCACCCCAACAAGCAUCCACGCAAAUACCGCUAGUGAAGCAUGGUCGCAUCUCCAAGGACCAUCCAAUUGGUCAAAUCAUUGGUAGUCCUUCCGAAGGAGUAAGAACUCGCUCUAAGUAUGCUUCAUUUUGCGAACAUCACUCGUUUGUUUCUUGUAUUGAACCCACUAGCAUAGAGGAAGCACUUGAGGACUCGGAUUGGGUGAUGGCCAUGCAAGAAGAGUUGAACAAUUUCACCCGCAAUGAAGUAUGGUCCUCGAAGCUCCUCCGAAAGACAAGAACAUCAUCGGCACAAAGUGGGUCUUUCGAAACAAGCAAGAUGAACAUGGGGUGGUGGUACGCAACAAAGCAAGACUUGUGGCAAAAGGGUUUUCUCAAGUCGAAGGUUUGGAUUUUGGUGAAACUUUUGCUCCGGUCGCAAGACUUGAAGCUAUCCGCAUUCUUCUUGCUUACUCUUCACAUCAUAAUAUUAAGUUAUAUCAAAUGGAUGUGAAAAGUGCUUUCUUAAAUGGCUUUAUUAACGAACUUGUUUAUGUUGAGCAACCUCCCGGGUUUGAAGAUCCGAGGAAUCCUAACUAUGUUUAUAGGUUGCACAAGGCACUCUAUGGACUCAAACAAGCUCCAAGGGCUUGGUAUGAGAGGCUUCGUGACUUCCUAAUCAUGCAAGGUUUCAAGAUCGGGAGGGUGGACACCACUUUGUUCACAAAAGACGUCAACGGGGAUCUUUUCAUUUGUCAAAUUUAUAUUGACGAUAUUAUCUUUGGCUCAACUAAUGAUUUACUAAGCCAUGAGUUUGAUACCAUGAUGUCUAGGGAAUUCGAGAUGUCCAUGAUUGGCGAAUUGACUUUCUUACUUGGUUUUCAAAUCAAACAAAUGAAGGAAGGGACAUUCAUCUAUCAAGAAAAAUAUACUAGAGAUAUCUUGAAGAAGUUCAAGAUGGAUGAAUGUAAGCCAAUUAAGACUCCUAUGGCUACAAAUGGGCAUCUCGACUUGGAUGUGGACGGUAAACCAGUUGAUCAAUCCCUCUAUCGUUCAAUGAUAGGGUCUUUGCUUUACCUUACCGCAUCUAGGCCCGAUAUAAUGUUUAGUGUGUGCUUGUGUGCCCGUUUUCAAGCUAACCCUAAGGAAUCACACCUUUCUGCUGUGAAUAGGAUCCUUCGGUAUCUCAAGCACACUCCUAGCAUAGGCUUGUGGUACCCUAAAGGCGCUAGCUUAGAUCUCUUGGGAUACUCGGAUUCGGAUUUUGCCGGAAGCCGUGUGGAUCGCAAGAGUACCUCCGGGGGUUGCCACUUGUUUGGGCGUUCUCUAGUUUCUUGGUCGAGUAAGAACCAAAAUUCCGUGGCUUUGUCCACCGCGGAAGCGGAAUAUAUAGCAGCUGGUGCAUGUUGUGCCCAAAUUCUAUAUAUGAAGCAAACCCUUUUGGACUUUGGUGUGAAACUGGGAAGAAUACCACUCCUUUGUGACAAUGAAAGUGCCGUAAAAAUUGCCAAGAAUCCGGUUCAACACUCUCGCACAAAGCACAUUGAUAUUCGCCAUCACUUCUUGCAUGAUCACGAAGCCAAGGGGGACAUUUCCCUUCAAGGUGUGAGAUCCGAGGAGCAAUUGGCGGAUAUUUUCACAAAACCUUUAGACGAGAGUACCUUUGUUAGGCUAAGAAAUGAGCUAAAUGUGUUAGAUGCGGCAAACGUCAUGUAAGUUGGCAUGUCAUAUAGAAAAAUGCAUACAUAUAGGACACUUGUCUAACCAUGGUAAGAUAGUGAUGAGCAAGGGUUUAGCUAGAGGUGGUGGUCCACUUGUUUUUCCUCUAGGCUUGUAGAAAGGCUCGUCAUGAUGAAGCUUUCCGUGGGAUCAAACUUGACAAGUAGAUUUUAAAUUCUCACCAUGCAUUUGCUUGACAUAUAGUUGUGCACUUCAUGUUUAACUUUCCUUCGCAUGUGGUUGUUGUUUGCAUUAUCAUUGCAUGCGUAAGGGUCACAAAGGAGAUCACUUGAUGAAAAUGAGACUUGUUUUACGUAAAAGAUCUUAAUUCAUGAGAAGUGAAAAGAGUAAAGUGUUAGGUGCAUUAUUGCCUAGUGAGCAAUGUCAUUGUGAGUUUGAAGCUUUUCUCCUUCAAUAUUCCUAUGACAUGGCUCAUACAUUUUAAUUUGGCGCUUUGUCUCUCUUGCGACUUAUUCUUGAUUUUGAAAAGAAAAACUAUUUAAGUUAUUAAGCUAUCCUAUUUAAUUUGAGGGGUAAAGUCGCCUAUGCAAGUCCAUUAACUUGAGUUUAGUUGAAUCUUAUAAGUUCAUUGGACUUAGCAUAGAAAAAGUGAGCUGAGAGAGGGUUUUUAGGUUCACCGGUUAAACCGACGUUCAAUGGAUCUAUACCCAUCGGUUUAACCGGCGUUACUAAGUGUCAGCUUCAGCUCAGUCAUUUCAGGCGUUCAACCGGUGUAUACAAAGUUCGCAGCAUCGGAUCAACCGGUGAACAGAUCACAAAUUUGACCUGAAAAUCAACUGUUAUUUGCAUCGUUCAACCGACGAGUUCACAUUUCGCAUCAUCGGUUCAACCGGCGUACAGAUGCAGAUUUGGCAGAGUUUCUGGUAAACUACACCGACGCAAUCAACCGGUGUUCAAAACCUAAGCGUCGGUUCAACCGGCGAUAAGAAAAUCUGCGGGGCCCACAUGUCAUAUAUCUCUCUUGCUACCGCGCCGCUCACUCUUCCGUUUUUGCCGCCCGUCCACCUUCUGCCGUCCGCUGCCCGCGCUCACCCUCACCGCCGUCAACUCCUCCACCGCGCCGCCGUCCGCCGCCAUCUGUCGCCUCCGCCGCCGCCUGCACCCGCACUCUUUCCGCGCCGUCACUGUUUGCCGCCCACGCACAACCACCGACCGCCGUCGCACCGCAUCCCGUCACGCCGCCGCUCGUUGCGCCGCCGCCCUGCGUCGUUCACGCCACCCCAGCCGCGCCCGUACGCCGCCUGCACCGCAACCUCGCCGCCGCCAUCCGCCGCCCGCGUGUCACCGCACCAGCGCUUCCUGCUCCGCACGCACUGCACCUCCGCCGUGCCACCGCCCACGUGCAUUGCACCACUCUUGUGCAUCCACGCCGCGCACGCCAUGUGUUCGGCAUUUUGCCCUAGCUCGCCGCGCCGCGUUCCUGUUACUCACUGUGUCGUGAUGGGUCGUGACAAGAGGAAGGGGAAGGAGAUAGUGGUCGAGGAGCCCGCGCGCAAGCGGACUCGCGCAGCGAGAGAGGCCGAGAGGGCCGAGAUGGUGGCCAAGGCCGCCGAGGAGCAGGCGUCAGGCCGUGCUCGUCCGUUCGCGAUCAGAGAUACGCCAGCCAGGGGCAGAGGCAGAGGCAGAGGGAUGGGCCGAGUCAGAGGUGCCAGGGCCACCAGAGCCGCAGAGUCAGAGCAGUCACCUUCAGCGGCAGAGUCCGAUUCAGAUUCAGAGACAGAGCAGUCUGAGCAGUCUCAGGGGCAGGAUACACAGCAGUCACCAGCUCUACGACGUUCUGGCCGCACCCGGCAGACGUCCCCCGCAGAGGAGACUUCACCAGCGACCGAGCGUCGCACCGGACUGAGGACGCGAGGAGGCCACCAGCCACAGGAGCCUCGCAGGUCCACCGCAGCAGCAGCUGCAGCCCGUCGAGCCGAGGCCCUAGCGGCCGAGCGCGCAGUGUUCCGCAUGGACACUGUCGUGCGUCUGGAGCCAGGUGUGCUGCUCCAGAACUUGACCAAGGCCAAUGCGGCGAAGGUCAAGAGGCUCAGGUGGAGCGUACAGGAGGAGGAGUGGUUCCCCGUGACCCGUGACAGCAGGGUCGAUCGCAGAUUCUGGACACUCCUUCAGGCCAGUUUCUACGAGACCUAUCAGAGGCGGGGCCACAGGAUCUUUCCUCACAGAGUACUAGACUGGGUUUCACUGAGGACAGCUGCAGGGGGAGCCGAUGUCAGGGAGCACUUUGCUCACUUCAGGGGUCUGCCCAGGUUGCUUUCUAUUGAGCGGAACAGAUAUAUCGAGGAUUGGGUCAGGGUAUUCUAUGCCAAAGCUUGGAUAGCCCCAGAGCGCAGAGCUGUUCACUUCAUGUUUGGAGGGCAGGUAUUUGGUUUGUCCAGAGCGACACUUGCAGGGAUUCUAGGAGUUGAUUUGGUUGACGUCUCCCUGCACGAGAUGGUAUAUGGUGAUGCAGAUCCACCGCGCAGAGCCAUGAUUGGCGGGAUUGCACCUUCUCACGAGGCAAUCUCACAGUGCUUCCGCCAGCCCUUCCCGGCUUCUUAUGCCAGAGUCCCGAGCCUACUGACCCCAGAGGCCUACGCUGUUCACAUGGCACUCCGGAGGACUUUGCUCCCGAGGAGUGGCUACCCAGAGGGGUUCACAGGACUGCAGCAGCUGCUACUUCUUCACAUACUCACUCAUGAGCCAUUUGACAUAGUUGAUUUUAUCUUGGCUGAAAUUGAGGAUGUCAUCACUGAUGGGAUGGGGGUCGUGCGUCAGUUUCCAUAUGCUCACUGGAUCAGUUUUAUCUGCUCUAUGAUUGUGCCAGCUGAGUCACCAGUCAGUGCAGUAUACCGGCAGGACGAGGUCCCCUGGUUUCCAGUUUACCGACCGACUGCACCCUCAGACAGGAGGAGAGGGAGACAGGCAGAUCGUGCUGCCAUGGCAUGGCUGUCACCUGAGGUUCAGGCCCGUGUUGCCCAGGAGGACGAGGCACUGCUGGCCGCAGAGGCACAGCUUCCCGGAGGAGAUGAUGAGAUACAUUGGUCAGACUUAGAGUCAGACUCCUCCGAGGACGAGGAGUACUUCCCUGCACCUGCUCCAGCGAGUCAUGAUCACGAGGCAGGAGGUUCCGGAGAGCCAGCUCCAGUGACAGCUGCUGCUACUACUGUCUCAGAGUCACAGGUGUCUCAGCCGUCUGAGCUCACCGCACUUCUGCAGCAGCUGGUCACAUAGCAGAGAGAGGACCGUCGCGCUCAGGAGGAGGCCAGGAGAGCCCAUGAGGCCCAGCUUGCAGAGAUACAGAGAGAGGCCGCCCGAGAGCGAGCUACUACAGAGGAGCGUUUUGUCGGCCUCAUUGACAGAGUAUCUCAGAGGACAGACGCUCAGUUUCAGCAGAUGCAGCAGGGCAUGAUGGCGAUGUUCGGGAUGAUCUCACAGCUAUACUCUCACACCGGACUCGCCCCACAGCAGCCAGGACAGACAGGCCUUCAGAGUGCUGGAGCACCACCACUUGCAGUUACACCAGCUCCAGCCUCCACUGCUCCAGCUUCUUCCGCGACCCCAGAGAUCAUGUUCUCAUUGUCAGCACUGCUUGGGUCUGCGAGUCGUCCCCUCUUCUCUCCUCUGCCUGCGACCUCACUCUUGCAGGAGUCACCCUCUGCAGUGCAGUCUGCCGGCCUCCCCGUCGUUCCACAGACACUACCUUCAGGGGGAGGAGGAGAGGUCUCUUUGGUUCAGCAGUCGUCACAGCCGGCAGCAUCAGCACUCACUACUUCAGAUGUUGACACAUCCUCUGCUGAGCCGGCUACUACAUCGACGGACCUUCCUCCAGGCAGCGCCAGCACACGAGCCUCCACGACAGCUACUCCUCCGGUCAGCUCAGCACCAGCAGGCACUUCAGAUCAGCAGCUACCUUCAGUCUCCGAGGAUCCACCGUCCGACGACGACGACGUCGAUGACCCAGAUCGCUUUCUUGCAGUACCUCGUCAGCUGGAUCCGUAGAUCGCUCCUUUUUGGGCUUUGAUGCCAAAGGGGGAGAGGGAGUCAGGGGGAGAGGGAGUCAGGGGGAGGGUAGCAUUAGAGAGAGCUCGUGAUCAGGACUUUGUUGUUUCUUAUUGUAUUAUAUAUUGUAUUAUAUUUGGUUUUAGUUCAUGGAUAUGUACAUUUGUCAUUUGAGCAUGCUGAGCUUUUGAGACAUAUCUAUGGAUUUCGUUUGAGCCAUUGAGCUCUUUGGUUCUUUUCUUUCGAGUUUGCUUGUGUUUAUUCUUGGCAUAUCUUUCUCGCUCUCUCGUUAUUUAUGUCUGUGUUGUCAUCAAUCACCAAAAAGGGGGAGAUUGUAAGCAUCUAGGCCCUUAAGGUAUGUUUCGGUGAUUAAUGACAACCAUUAUUGUGACUAAUGAGUUUGUGCAGAUUUUUAGAUCAUUAUCGCUCAUUUGGUUAUAUGUCAAAAGAGGCCCCUAAUUUUCAUUAUUCAAAAAGGCGAUCUCGGCAUUCAACUCAAUAAUAUGUCAAGACUAAGGAUCUUUCUAGUCCUAAGUGUUAUAAGGUUGAGAAGGACACUUAGGUUAGUAUAGGUUUUAUAGUUUUGUAGUGAUCGCACUAUUAAGAGGGGUUUAGGCUUAGUAACUUGAGCAUGGAUAUGGUCAUUUGAAAAUGGAUGCACACAAUGGUCACUCAAGUUUCUAGAAGCUCAAAUAAGUGGUUCUCAACUUAUAUCUCAAGAAAUAUUUGGAUUUCAUUCAAGACUCAAGUCAGAAAAGGCAAAAUCAGAAAAAUCCUAUUCACCGGUUUAACCGACGCUUCAACUCUUCUAUACGUCGGUUAAACAAGGUCAGCAGAGUUUGACAAGUCAAUUCACCGGUUCAACCGAUGAUAUUUGAAAAAGGUCGUCAGUGCAGUUGUCCAGAGACUUUGUUUUUUUUCAGUUGAUCAGCGGACAGCUACACUCACCGGUUAAACCGACGAUAUUUGAAAUUGGACGUCGGUACAGUUGUCCAGAGACUUGGUGUUUCAGUUGAUCAGUGGAUGGCUACACUCACCGGUUAAACCGAUGUCACGUCGGUUAAUCUUCCCAAACAGUAACGGCUAGUUUUCAGAAGGGGAGUUUACAUUCACCGGUUAAAACGACGAUGACUAUUGGAGGGACGUCGGAUUAACCGGCGCUACGCAGUUUUCUGGCAGCUUUUUCUCCAACGGCUCUAUUCGUGUGAGCUGCCCAUAUAUACCCCUCCAAUGGGUCAUUCUACUACUCUUGACACCAGGAAACACCCAAACACACAUAAUAUAGUCAAGAGCCACCUUGAGCUUCAACAUUUCAUACACUUGUUCAUUCAAUCAUUCAAGAUGCAAGAUUAAGGACUUGAGUAGAGAGAAGCUUGUGUGCAUCCAUUCUUGGUGAUUGGUUCUUGCUCAAGUGAAGGCCUUAGCUUGUUACUCUUGGUGAUUGGCAUCACCUAGGCGAUCUUGGUGAUCGAGGUGAUUCUCGCGGAGCUUGCCAAGGAUUGUGGAAGCCCGGAGAAGAGAUUUGUACGUGGCUUGAUCUCCACCACACCGGGAUGGUGAACGGAGACUCUUAGAGAGCGCCCUCGUCUUGGUGACUUGGGAGGUGACAAUACUCUUUGUGAGUGUCACAACGUGGAUUAGAGGUGUGUGCCAACACAUCGAUACCACGGGAAAAAAUCCGGUUGUCCCUUGUCCACUUUACUUAUUCAAGCAUUAUCUUUCAUGCAAUUCAUUCAUGUGCUUGAUUUAGGAAUCACUAGUUAGCUCUACCUUGCUAGGCUUUAUUCUUUUUUCCUUAUCUAGCUUGUGUAGGUCUUUUAGUUAUCCGGUUGGUGAAUUGGAGCCUUUCUAGUUUUGCAUAGGUUAAGGUUGCUUUAUCUUGUUUAGAAAUUUAAAAAGGCCCAAUUCACCCCCCCCCCUCUUGGUCCAUCGAUCCUUUCAUCCGUAUGUUCCCAAGUUGUUCAAUUUCAUAAAUGCUCCCAAACAGGUAAGAGUAAGUAGUCAUUGUUCUUCAUCGAGUACUUUUGAAUCAUUAAUAGUGACUUAUAUUAAUACUCAUGCUGAAUCGCUUGACUUGUAGGAUGAUAUCAACGUGUACAGGAGCAUGCCUCCCAUGCCGGAUAUUGAGCGUCCCUGCCGCAUGCUGGCGACGGCUCAUCGGAACAUCUCCUCCCAUCCUGACAUCAAUUCGGUGAUGGAGGAAGAAGAUAUUGAUUCUGAUGAUGGCCGCACCCUCUCUGACUUGAAGAGGAAAAGGGGGACAAUUACCUCCUAGGGGAAUACGACUUCUCCUGGUGGAGAGAUCUUUCCUGCCCCUCCCAAGAAGCCUAGGAUGGCGACACAGAAGCGCAGGGCUGGGGCCUCUACGAGUAAUGACAAUGAUAAGCAACCAAUGUAAGUAUCGAAUCCGGACUUUUACGAAUACUUCCCUUAGUUCGCCUUUUUCAUUGGGAUCUCCAGCUCUGACUGGGAGAGCCGCUGCGCGGCCACGAGUACUUCUGAUGAAGAAUCUGGCAUGCUCGUAGUCGAAGCAUACUCGAUGGCCUCCUGGUCGUAGUCGUACGACUUCUUCAAGUCGCCGCGGAAGGUGAGCACUUCACUCUUUCCUGGCAUCUUAAGAAGCAAGUAGACGAAAUGAGGCACGACCAUGAAUUUGGCCAAUGCGGGUCUUCCCAGGAUGUCGUGGUAUGAAGAUUCGAAGUCUCCCACCUCAAACUUGAUGUAGUCGGUCCUGUAGUUCUCCCUCGUGCCAAAGGUGAUGUCCCUAGUACGAUGUCGUAGAAGGGAGCCUUGAUUGGAGUGAGCAUAUCUGUGAUGUCCAAUCCCAUCUUCUUCAAAGUGUGCUUGGAGGUUAAACACCGACAAAGUGUGCCGGCUCCGUCGGCACUCUUCUCCAAGCUUGUACAUCGACAUAUGCCUUUCUAAUUAAAGUAAGUGUUUGUGAUUUCUCUAUGUGCUUUAAGUUUCUUAUUUAAUUAUGUUCUAUUCUUAGUUGCUUGCGGGAUCAUCAUUCAUGAGUUUGGUAGAUACUCUAGUACUAAGAUUCUGGAGAAAGAAGGAAGUUCUUGCGCGAGGCUAGAGUAGUAAUCGAUAGUGUAGGCAUGGUGUCUAGGCUAGAUGUUACCUUUGUUUGCCUUGUGCCCAUGGUUUGUAGAGUUAGGCGGUAGAUGCUUACAACCAUAUUCUUCCUUCGUAAUCCUCCACAUUCGGGUACAUCGUAGAGCCACAGGUCGGAGGAAUCUGGCAAUGUCCAGGGACAUGUCGGCGCCCAAAGUAAGCAAUUAGGAACAACUCUAUCUUAUCUUAAGACUGUUAGCCAUAGCAAAUCCUCUCUAUCCUGUCCUUUGAAAACUCUUGUUAUCCUUGGACGAACAUGACCUGUAGAUAGAACACUCACAUUCACUGUGGAUACGAUAUCCUGGAAUACACUUGGGUGAAAGGUACAACAGUAUUUGUACGCUUGCGGAUUUAUCUAUUAUCGUUGAAAAUACCAGCAUCUAGUUUCUUAGUUUGGGAUAUUUAUAACCCAUGAUCUUCUCCUUUGAAGGUGGUUGGUUGUUUCCUAUUCUUCAGCGUGCCAAAGCCUUUCCAACACUAGUAGAGUUCUUACCAACCUACCUUUUUGAGACUUGCUUUGUUUGGUUGAAAUAUUUGAGUUUGGUUAAGAGACUGGUUGUGUGUCAGCACUAGAGAGCUAUCCACAACUUGAGCAUUUAUGGUUGACGUCGAGGCAAUUUGUGUAUUCCUGGAGAUGAAGGCUCCUACAUGGCUAGGUCUUGUUGCGGUAAGUUUGUAAAGACUGCCUUCUUGCCUCUAUAAGGGAAAAUAUCAUCUAGUGGAAUCAAGAAAAGUUGUUGAAAGUAACCCGGCUCAAAGGAAAGAGUUGAAAAAAGACCCAUAUACCAAAGAGCUCCUCAAUGGAGACGUAGAAUCACAGGGGUGAAUCUAAACUUCAGGAAUCAAAUCUUCGUGUCUCCAAUUUUUAUUUGCCUCACUUGUCCAUUUCUAGCAUUUACUUCUGCUUCCACUUCGAUCUACUUGGGUGAGCUUAUUAUGUCUGCAGGGAUAUUUUGAAUCUAUAUGAAUUCAUCAACAGAAGCUACGCUCUAUGUUUGAUUUGUGCUAGAACGUGUAGAGGGGUUUAAACUUUCAACCGCCACCAUUCUUUUUGAGAUGUUUAUUGGUUCCCUCAAAUGAAUAUAGACCUUUAAUUCCUUUAUGAUCUAGAUUAGUUAAGAUUUCCUUCUACUAAAAUGCAGGAGUAGCAUCUAAAAUGUGGGAGUAGCAUUCUUAACGGGUAAUAUGGUAAUUUUCUACCAAAACUAGAAUAUGCAACUGAGUAAUUUCCACACUAGCCACUCCCUAAUUUUCGCAGGCAGUUUCUUAACCUGGUCCUACAAAUGGAAACCAGCAGAUUCUUAUAAACCAAUCUAACUAUGAUAUUAGGAAGCUUGGUGUAAAAUUUGUGCUCCAGAAGAUCCCUUUAUAGUUUACCCUUUUCCAAUAAUUAUUAGGUUGAACUAAUAAUCCAUCCCAAUUUACCCCAAAUUGUGGGGAAGUAAGAGCAUCUCUACCUCAAUUCACCCCUUCACUAUAAAAGCAACUACCCAAUGAUAAUGAAAGAGAUAUCAGAUUGGGACAUCCCCAUUAGUCGUGCGACAUGUCCUACUGCACUGCCACCGUCACUAGGAUCGAGCACCCAAAGGAGUCCUCCGGUCGUACGCUUGAAGUGAAGGGGACGAGCCUCCGCAGCCCCAUCGCGGAGUUGGGCAUCAGGUUGCGGCCUCCACCGCUGCCCUCUUCAAUUUUGUGGCUGGGGGAGUUGGCGCGACGGCGCUACACUAGAGAGCAGUGGCGACAAAUAAGGUUUUAUCAAAUAGGAGUGGUGGAGUCGAGUAACUAGGUUGUCACUCCGCUCGUGGGCUAUCGUGAGCCGAUGGCCCAUUGUGUUUGCUCAUUUCGUUUAGCUCUCGAGCUGCUCUAGCCAGCUCGUUAUAAUUUCCGAGCUUAAAAUCCACGCUUGGUUCUUUAAGAAAUUGCAACGAGCCGAGCCAAGCGAGCUAAUGAGCCAUAAACUUUUGCUCCAGUGCCCUAGUUAUUAGGGAACUGUUGGAAAUGCUUAGCUAGGUAAUAAUUAAGGAACCACAACUACAACCAUGGUAACCUAUCUUAUUGACAAUCAUCCACGUCUAAAUCCCAUGUGAGACCGUACAUAUUGGCCGUAGGGAGAAAAUCUUGUACCACCAUAAAUCAUGGACCGACAAGAUUUGCAGUAACCAGCAUGAACUUGAACAUAAUCAUAGUACAACUAGAGCCAACGCCAUUACGAAGCAUCACUACUGCACAUAGGGCUAUCACCGCCGGGUUAAAAAUGCCAUCAUCGCCGAUUCCGGGAUCUAUUAAAUCAUGGUCGGCACCGGGUCUAGAACCGGCGGUGAUGCCAUUUUUAGAAAAUAAAAAUGCUCCGCGCUGCGCGCUCGCCCGCGCUCCACGCCACCGCAGAGAGGAGGGGAGGCGGCAGCGGCGGGGGAGAGGAGGGGAGGAGGAGACGACGAGGGGGGGAGGAGGGGAGGCUGGGGAGAGAAUAAUGAGAGAGAGGGGGAGAGAGAGACGGGGGGGGGGGGGGGUAGCUAUGGUGGUGAUUGCAUCACCAUCGGUUCGUAAUAUGACCCGGCAGUAAUGUUCACUCUCACUGCCUGACUAUCUUUGCAAUGACAUGGUCUGUAGUAGUGCAUAUUGCUAUAAUGCCGGUCAAUAUGGUCUGCAUACAGAUCCGGCGAGGUAGCAGCGUUGGCUAAUGUGCAAAGGCACCACAUCCGUGUGGUGUACAAUCUCUACUGCGACUCUUUUCAUGUCAGAUAAAAAAGAAGUCUAAAAUGCCCAUAACAUAUCAACAGUUAGAUUCAUUUUCUACUCCUGGCCCCCACAAGAGGAAAUGCCAUACAAUCUCUCUUUUCUACUGUUAUUUAGAACAUCAAUAUAAAGAUGUUCAACUUCAACAUUAUUCUUUACAAUUAUUGAAUAGUAAAAGUGCUAAGGAUAGAAUCAUAUAAUAGUUUUCUACAUUACUAAUUCACUUAUUCCAUUAUCCUGUGUCAAAAAUGCUAACGGUUUUGUUUUGAAAUUUGACUGCAUGCAUUCUCAAAGGAGAUGCAUUUUAGAACGGAGAAAGCAUAAAACUAAAACGACCAAAAAGAAUAGUGUUGCGUUCAAGUCAGCUAAUUGUAUUCAAUAAUUUUUCAUGGUCUACUUCUAAAACUGGGCAAAUGAACAAUGAAUUUCUUUUAUUAUAAUCCCAUUUUUGUAUAGAAUAGGUAAGAGACAUGCUAAUCCAAAUUUUACCCAUUUAUUGAGUUCAUAAUAAUGACCCUUAAAAUUGUCCUUACACAAAUUAUUAGGUUGUCUGCACAAUAGAGACUCUAUGCAUGUCGUUUCUAAGUUCGUAGGGAAUAAUAAACUGUUUCUAUUGUGGUUAUUAGCCAAAUACAACAAAACAAUAUUUACGGCAAACUGCAACCAUAGCCAAACAGAGAGUAUGUAAGCUCUGCAUCUCUAUAUAACUAUCUGAUGGGCUCAAGAUUAUUGGUUCGACAGUCUGGUGUGGUCCCAAGAUUAUCGGUUCAUUCAGAUUUAAAAAAUAAACCAUUUCAUUAUUCCAUUUUGUAUAGCCUUCAAAUAUUUAAAAUGUGGAAAUUCGUAUACCUCACUUCUAAAUGCUUCGAAAGCAUCACUUGAAAUAUCUUGUUGCAAGAAUCUCUUGAUUGUGACUUCCUGCACAGAGGAGCAAAUUGCUAUGAUGCAACAAAAGCAGUACAAAGAUGCCCCCAGUAGGAGGGUCCAACCACUGGUGUGGCACCCUCCCUCUAUUUUUAGGGUUGCGACAAGGAGAAUUUUCUAUUUUGCUGCCACCAGGAUUUGAACCAUGGCUGGUGUAUCUCUUAAUUGGAGAGCUUACGGUUACACUACAAGAGUGUUGGUAGAGGGUGCUAGACAAGCACUAGGUUGUCACAUGAAAUUAAUGUUCCUUUCCAGCUAACUGUAAUUUAAUUUCUUAUAUAUUUUUAUGGUCUAUACAUAAAACAUGGGCCAUGUCAAUAGUUCAAAUCGUACUGAGAGUUAAAGCAUCCCAAGGAUCAGGCCAUUCUUAGUGGGGGUUUAUAAAUUCAAUCUCAUUAAAUGAUAUCCCACAUUAGUAAAUAUGAUGACAUGACAGAGUAUUUAAGAAGGAGAAGAGAUGAGUUUCAUCAAAAUAAAAUUGGUUGUACAUUGCUUUGAGACUAUGAAAUGUAUUGAAACUGCCAUUGAGGGGUAUAGAGCUCAUUUCAUCUGGUUUAGUCCAAUCCGGUGCAUCACAUUUAAUUAAAAUAUAUGGCUUGCCUAUAAAACCGUGACAUGAAACUGUGCAUUGGAGAUAUGGUUUCAUUCAUCAACAAACAUUAGUUUACAUAAUGUGGCCUAAUUGUUACUUUGCCUCUCAUAAACCAUACAAAUCAUGUUCCAUUUACAGUUUGUAAAUCCUUUUUAAAUGAUCCGCACUAAUGUGAACCUGAUCCGUUAACAGAAACAACAUUCACUACCACCUCCUUAAUAGAAUAAACAAAAACUGAUAACUGACAAAUAACAAGAAAUAGAGGAUAAUUUAGAAAUUAACAAAUAUUACAAGAUAAUAUAGAUGAAGAACUUACUAGUCCAUGCCAUUCCCCUCUGAACACUUCUCCAAAAGAAUCUAGAGACAGAAGAAGAAAAAAUUUGGACAACAUUGAAAUCAAGGUAUGUUAUGUGUUAUUUCAAGUCAAUGAAAACCAUAUCUUGGGAAUGCUUAACUCAAUUAUACUGCAAACAAAUUAUUGAUACUAGUUGAAAUACAUAUUCUUCCUUUGUUUGACCAAGGAUAUUUCGCUUCGUUAAGACAAGCAUUUCAACAAUAAUUGCUUUAUUAAUACAUGAUUUUUUUGAACAAAAUAUUGUUAUUAGAUACAUAGUAUUUGAAAUGCUUACUUAUAAGUAUGGUUUUGGAUCACAUAAAUGGAAUAUCAAUUGAGUAAUUUUUUUUGUCGAGCCUUAUUCUAGCAAAACAAAAUACACCCAUUAAAAAAAUGGAGAGAGUACUAUCAAUGAUGAUAAUGAAGAAACUGAGAGGGUGUUUAGUUACCCGGGGCUUAUUUUAAGCCAUGUCAUAUCGAAUGUUUCAAUACCAAUUAGAAAGGUUAAAUAUAAGCUAAUUAUAAAACUAACUGCAUAAGCCUAGGGCUUAUUCACGAGAUGAAUCUAUUAAGCCUAACUAAUCCAUAAUUAGCAUAUAUUUAUUGUAGCAUUACAUGGGCUAAUCAUGGACUAAUUAGGUUUAAUAGAUUCAUCUCACGAAUAAACUAGAUGUUAUGGAAUUUGUUUUAUCAUUAGUUUAUAUUUAAUAUUCUUAAUUAGCAAUCCGAUAUGACGGGGCUUAAAAUAAACCCUCGGGAACCAAACACCCCCUGAAUUCAUGAGAUUCAAUAGAAGUGUACCCAGCCCAAGUCUUUCUCCAAUGGCAACUUCUUCCCAGAUGAUUUCAGACUCUGCCAUAUCAUCUAGACAAAUUCCAAAUCUUGCACUCUCUGUCCCAGUCAGCGUUUGAGAGAUCCCUUCAGCUCCCUGAGGCGCUUCAAUAUAAUCCAUUUCUUGGUCCUGGGAAUUACCCUGUCAAUGAUUUGUCUCCAGCUGAUUAUUAUUCCAUAAUUCAUGUUUUCUCUAGAUUAAUUUCGGAGAAUUUAGCAAGCUAAACAAUUGACUGGAACCUAUUCAUAGACUAGCUAUUAUUGGUCAAAGCAGGAAGUUGGACACAGUCAAAAUAUGCCUUAGGAAAGGUGUAUGAUUCUACCCCUAUUUUUUUCUCUAAUCAUUAGAGGGAAUGUCAGAUUUAACCAGCUUUCUAAUGAGUUAUGGCCAAAUUACUAAUCAGUUUUACACUUCACAGUGGUUAGAUAUUGAAAAUAAGAGUAUCUUGAAGAGACUCUUUAGAGAUUUUGGUUAAAAAUUACUUUCCAACGGUCUCUUCAAUUGGAUAUCUAAAUAUAGACCUCCUCUAUUCCGAAUUUCUCGCUAGCUAAAGAUGGAGGGCAAGAAUUGAUCUCUAGACUAAGCACCAGAUAUAGAAAAGCUGUUGGAAAGUACAAAGAUAUAUAAAAUUAUUUUUACUUAAAUAACUCUCUAAAUGAUGAUUUAGAGAGUAGAUUUUAGAAAAACUUUUAGAGAUGCUCUAAUAGACCAGGAAGCUUGCUCGAAAGACUAUAGCUGGUGGUGAUGGCAAACACACACUGGAACUCACCUCAGAUGGGGCACCGGAACUCGGGUAGUCGGACAGAAGGCUUCUGGACGGUGUUUGUAUUGGCGUGUAACCAACCGUCAGCCUUACCUUUUGCACCAUGUCGAUCCGCAUACCGUCAAACAUAUCUGCAGUGAUGGGCUUGGGUAUGGCGGUAUACCCCCACACUGCGAUGCUCUGCACAAGGAAUUCAUCGCCGCACAGCAAGUCCCAUGAUGCCGCCUCAUGAUCUUCUUCCAUUGUUACACGUACAAAAGAAGUGGACAGUGGCAGCAGAAGGCCACUGGUCGGUUCAAUAAGGUAGUUGUUUUUGGCCUUGGUAACCCCAAAAUAAAAUGCAGCAUAGUUGUCAGUCUUGUUGGUUAGCUUUACGAUGCAGGGCACCCGCUUGUUCCGCUCCAAGGAAAAGUAGAGCUCAAGAGGGGUGAUCUCAAGCAACUCCUUUGGCUUGUGUGCUACCUGCAGCGAAGAAAUGUUAUCCAAACAUUAUAAUUCUGACUGACGCAACAAGCUAUCCCUCCAAAACCACUGCUUGAGGAACCCCCGUUUGCUUUUGAUAAAAAAGAAAACAGAUGAAAUUUAGGAACCUGCUUGCAUGGUAGAAAACAACUAUUUGGUUUUUGGCGGUUUGGAAAUAUAUAUACAUGUAUUCUACGAUUGUCAUUCAUGCUUAGGGGUGGUAACAGAUCAUGGCCAUAAUACUCUCUUCACAAUCCAACAUAGCCCUUAUGUAUAUUUAGCUCAAAAUUGAAAAAUUCCGUUUGCUUUUGAUAAAAAAGGAAACAGAUGAAAUUUAGGAAACUGCUGGCAUGAUAGAAAUCGACUAUUUUAGGUUUUGGCGGGUGGGAAAUAUAUGUACAUGUAUUCUACGGUUGUCAUUCGUGAUAUCUCUUAUUUUGAAAGCUCUUGCGCUUAUCUCACUCCUAUCCAGUUUUCAGUCUCUUCCGAUUCUAGAGAGCCCAUUUUCUCACCAACCCUUUGAAGAGGGGCAAAGGUUGACUUCUUUACCUGUUGCUCUUAUGGAUGAUCAGAGACUGUGGAUGCGUAGAUCUCGAUCGAAUGCAUUCAUUUGACUACACAUAUGUAUUGUUUGGAGUUCAGAUCAUGGAGUUACAUUUUUCCAAAAAAAAAAAGGGAGGGGGGGGGGUACAUAACUGUGGUGGCCCAGGUAAUUGACAGCAAAAAACGCAUUUAUAGGUGCUUGUUACAUAGCAACAUGCUUUAUUUGUUCUUGUAUACUAUAAUGGUGCAUUUUAUUAGAGGUUUUGGUAUUACCAUAUUAGAAAAUAAUAAAAAAUUCCUAAUCGUGAAACAAAUUCCUAAGCAAAUUGAUGGUAUCUCUUCCAAAAGUGAUAUAGGUACCUGGCUUGCAUGUGGCCUGCUCUCCUCGCCAACAUAGCAAUGUGUGCUUUCCCACGUAUUAAGAAUCUCGAUAAUUUUAUUUAUUGUCAGCCUUUUCCUUCGGUCAAAAUCAGUGCAAGUUAUGCCUAUUUCAAGGCAAAUCUCUAUCUGUUGGUAAUCUGUUUCUAGUGAUGCAUACUUGGGUGCUGCUUCCCUCUUUUUCCAAUUUUGAAGUACCUGUGAAAUCUGGAUCAGAGAACAUAAUACUGUGCAAUGAUAAAAUCUGGAUCAAAAAUUAAAGAACCUCAAUCUUGAAUGUUGGCACACUAUUUCUUACAGGUUCAACAAAGUCCCUGCAGAAUGUUUCAGUACCAGAAGGCCCAUAUUUGUGCCCUGUUAUUAUCUCUAUAAUUAUUACUCCCAAACUGUAUAUGUCUGCCAUAGGCGAGAUUAUACUUUCCCAUAUGUAUUCCGGUGCCAUGUAACCCCUGCACCACAACAUAUGCAUUGGAACUCUAGGGAAACUUCAAAGAAGACACAUUUUUGCUGAUCAUAAAAGCCAAUGGAUAACGUGGAACUUACUUCGAUCCAACAAGAGAUGUGGCACAGGUUUGAGUUUUUUUGUCGCUAAAGUGUCUUGCUAAACCAAAAUCAGCAAUUUUUGGCAUCAUAUUGUCAUCAAGCAAUAUGUUCUCAGGUUUUAGGUCCAAGUGAAUAACAGAGCCAUUUAUUUCACAUUCAUUGUGAAGGUAAUGUAAACCACAACAAAUCCCCUUAAUUACUUUGUAGCGUUCAUUCCAAUCAAGUCCGCAAGAUUCCUCUGGAUAUGUAACCAAGAAGGUAUCAGCCAACAAAUGAAUCCAUUACUGUGGUGAGCAAGUAAAAGAAUGUGAAAGAACUACAACAGUAUGUCUGUUUGCUUUUCAUUCAUCAACCAAGAUCGGCAUCAUAUAUUAUAUUGUUCUGCGUAGCAUUUCAUAGAAUGUAUUAUCAAGUUAGAUUAGUACAUCAGAGCUAAUAUUAUCUGCAUUGGCUUCUCAAAAGAAAAUUGAAAAAUCAAGAAGGACAGAUGCCUUAUUAAUUUGUAUGAGGUACAUAGUCUUCAGAGUUAACAAUUGAACAUUUACUUCUGAUAGAUAUCAAUUCAGUACAAGCAGAUAAUCAAAAUCACAUAAAGAACUUUGAUACUGAUUUAUUGAUGUUUAUUUGCAUCACAAUACACAACAGUUGUAAUGUUUGCACCAGGUUUAACUUGAAAUGUGUGUGCCCUAAUAAAUAUCAGUGAUGGAGCAAGUCUCAUUUUGAGUAGUCAUACCUGAAAUAUACUUAUCAAGACUUCCAUUGGUCAUGUAUUCAAAGCAAAGCAACCUUUUAGGCAUAUCCACAAAAACAUUUAUUCCAUUAUAUGUUGUGUAUUUGUGCUGUGUUUCGCAACAAUAUCCCACAAACCUUACUAUAUUUUUAUGUCUAACUUUCAUUAAAUUGUCAACCUCAUUUUUAAAUUCUCUUUCGUGGCACAACGAUAUUGACAGAAGAUUCUUCACAGCAACCAUUUUUCCAUUUGGUAACACUCCCUGUUUUAAAAGCUCUUAUUAAAAUGGACACAGGUAUUCCGGUAAACUUCUAUUAAACAUGUUUGAAAUGACAUAAAGGGAAUUAUUUAGUUUUACCUUAUAUACCACACCGAAACCGCCUCUACCAAGUUCUUGAUCACCAGAAAAAUUAUUUGUGAUAUCUCUCAAAUAUUGUAAUGGUAUGAUACAUGGUUCUUCAUUUGGAUCUUGCAAUACAGUCUCCAAGUUAACAUGUACACUAAAUACAUCAUCCAUCUUGGCGCUUACUUAUGAUGGCACCAAUGCUAGUACAACGUCCUUUUACAAGGGAAAAAUAAAGGAAAUUACAAAAGUUCUGAAUACAGGAUUCCUGUAAGACACAAUAUUUGAUAUGGCAUUUUUGGAAAGGUACUCCCUAAGCUCACACCUGAUGUUCUGGAAUCAUGAAAAUUCUCAAUCUUCAAGAGUCUGACCAUGAAUAAGUUUGACCAUGAAUAUGUUUAAGACUCCCUAUGAAGAGCUACAUGGAAGCUAUAUUAAAAAUUUGGUUGUGCUUUCAUAACAUGACAUUUUGUUGCUAUGCAUUGACAAUAAAGUUAUAAGAGCAUAUCCAACAAUAGAGUCAGCUACUAGCUAUAUAUUAUAUUAUAUUAUAUAUACAUAUAUACGGUAAUACUAUUCUACACCUUAGGUGUAGCAUGUAUUCUAUACCUAGCAGUCAAAUUAGUGACCGAACUGAUCAAAAAUUACUGAACCAAGUUGCCGAAUUACUAAAUCAUGUUCAAUGUUCAGUUUUAGUAAUCGCGCGCAGUAGUUAUUACUGAAAAUUUGUUCAGUAAUUAGUUGGGUGUAGCUACAACUAAGAUGUAGAAUAGCAUGUGUGUGUGUGUAAAAGAUUUGUCCAAAUAUAAUAUAUAGAUAGCAUAAUACGCAGAUAAUCCUCCAAUGGAUUCAACGAGGAUCCACAUAUAAUAGGGUGAAUAGAAGCAUGCAUGCAUCUUGAAAAGCGCUAUAGACAUUCUUUCUACUAUUCAUUAACUUUAGAAUCCAUAUGGCCCUAAAUCUUAUGUGGGUUUCCUUAAAGCUAGCUGGCAUGGAUUGUUGGAGACACCCUAACAAUAGUGGCCUAAGUUACCUUUUGGAUCUUUUAAAGAAAAAAAUUACCUUUUGAAUAUCACAAAUAGUCAAUACAGUCAUAGAAAAAGCAAGCUACUUCCUCCGAUCAGAAUAUAAGUCAUCUAAGUUUGUACUAAGUCAAAUUUUUUUAAUUCUUAUUAGCAAUAUCUAAAAUUUUAUAUAGAUUGACAAUACAGGAAUGGUAUACUAUAUUCAUUAUGGAAAACACUUUCAUCAGGCACUGAACGCUUCCUAGGCUGCGACCAGAAUUGUCCAAAAUUAAAACCUUGAUAUCCCUAUUCAAACUUAGCACGCAUGGAUCUGAAAUAUAAGUUUGUAUGGAUUAAUUUGGUGCUCCAAUCAGAAAGCUUUGAAAGGUGGGGAAGAAACGAACAAGUUAAUUUUGGACCUUGCAGAGUAGUAAACUUACAGAUCAGUGCAUGAGAACACGAACCGCUGCUGCAAUCUCCAAAACUUCUACACGAGAAGAACCCGGAGGAAAAGAUUAUAACUAACCUGGAGAAGAAUUAGGUCCUCAUUCAGAGUUAGCUUAGAGAGAUGCUUCACCUGGAAAGCAAGGGUUGGCUAGCCUGCAUCAAAACCAUCAAGGUGACCCUGCGUUGAGGGCUUGAAGUAAGCAAGGGUUGGUGAAGCAAGGCUUGGCAGCCAAGCAGAGAGGAGCAGGUUAGGUAGCAGACCUGAGAUGACAUUUUAUUCUCAAUACACCAGCAAAAAAAAGCAUGAGAUGGCGUUGAUUCCUGGAAAUGACGCUCGCGCGUUUUGCACAUUCGUGAACCUUUACUGGUACCUUUCCUUUUUUUAUUUCCACUUGCCAAGCUUUUCCUUUAUUUAAACAUUCCGCGUGCUAAGCUGUUCCCCACUAUCCUUAUCCAUUCCUCUCGAAUUUUUUUUUCAAAAUAAUAUUAUUUUUAUAUAAAAUCAUAAAAGUUGCAAUUCCAGUAGUCUGUUGGUUAAUGUUCAGCCGAUAUCCGAGCUAUCAAUUUUGGGCCAGCUGAUAGGUCUAUGCACGGCCCAAAAUUUCCUUAGUUUUUAGUUACGUUUCUAUUUUCCAGCACUAUGCAUGUAGAGAAAACAUUUAACCAUUUUUGAAAUUGAAUUAAACCAGUUAUACAGAACUAACUGAUGACCGUAUAUGCAAAAUGGAACAUAAACAUGUUAAAUAGUAUGUUUGUAAAGUUUGACAAAUUUAGAAAUACAUUUGCUAUUUCUUUUAGAAUAUUGAAUGAGGGUAAACAAUCUAUUUGUAGAUGUUAAUUCUGCGGGUGACCGGAGGUUCGGAGACGCAGAGGUGUUGAGCUGAUUCACGUUGUAGGUUUCACGCCCGCGUCAUUCUCUCCUCCCCUCCUCAUCCAACAGCCAGCCUUUUCCUUUCCUUUUCUCCGUUCCCUUUCCUCUUCUGCAAGAGGAGGCGCGCGGGGGGAGCGGUGGGGUUGCGUAUGGCCCCCGACGAGACCGGCGCCGUGACAAUGGAACGCGGCCGCUACCUCAAUUUUUUUCUCCUUUUCUUUUAUUUUAUAUUUUUUUCUAAAAGUUGUUCAUAAAACUUAUGCUGUUUCAUGAAAUUGUUGUUCAGAUUUUUUUUGUUUGAUAUUUUUUUAUUGUGAUUUUUUGUUUCAACCUCUUCAAAAGUUUUUCUCUGAAAUUUGUUUCCCAAAUUUCUCAAUAAAAGUUACAUUUUCUUUAAAUUGAAUGCUCGGUGCUUUUCCUUUUGUCUUUAUCAAUCUUUUAUGCACCCUACUUAGUUUCUCAAUUCUGUUUUGCCUACUGUUUCAUGCAGGGAUCCAAGGUUGCGGCCAUCAUUUUCAGAGAUCAUGGCUGCUUUGAGACCAUUAUUGAAAAACAUGCCUGCUAACCAACCUACCAGAAAGCGGACACAGCAAACAGAUGAUUAAGAAUAUGGUGGUUAGUAUCAGCUGACGACACAAACCGAAAAGAGAGGGCAUUGGUCUGUCUUGCCUUCCCGGCUUCAAGCAACUGACCACCUGUAACUAUUACCAUUUUUUUUGUACAGUACGCCAGAUGAAUAUCUGAUGAAAAAUAGGCGAAUUUUUUUUGCCCCUUUGCCCUCAAAAUACAGCAUUAGGUUCUCCAUUGAAGCCAGCAGAGUCUGUCCAUCUGCUGAAACCUGACCCAAAUAACACAGUUCAAUCAAACAAAAAGAAAAGAAAGGGGAAACGGAGUUGGUGAAGGUUGCUGCAUAAUAUUGUCGCAGGCACAAUGGUGUACUGGAGCCAGAAGUUGACAUGCCAGGUAAACCAGGUCCAUCGUCUUCUGUUCAGCCGGGCAUUACUUUUGUUGGCUAGCUACUGACGGCCUGGCCACCUUGCCAUCUUAUCAGUUCGUAGGCAGUUCUCUAUUGGUCGAUACCAACAUGUCAGUCCUAGCAAGAGCGAUAGCGUUGUCGCGUGACAGACUACUACAAUUCCAAAAUUUAUAAAACACCAUAUUUUUUAUAAAAAAAAUUCAAAGUAAUAUUAUUUUAGAAAAAAAUUUCAUUCCUCUCACCUCUCGGUCCCUCCCCUCAUCAUCUCAUGGAGCGGCCAAACGCAGCUCCUCUAUUUUAGGACCUCCAUUUCAAAUUAUAGGUUAAUUUCUAUUUUUUUAAUGUAUAAUUUUUAUUAUUCGUUACACAUAGCAUACGUUUAGACCCAUAAUCAAUAUGCGUAUCUAAAAAUUAAAUUAAAACGAUCAAUAAUUUAGAAAUGAGGGAGCAGAACGUUGCCACAAUUUAUCGAGCAGCAUCGGCAUGCGAACGCUACAGCUCAACAUUGGAUGUAAAUUUUAGAAACUAUUUGCGCGCGUCACCGCAGUGGUGCAUGCUGUUAAUAUUCAGCACACAUCUCAUGUACAGUAGAAGCGUGCGGUUUCACCUAUUGGUCUACCCUCAAUAGGGCGCAAAGAAUGAUGACUUCACGUAAAAUAACAGCGAAUAAAAGAGGCAAGAAGAGAGGCUCGACAUUUUCCCCCGGUAAAGAAUGAUGGUUUUAAUUACAAACAACAGAUUUUCUUUGGUAAUCUAAUUGUCAAUUACAUCAAAUUUGCUGGGACGUGAUAUACACAUGGGCGAUGGGCCUGGAAGCGAGAUUCUUCAAUGUUGAAGCUAAGGGCGAAAUGACCUUUCGGUCGAAGAACAUUACAAAUUGAUGGAUGGGGCCUUAAAGAUGAAUACUCCAUUAGGUCGAGGACUAACAAAAGUAAUGCCCGGCUGAACAGAAGACGAUGGACCUGGUUUACCUGGCAUGUCAACUUCUGGCUCCAGUACACCAUUGUGCCUGCGACAAUAUUAUGCAGCAACCUUCACCAACUCCGUUUCCCCUUUCUUUUCUUUUUGUUUGAUUGAACUGUGUUAUUUGGGUCAGGUUUCAGCAGAUGGACAGACUCUGCUGGCUUCAAUGGAGAACCUAAUGCUGUAUUUUGAGGGCAAAGGGGCAAAAAAUUCGCCUAUUUUUCAUCAGAUAUGCAUUUGGCGUACUGUACAAAAAAAUGGUAAUAGUUACAGGUGGUCAGUUGCUUGAAGCCGGGAAGGCAAGACAGACCAAUGCCCUCUCUUUUUGGUUUGUGUCGUCAGCUGAUACUAACCACCAUAUUCUUAAUCAUCUGUUUGCUGUGUCCGCUUUCUGGUAGGUUGGUUAGCAGGCGUGUUUUUCAAUAAUGGUCUCAAAGCAGCCAUGAUCUCUGAAAAUGAUGGCCGCAACCUUGGAUCCCUGCAUGAAACAGUACACAAAACAGAAUUGAGAAACUAAGUAGGGUGCAUAAAAGAUUGAUAAAGACAAAAGGAAAAGCACCGAGCAUUCAAUUUAAAGAAAAUGUAACUGAGUGUUCAGAAUACUUGCUUUUUCAGUAUAUCCAAAAUAUUAUGUUUUAUCUCUCUUCACACAGUUAAUUUUUUUCAAAGGAUAUACUCCAACGAUGCAUAAAUUGAAUGUCUGCUUUUACUUUCACAAUUUCAUGAUAGUAUUUAUGUGACAGAAAAAUUAUCAAUUUACAUUGCAACUGUUUAAGUAAAUAACAACACAUCUAAGGCCUCAACAAAUUUUGUAACACUUUAUAAAUAUUAAAGUUCCAUUGCAGCCCAGGAGUUAAAGCAUACUAACGUCUGCCAGCAUCUCUUGAUUAUCUCUGCUACAGCAGGAUCCACACUGCCUGGAAUAUCAAGUCGUCGGUGCUGAAAACCAACAGCUCCAACAACCUGCAUGGGAUUCAUACCUUCCCAUGGCUGUAGUAAUGUACAAAGUUCCCAUAAUAUGACCCCAUAGCUGAAAACGUCACACCUGAAAACAAAUGCACAAUGCAUUCAUCAAUCACAAAACCAUUUCGAAUCAAAGAGAGGGACAUGUAAAACCUACUUCUCAUCUGAUGGUUCAUUUCGAAGUACUUCUGGUGCCAUCCACUCCGCCUGCAUUUGAUAUAGCGCAGACAGUUAGCAGCUUCAGUAUUUAGCCUAAAGCAGCUUGCGAGUUUUUGAUUAAGAAAAUCUAUUCAAAGUGCAAAAGCUUAUAAAAGACUGCUGAUAUGACAUCAUCAAAGUACCAAAUUCUAACACAGAUACAAGGAGAAAAAUCAGGAAGCUUAGAAAAGACUGCUAAUUUGACAUCACCAAAGUUCCAAAUUCUAACAGAUACAAGGGAAAAAGAAAACAGAACUGGCUAAAUACUGUAAAUGAUUCAGAAUCUAAUGAUCCUCUCCAAUCCAUCUCAUCCUCACGCACACGCAUGACAUGAAAGAAAUUAUAGUUUGCAAACAACAGCAAUCAAAAUACAAAUCACAUGUUCAAGUUUACGUUGAUAUCAAGAUAAAGUGAAUUAUGAGUUUUAAACAAGCUCCUGGAGCUGGCCUGCACGAUUACAGACCCCACUAGCUACACAACUUAAUAUUUCAGCAAAAAUUUUCAGAACCUAACAAUCCUCUCCAAUCCAUCAAACCAUCAGAGAGUAAAUUUUAGCAUAAUCAAUAGCCAGACCAGACAUGCAAGUUUAUACUCAUCUCAACAUAAAAUGAAUUAUGAGUUUCAAAUAGUAGGCAUCUAGCUCUGACAAACAUAUCAAUCCUAAUGCUAAAAAUAAAAGUCAAUAGCGAGCAUUUCAAUCAUUUUCCUACUAUUGGGAGGUAUCCUAUAUAGAUUCACACAGCAUGCAACAGAAAUGAGUUUUACAAAUGAGCAGAACUAAAAGGCAAGCCAAAUAUAAACUUGGUGUUUUCAAGAACAAGUUUCUUAUUAUAAGAAAUGGAAAAUGUUUGAUUUAAUAUAAUUAAGCAAGCUUACUGUUCCGGCUGUGGAUCUUGAGGAGAGGAAGGUAUUAUGCUUUAUACGUGAUAAACCAAAAUCACAAACCUAAACACAAGACAAGUAAUAAUUGUUAUAUAUCUAGAAAUGUCCAAGACCCAAAGUGUACCACUGUUAAAGGACCUGUUUAUUACCUUCACAACCCAAUUUUUGUCAACAAGUAGAUUUGGAGACUUCAAAUCUCGGUGAACUAUGACAGGGGUGCAAUUGUGUAAAUAAUUCAUGCCACGGGCCUGUGGCAGACAACAACCAAGUAUUAGAAAAGACAGAGCGAAGUUCUCAAUAUGAAUGAGACAAAAACAAAAGGUAACUUCGGCAUACCACAUCAAGUGCCAUCCUUAGACGCCUUCUUUCAUCCAACUGGUUAUUGGGCCGAUGGAUCAACCGAAAUAAGCUACCUCUGCAUUGUCAGGACUACAGUUAGCAAUUGUAUAUUUAUGCAAGUCAACUUGUACAGAAACCACAAAGAUAAUACAUAAUAACUGACCGCCCUGAUAGCCUAUACCUGAAUAAUGCUUUAAAUACUAUGCAUAUGCAGCUACAAACGACAAGAUCUUGUACUCUCAUUAAGGUCCUGCAAUGUGUUUAUAUUGUAAACUAUUCUUAUACAUCUGGGGGGAGGGGGGAGGCUUUAUAUAUAUGGUCAUGUAUGAUUUGUACAAGAGUACAAAUACAAUUCUACACAUAUCUCUAGUACUAUGCGCAUAACCUCCCAUUUUCUUAGAAGCAUUUUAGUGCACUAUUCCAAAACUCUACAAUAAUCAGUGCUUUUGUAUAAAUAUGCAGAGAAAAUUCAAGGCAAGCGAGAGGCUGAGAUUAAAUGAUACUUUCCCCACUAAUACUUUCUAGGAAGAGUACUUUGGCCAUUUCAAAAAGACUGUCAUUUGACAAAGCUGGACCAGCAGGAAUACAAAAGGCAAUCCAUCAACAGUUCCAUAUUUUAUACGAGAGGGAUUAGCUUUGUCAAGGGGAAAAAAAAUCAAUGGUGAUGAAUCAAUAAACUACCAAGUAAAGGUAACAAAGAACCAGAACGGGAGAAAGAGGAGGACUGGAUAGAGGAGCAGAAGGAUGGCGGAAGCAAAGGGUGUAGAUUUUUGCCUGAGUAUUGUAGAUUGAGUACUCCAGUUCGAGGAUUUGAUCAUUUUACAAUCCACCCCCCCGCCCCCAACACACACACACACAAGUAAUAACAGGGUAACUUUGCGAUUUGUGAAAUCUUAUCACAUUUUUUGCUCUGACAAUUUCAAUAAUUUAACCACAAAAUUUUUAGAUUCUUUUAGAGGACUUGAUGAUUUCACACACACCCCACAAGUAAUAACAGAGUAACUUUAAGAUUUGUGACAUUACAUUUUUUUUACUCUGGAAUAUUCAUUAGUUUAACCACAAAAGUAUCUGUACAAGACACUAUACAUGUUACAUCCAUUAAGUUCCUUUAUUUAUAGAACACAUUCUUCAAAAAAGGGGGAUCAAACAUUAUUUAACAAAGAUUGGCACUGUCAUUAUAAUCCACGAAGUAGUUGAAGAUUCAAAAACUAAAAUAAAAUAUCAACAAGGAAGAAAAGGUACCUUGGAAGAAAUUCAGUCACGAUGGAUAGAUGAGGUACACGAGUGACAGCCCCCAUGAAAAGAACAACAUUAGGAUGACGCAAUCUUCUCAUUAUUCCCACCUAAACAGAAACAAAUAGUGUACUAAAUAACAUGAGAAAUUUUGGCGGUUGAAAAUUAUCAUUAUAAUGUAGACGUGCCGACAGAUAAUUCGAUGCCAUACCAUGCAGUUGGUGUAGGACGAACCAACACUAACUUCUUUUGUGAGGAAAAUACUUUUGAACUUUAAUGUAUUACCAAAAUCAUUAAAAAAGAUUGUGUUCAAGCCAGCUAACUGUAAUUUGUUGGAUUUUGUUAGUCUCCAUGGUCUACUUCGGAACUGUGCAGAUCAACAGUGCUUGGUUUAUUAUCAUGCUUGUCACUUUCAUGUCAUACUCAUACCAUGCCGAGUGCCAAACAAGCACUAACUUAUACUGUGACCUAGAUGUGUUUGAAGUACCACUACUGUUCUUUUUUGAGCUGUUUUACAGUUACCUCAAAUGAACACAACCUUCAUUCCUUUUCAUGAAAUGGUCUAGAUUAAUUAAGAUUUGCAUCUACUUCACCUGCUAAAAUGCAGGAGUAGCAUCUGUUAAGGGCUUAUGUGGUACGUUGGUGUAAGUACUAGGAUAUGCAGCUGAGUAAUUUUUCAAUGCUGGCCCUUCCCUAAUUUCCGCUGGCAAUUCCUUAAUAUUCUCCUGGUCCUAACAAUAGAAAGCUUAGCCAGGUAACAAUUAUGGAACACCAUUCACUAGUCAAGGUAACCGACCAUCGUCCACAUCGAUCCCAUUCCCGUGUCAGACCAUAUAGAUUGGCCGCAGAGAACAAAUAUGCUGCUGCAUGUGGACUGACAACAGUUGCAGUAACCAGCCUGUACUUGAACAUAAAUCGCAGCACAGCUAGAGCCAACGCCGUCAAGAAGCAUGCAGUGAAGCAUGUUGCAGCAAUGCUGGUCCAUAGGAUCUGCAGACAGGUUUGGCAAGGUGGCAGUGUUGGCUACAUGUGCGCAGCUACAAGGAACAAUGCAACAAUCCACGUGACAACCUCCACAAUAAGUCUUCUUAUAUUAGAUUAGAAAAAAAGUCUAGAUGCCACAUAACAUAUCAACAGUUAAAUUCAAUUUCUACUGCCGACUCUACAGGAGUAGUAUGCGCCGUAGAAUCUCUCUUUUUUUACUUGUCGUUUAGAAAAUCAACAUGGCCUUGAAUAAAUUUGUUUAGCAUUAUUCUUUACAAUUAUUUAUCAGUAAAAACUACUAAGGAUAUAAUCAUAUAAUAGUUUUUAAUGUCUAGUUCACUCAUUUCAUUUUCAUGUGCCAAAUGUUAGAUUUUGUUUUUGAGAUUUGCUGCAUGCAUUCUAAAAAGAGAUUAAUUCAGGUGAGAGAGCACAAAAUUAAAACAAGAAAAAGAAUUGUGCUGUGUUCAAGUCAGCUAAUUGUAUUCAUUAAUUUUUCAUGGUCUACUUCAAAACUGGGCAGAUCAACACAUCAUGGUUUAUUACGACACCAUCUUGUAUUGAAUAGGUAAGACAUGCCAAUACAAAAUUUAACCAUUUUCUUUAAGUUAAUCAUGCUGACCGUUAAAAAUGUCCCAACACUAAAUAUUAGGUUGCCUGUUCUAACCGAUACAUACACUGUGUCAUUUUUAAGCUCGCAUAGGACUAAUAAUAAAAUGUUGCUAUUGGGAUUUGGGAUUAUUAGUCAAACACAACACAACAAUUGCAAAAGGUAACCUUAGCCAAAUGGAAGGUAUAAGUUCUGCAUAUCUAUAUAACUAUCUGACAAGCUCAAGAUUAUUGGUUCAACUGUCAGAUGUUCUCAGGAUUAUUGGUUAAUUAAGAUUAAGAAAAUAAAUCAUUUCAUUAUAAAGCUAACACUAUUCCAUUUUGUAGCCUUCAGAUAUUUAAAAUGCGAAAAUCCAUAUACCUCAGUUCUAAAUUCUUCAAGAGCAUCACUUGAAAUAUCUUGUUGCAAGAAUUUCUUGACCGCGACUUCCUACACAGAGGGGCAAAUUGCUAUGAUGCAAUAGAAGCAGCACAAAGAUGGAAAUGGUAGACAGUUUUUACUAAUCAUGCAGAGUGAAAAAAAAAUGAGCUCUGUAUAAGUUAAAUCAAAUCAAUCAUUUGUAGGUUAGCUGCUUCAAUUUUAACAUUCUUCACCUUCAAGUCCAAGCAUCUACAGUUCAGGCAGGAACACAUAAUAAUAAUAAUAAUAAUAUAGUUGUGAUAACUAUUAUAAUAUGUCAGAAACCUUUUUUAGGGAGAAUGAAAUGCCUAAGGCUAAGAAAUUGUUUAAAUAUACCUUGAUGACUACUAGAUUGACAUUGACUUAAAAGUGGAUCUCAUGUCGAUAUAUAGAAAUGAGUAAAAUGCACCCCAAGGUCCCUAAACUUGUACGCUGUGUCAGUUAGGUCCCUAAACUUUCAAAAUGCAUAUUUGGGUCCCUAAACCAUUUAAAGGGGUUCAUCCCGGGUCCCAAGCACGCCGGCCUUUUUUUUUAGUAUCGACGUGGCAUGCCACGUGGUCGCCAUGCUGGCAAACAUUUAUAAAAAUCACCCUGCAGAGUGUUCUCUACUCCUAUUUACUCUUCUAUCUCUCCCUCUGAAUGGCAACUCAAGGGCGAGCUGCCCAAGGCCAGGCCAUAGCCGGUGGUGGCUUGGCCGGCCGUGGGCUGCUGGCGUUGGGCUGGACGGUGGUGGCGCCGUGGCCAGCACUCAUAGGCGCAGGGCCGCACGGAGGUGGCCUGCAACGGGUGGAGCGGUGGCAGCGAGUUGGCCGCGGCGGCGCGAGGGGCAGCCGAGAAAAGGGUCGGGGAGGCGAGGGCGGCGCCAUGUUGUUCACUGUGGGCUUGUCUUGGGUGGAGGAAGGCCGGAGGAGGUUUGUCGGCGUGCGGCUCGGAGCUCCGGCGGACUUCAAUGGCGACCGGCUGGGUGGAGACGAUUCCGGCCGGAAAACGGCAGGAAUGGGUGGGGAAAGUGGCAGGGAAGUUGGAGGAGGAGGUGGGGGAGGCUAUCGCGGAGAGAAUCGAGGAGGGAAGGGGUGUGGCCAGCGUAUUGCGGCCGGCGGCGGAGGCAACUCAGCUCGGCCGAGCUGGAAGAAGAGAGAAAGGGGAAGAAUGAGGGGAAUGGUGCCGAGGAAAAGGGAGCGCUGGCCUGAGGCGCCCGCAGCCCCACGUGUUGCUGGCGCACCUGCCCGUGGUCAUCCGGUCCUCCACAAGCAGGCAAGCCUCAUGCCACUUGUGGAACUCGACCCGUCCGUGGCGUGCUUCGUGACGCACGGCGGGUGGAACUCGACCCUAGAGGGCGUGGCUUGCGGCGUGCCGCUGGUCGUGGCGCCGCAGUACUCAGACCCUGGCUCGUCGCGGAACAAACGGGCGCCAUCGUCCACGCGCGAGGUGGACGUCACCGUGGAGGCCGCGGAGCUGGCGCGGUGCGUGGCGGGUGUGACAUCAAGGGCGGUUGCGUCCUGUGGAGGUAGGAGGCGAGGGCGGCCAUGGCCGGGGGGGAGGGGGCUCGAACUGGAGCCUGACGGAGUUCCUGAGGCAACUAGCAGAUCACGCGUAGCUCGCUCCGUUUCCAGCGAAAAAUGAACGAUAAUUGAGUGUGAUUUGGUCGAGAAAUCGAUUGCUAGUUUUAAAAAUGGGAAUAAAACUCCAUUGAAGGAGAUCGACACGGAUGGCUCCAAUCCAAAAUGGCGCAGGCCGGAGAGAGAGAGAGAGAUUGGAGAAGAAGAGAGAGGGGGAAGGAGGGAGAGAGAGAGGAUGCGGAAUGUGGAGGACUCUUUUGCAUAUCGAUGCCAUGGUGGCAUGCCACGUCGGCACUGGGAGCACGCGUGGCGUGUUUGGGACCUGAGAUGGACCCCUUUAAACGGUUUAGGGACCCAAAUAUGCAUUUUGAGAGUUUAGGGACCCAACUGGCAGUCUGGCACAGUAGUACAAGUUUGGGGACAUGUGUGCACUUUACUUUAUAGAAAUAAUACCCCCUCGGGUAUUCAAGGUUAGUACUAUAUCGUUGUGGUACUUAAUUGCUCAAAUACAAAAUUCAAGACAUGAUUUAUUGCAGCCAUGUGCCUAGCUGUAACUUGUAACAAGAUUUAGCAAACAAUGUGCCUAGCUGUAACUUGUAACAAGAUGUAGCGCUACCUCAGUUAGGUGGCGUUCAGUGGCCCUAUAAAAAGGAGUGCAGGACUUCCUAUGCAGUUGCAACAAAGAAUGGAAACUGUUCUAAAUUUUGCCAAGGUGAAAUAGCGGGGAUUAUUCGAACAUAAUCUUUCUUCAUCACAUUAGAUCUCAUUCUACCAUAAGUUUAGGCUUAUUAUUCCAACCUGAUCUCAUUCUAAUUUAGUGAGACAAGGCAGAUGAAGAACUUACUGUUCCAUGCCAUUCACCUCUGUAUACUUCUCCAAAAGAUCCUGGAGAUUAAAGAAGCAAGUCAGAACAGCAUUGAAAAUACAAGGCGGUGUGAUUUCACGUUUCAAAGUAUAUUUUAUAUUAUUUUCAGUUAAGAAAAGCCGUGACUUAGGAAUGGCAAUCUUUAGCCAGUAACAUUGCAAAUAAAUUGAUAGUUAUACAAACUGAGCAAUGAAGAAAUUGAAUUUGAAAAAAAUCAAGAGAAUUGUACCCAGCCCAACACGUUCUCCAAGAGUAAGAUCUUCCCAUUGGAUUUCAAAUUCUGCAACAUCAUCCAGAGCAAUUUCAGAUCUUGCACUCUCUGUCCCAGUUGACCUAUCAGAAACUCGCUCAGCUUCCUGAGGUGCUUGAACCGAAUCCUUUUCAUGCUCGACGGCAUUAUCCAGCUGAUCGUUUUCCAACAAGUCAUGUUUACCUUUUUGGAUUGAUUUGGUUGAUGAACUUGGCAAGCAAAGCAAUUGACAACCAGGAUCAAGAUAUUCAUAUUGCUUGUUAACAGCAGCAGUAGUAGCGACAACUGCAGCAGCAGUGGCUGCAGCUGCAACUGGCACAUCUAGUUUGAUAUCGCUGUUAGAUUUAGCUGCAGCAACGACCAUUGAAGACGCGACCACGGCAGCUGUUGCAACAGCAGCAGCUGUAACAGGCAUUUGCUUUAUAAGUUGUAAUGGAUUUUCCUGGGGAGGUGCAGAUGGUUCAGACAGAGGUACAGAGGGAGCAGCAUUAUCCCGGGAAUCAAAUGGAUGGUAAACACCCAAUCCCUGGACAGGCUUAAGGUCAAGAGGCGUCCGAUAAGGAACAAUCUUGAGCUCAUGUCCAGGAUGAUGUGGCAUUGGAGGACCAUGGCCACCAGAACAGUCGUGUGCUGUGGAUUCAAGCUCAUUCAUUGUCCUUAUCAUUUCAUCUUUCGUUUGAAAUACAGAUGUGUCGUAAACAAUCAGGUCUUUUGGUUGUUCCUUUGAUUCUUCUGAAAACAAGUCAGGUGGUGGCACAACUCCACUUUCAAGUAAUACAGCAUGGAUCUUUUCUGCCAACUGGGGGUUCUCCUUUGCAGCACUAAUCAUAUACUCUGAGACAUCUUUCACUUUCUUCCUCCGUACAGCUGGAGUACUGCCCAUCUCAGAAGAUGGAGGCGAACUUGAUGACGAAUUAUUUGAUGUGAUCGACUUAUCUUUGCUUUUUGAAGUCAUGAUAUGAUCUGCACUAGAUUCAUGAAUAAUAGGCACAUUUUCACUUGCAUAUGUGGAAAUUGAUAGUUCCUCAAAUGAACUUGAUACCCCAGACCCAGAUACGUCAUUAUCAGUCUGGGCAUUUGUUGCUCCAUAUGGACCAGAAUGCCCAGCAUUUCUAGGUGUGAAUCCUUUUUCAAGCGAUUCAUUUUCAAAUGAACCGUGAAUGGAACUUGAAGCUUCACUGAAAGAAUAAACCAACUGAGUGUCGCUGUCAUGUUGAUCAUCAACGAAUAAACUGUCUUCCACUUCUCUACCCAGGUCGGCACCAUCUGAUGGAAUCAGAGUACCAGGAUCUACCAUGAGAUCGACAAUGCAUUCCCUGUAAACAUGUUGUGCGUUACCGAUGGUAAUGUAUUAACUUAAUGCAAUACCCAUUACUAACAUAAGGGGCUGAAAUCAGAAAUCUGGACAAACCGAUCAUAAUCCCUAAUAUCCAAGUACUAAAAGAAUAACUUCUACCAUCAAGGGAUUGGUAAGCACAGUACCUUCCAUCAUUAAAUUUCACAAUGUUCAAAGCUCCAUCAUCUGAUCCAGUGUACUGCCUUCCUUUAACUAGUCGACAAGGAACAGCAAGGCUGUCUGCCAACACCUAGAUGCAAGUAUGCAGAGAAUAGGCAUCAAAAUACUGAAAGACCAGAAACAAAUAAGUUUGCAAGCAUCAACACAAGUUGAACCGUUAUGUCAGGAGUUCAGCUGGGUACAUUACAAAAAUGAAGUCAGGUUUUGUGCUACUAACUAAACAAGGAUAACAAGAAAAUGAUCAUGUCAAAUUUUGUAUUGAACAGAAGAUAUUGCAUUUCAAAAUGAUUGCCAUCCACGAUUGCAUCUCUACUGCUUAUUGUUUAUGACAGAUUUCAUAAUACCAAAAGUAAUGCGCCUCAGAUUGCUCACCACAAUGUGAUUUGUUACUGACCUUAAAAAGCAGUGCACGGUGCCGAGCCAAACCAACUUUUAGCCGCCCAAGAGGUAUAACUGCACUUCUUAUAUCAGCUCUCAAUGCACUGGUCAUAUUCCGGUACUUCAACAGCAUGCUUUCUGGAUCAACCACUGGUCCACCCAUAUAGUUGGAAACUAAAUUAGCUAGAGUCUGAACCAAAGUGCGGCCAACAAACUCUGAAUUUUUCGAGCGAAAUUCCACACUCAUGAUAAAUGCCUUCUGCUCCAGUGCUACAAGCUCAGAGUCUAGUGUUCUGUUGACCAAUACAGCUUCGGUUUUGGCUCCAUGUGAAAAAGGCAGCGCUUGCAGUUCCAUCAGAGAGGGUAUGGUCGAUAAUGUUGGCAUGGCCGAUAAUGUCGGCUCAUCCCCAGUUGCACAAAGGUCAUAGAAACCAUCCAAAAUUUUGUCGUCGUAGCUAAGGGCAUUGAAACUCUGUGAAGCACGAACAAAUCUACCAUAUGAGAAGUAAGAAAAUGGUAAGAGUCACAAAUACAUACAGCAGUUUUACUUCUUUACAAUAUCUGACGAAGGAGAACAUCUAAUGGUGGCUAGUGGCUGCUGCUAAUUCUAGGCUGCUGAUUGAGUGUUUCAGUGCAUUGCAAAUGCGCCUCCUAAAAAAGCAUGGUAGCCAUUAGCUUCUAUAAAGCAAGCCAGAUGUUCAUUAUGGUGAAAAACAACUAAACCAAACAACUAAACCCCACUACUGCAAAUCAUGGUCUAACUUUUUUUCCUUCAAAAAAUAAAAGAAGGUCGGAUUAUGAAUGGUAGACCAAUCCAUGGUGUACUGUUCCUGACUAACGUAAUUUCAGAGAUAUACCAGAAAAGGAAAUAAGCAUACAUACCAUAACGAGCUAAGUUACGUAACUACACUAUCCCAUGCUCCGAUACCCAUUCCGUUCCAGGAUAGAGUUCAACAUCUAUCAGAAGAACACCACCAUGAUGCAACUCACGUCUGGCCAAACUACCGCACGAAAUCCCAUUUCGGCUCUGACGUUCAAUUCGCAUGAACAUAGCACGAUUCAGAUCGCAUCACAGUAAGGGAACAAUCUACUUACUAGAAGAUAGUCAGAUACUAGGAUGGAGAGGUGGGGAUGGAGAUGCUGAGUACCCAGUAUCGGAAGGCGACGACCUCCGCGGGGGAGCUCUGGAGCGGGCAGGAGCCGAGGCUGAUCUGCUUGGCCACCUCGAUCUGCAUCGCCUCGGGGUCCUCCCGCACGCUCAUCUCGAGCGCUAGCUGCAUGUGGUAGUCCUCCAGCUCCGCCUCCCGCUUCUCCUUCUUCUCCAUCUCCACCUCCCGCUUCCUCUCGUCCUCCGCCUCCUUCCGGGACUCCUCCUCCCGGGCAGCCCUCCUCUCCUCAACCGACGAAGCCAGCGCAGUCGCCAACGCGUUCUCCUCCGCCUCCACCUCUGCCGCCGUCGCAGCAGCAGCAGGCGCCGGGAGGGGCGGCGGCGCGUGCGGCCGCCCAGUCACGGAGCUUAGCCAGCCCGACAACCCGGAGGCGUGCUUGUGCUCGCCCCCGCCGCCGCCGCCCUUCUUCGUCGGCGGCGGGGGAGGUGCCGACAGCGACGAGGCGCCGUCGCCGCCGGCUGAGUCGCCGAUGUGCAGCUUCCUGAGGAAGUUCUUCAUCCCUCCGGCGCCGCCGCAGCUACCGGUGGUGGGGCGGUGGAUCCAGCAUGGCUACGGAUGCGGCUGCGGAGGCGGGCAGGAGGUGGAGUGCGAGGAUUGACCUGCUCGCGUGCACCCCAAGCCGCAUUAAAUUAUUCCCGUUAUUUGCUUCGCCCGCUGCAACUGGCUGCUGCUCCGCUCCGCUUGCUUGCUCGCUCCCACGACGAGCUGACGCAAGCAGUAAUCCAAAUUUAGUCUGGCUGAACCGGAAAUUCGGGUGCUCGAGUGCGAUUGGUGGGCGGCGACUAAUUAAAUACGGAAGGGCGCCCGGCUGGCGGCUUUCGACUUCACACCUAGUUCGCGUGACAUGUAGGGUCGCGGCUGAGUGGCCCCACGAGCCAGUGAAAGCAUUACGUGGCGCCUGCGUGACGUAACCUGACCGGCGGGGUGUACGAGCGGAAGUGAUUAGUCUGACGAGAGCAAAGAAAAAGGGCGACAAGCAGGACGGGGACUCGAUCUGGCAUGCUGGUGGGGGCCGCCUGCGGUCGGCCCACUUGACCGUCGCCGGGUCGGGAGCAGGCAGGCAAGUUGGCCACUGGUGGGUCUUCGCUUGCUCGGGCCCCGCCCCUCGUAGGCCGCGCGCCCACCACCAUGUGGGGCCCGGGACCCGCGCGCGGGUGGUGCUGCGGAACCGACGGCGCACGCAGGUGGGCGCGCGGGUGUGUGGUUGCGUGUGGUGGGACCCACCCCGCGCAGCCACGAGCGUGUGGGCCCUCCCCCUCGUGGAAUUUCUCGGGCUGUAACCUGGUUGGCUCGGUGCUCGCAGUGGCUCAUCGCUUGUUUGUAGUGGCGCUUUCACGCGGUGUAGCGUAGGGGUUGUUUGGUUGUCUGCCUCGGACGCCGCGUCACAUCACAUAUCUCACGCCGUAGGUGUAGCGGCCGAAUCGGCCGCUUGGUUGUUUGCCUCGGACGCCGCGUCACAUCACAUAUCUCGCGCCUCGCGCCGUAAGUGUAGCGGCCUUCUUAACUCGGAGAUACUCCUUCGGUACUACUUGGCUACUAUUUGAACAGAAGGCCGCCGCACCUUAGACGCGGUGUGGCACCAUCGGUGAGUGGGCAGGCAAACAGCCCUUUAACCUCCUCUUCUAUCUUCGCUUCGCACGACGGAGGGAGGCCCAGUUUACGGGUGCGUGCACGUGGAAAGUUCGUGCGGCCACGGUGGCAUUGAAGAUUCUGCGUUCUAGACUAAUCCCCGCCUUCGGUAGGCGGUAUACGUACCAGUAGUAAGUAGUCACUUCUUGGUCAAAUUUUAGCGUUGCAAACAUUUUAAGCUUCUUUUUUUCUUUUGCGAAACGCAGCUUUGUGGUCGCAGCUUCUUGUGAACGGUAUAUUUGCCUAUUUUUUGUGUGCAUGUUUCUUCAAAGUCAUGGCACGAGACUUCUCUAUUCUCACGGAGAACUGCUGAACUGUACACAUCUGUUGACAAUGGUUCUGCUGGCAUGGCCAGGCUUUUUUUUUUCCCCUGCUGAAGUCUGUAUAGUUAUCAAGUGUAGACAGGAGAUAAAAUAAGUCAGAAAUGAGAAAGAUACAAUAUGGCAGGAUGUGGAGACUUGUUCAACGGGGAGCAGAGCUUGGAGUGUAGUAUGAAGCUUCCUCGCGACGCCGGAUGCGAGGGCUACUGCUAAAACCCGACAAAUGCCUAGCACUGGCAGCCUGGGAGAGAUCGAAGGCACAGUUGGACAAACAAGUCGCGAGUAUUUAAAUACGGGUUACGAGAUGCACAUCCACUGGGUUGAACGGACAAACGGUUAUUAAUAACCUAGUGGGACAAAAAUAUUCUUGCAUGUAAAAGAGGGGUUCUUUUCCCCGGUGAGUGUAGGUGGAUCUAGAAUCAAUUGUGUAGGCAAGAACUUUCUUUUUUGCGAAUGUGUAGGCAAGUACUUUAACGACAUGUAGUAUACUAGUUUAAGAUUUGGAAUAGUUUGAUUCAGAACAAACUUAAAAAUACCUACAUUUUAGAACGGGUGAGUAUUUGCCAGAGACUUCUUCUGAAGUUUCCAAGUAAAUCAUCACACAUUUGAAAAAAUAAAUUAGAAAUCUCCAUGUUAUAUUACUAAUAGGGGUGUACAACUACGUUUUGGAUUAAAACCAAACCCAACCAGUCCCUCUCCUUAUGAACGUACAGUAACAACGGGGGUUAUACUUGUACAUACCUUACUGCUGCCGGUUUGGACAAUUUGGGUUUCAAACCAGUCUGAGCACCCCUAAUUACUAGUUAAGAGACCUCUUGGACUUAUCCUGAAAUCUGAAUGACACAGGAUGCACUAGAAAAAAAAAUAGAAAUUCUAAAAAAUAUUAAAGCAAUUUUGAAUAUUGGUUACUCAUGAAUGUCCAAUCCUUAUAUAUUCAAAAUUAAUAGUUGAUAGAUUAGUUUAUAUAUGAAUAUGAAUGUAUGACGGGAGAACUGCUCUGGUGGUUUGUAUGAUGCAAGGGCACAGAAUUUGACUUGGUUCGUGUUUGGCUCAAUUGACAAUUAUUAGUUCAAACGAAAGCAGUCUUAACCAGUUAUUAUGGGCUUAUGUCACCCCUGAAAGGAUUGUUUCUUCAUGGCGUGGUGUAUUUUGGAGAAUUGGUGAUUGAUUUCUUCGUUGUUCCUGACAACCCAUGACCUGAGUCAAGAAAAAUCGCCCACAACAGCCUUUCGUUUUCUUUUCUUUCUCUACAGUUUCUAGCAAACAGGUUGUGCUCCUGUUCAAUAUUUCAUUGAUUAAUUCGUACCCAUCCUCCGAAUAUCCGUACUGUGAAAUUAAGUCGUAAAUUGUAAAAAAAAAAUUUGAGGAACUAAACAACAGUUUCGUAGCGUAAGCAUUUGAUACUAUGAUUAUGAAGUUUCAAAUAUUCCUAUGUUUAACCUUUUAUACCACCAUCACAGCUGUGCCAUUCCAAAUUGCUCCUCAAAUAGUUAACAUUUUGACACCCUCAGAACAGUAACUAACUGCACACAAUUAUUAUCAGAUAAAGGAUGCUACCAAUAUGAAAGAAUAAGUAUUACAUUUAUAUUACACUACAUUAUCCUUUGCUCACAUUAAGAAAAAUAGAGAAAUAUUUAGGCAGCCGGAGGUAUUCAGCAAUGACUAAACAUACUAGGAUCGCAUAGUUUACAUUCAAUUAAAUGUGAACCUCAUUUCUUUUGAUCCAAUAGCCUACAUGAUUUCAAACUUUCAUCUAGCCUUCCGGUAGAAAAGGGGGGUAGCAAAACACCUCGCGUGAGUGGUAGAAGGUAAUGUAGGCUUUUUCAUGGAAGUAAAACUCGUUUACAAUAACUGUGUUCUACCAAAGCUAACAUGAAAAAAAUCUUUGAAGGUGACGUAAACGCAAAAGAAGAGUUCGCAAGAAUAAAACUCCACAUGGCAUCAGCAAAAUGGCUGCAGACAGUUGAUAUUUUGCCUCCACCGCUGCUGCCCGGCCAAUGCUGCUGGUACGCACCAGCUGACACCAUGGGGACUAGUUGACUUGCAUGACAUGUACCAAACUACACAGCUGAUCAGCUUCAACAUCAAAUUGAAGAAACCUAUGUAGACUCCUAAAUGGGAUCUUCACUGCAUCUGCAUACUGAAUUAUCGAAGGGGUCGUCUGUGACCAAAUCAUGAAUAUGCCUAACGUGUACCAAACCAAAUAACUCAUUAUCAAACUUGAUAUCAAACUCUGCAAUGUGAGAAGAUCUGGUCUCCAGCUGUAGCUUCUUACGCAUAACAGCCAAGAAUCAUCAUAUGUUCCAGCACUCUGGCAUUCACGACAAAGAACUUGGCGAAAUUUACUUCUGAUUCGCUCCCCGCAUAACAGGUUCACACCAACCUUUUGAGGUGGAGAUCAAGGCAUUCUAGUUGAUCAUAGCGCUGCUCAUUUUUGCAAUUACGUUGACUGUACAACUGAUAAGAAAACUGAAAGGAGAAACAAGCACGCAUGGAAAGCAUUUCAAAUAUGAACAGUUGUGGGACAAAAUGAGCAACAGUAAAUUAAAAUCAUCUCACCUCAAUAUAUAACUUCUCCACACAUGGAAAGCAUUUCAAAAGACCAAUGACAAGAUCCAGAUUAGAAGCAAUGAUUAGAGCCAAAGUCUUCACUGUACGCACCGAGGUAGACAAGGUAACAGGCAUCAUUUUCUGAAACAGGCCAGAAACAUGAAAUGUAAGAGUGAGAGCAUAUAAACAUAAAUAAAUGGUUAGGACAUUUAUGACUGCAGCUACCUCGAAAACCAGGGUCCCAAACUGAAAUGUGGAUAUGCAGUGAUCCUCUAGAUAUCCCAAUAUCUUCAGUUUGGGAGCCUGAAGCACCCGGAUUACCAUAAAAUAUCUAACAUUGCGGGGAAUCAGCCUUUCUAACAGUGGGACAUCCUCAACAAUGAGUUCUUCGAGCUCCCCCGGUUGCCUACAGUCACCAUUGGACACACCAAGGCUCCGAAGUGUCGGGGAUCUUAUCCGGAGACGACGAUAGCCAACAUUACAACAAAGGAGCAAGCUCUCCAGGACAGAGGCAUCCUGAUAGCAUUCCAUGGAGGGAGCUCUCGGAGAUUCCGACGCGCUUGAGAGUGAGUUGCUUGAGGCGAGGGAAGCUGAGAGUGCGCAGGCGUUCUCCGUGGGGAGCCGAAGCACGCGGUAGCUCGAGCAGAUGCAAAGGUUGCAGAGGGUGGAUGAGAAGCGACACGUGUGGAUAGCGGCAGCAAGAGAUCCCCCCGGCGUUGGAUAUACCACGUCCAAAGGCAUGGUAGAACAGCUCGAACUCAUGGAGGGGCGGACAAACGGAGCCAGCCGUCGACGGUGACGGCGAGGAGGCGGCGGGACCAGCUGAUGUCGUCUUCCUCGUACCAAUGGAGGGAGAAGCGGCGCGUGCGGCCCUGGUGAGAGGAGAGGAUACCGGAGGCCAGCCUCACCAGCUCCUCUUCCUCGUCGCUGUUAACGACCACAGCAUUGAGGUUGAGGGGGGACGAGCGCCACAGGGGCCGCCACCGGCGCGAGAGGGCUUGGGUGCGGGCGCCUUCCUCGGGUGGGAGGAGGGUGAUGAUGUCACCGAGGACGCCAUCCGGGAGGAGGCUGAUGAGGACGCGGCCUUCGUCUUCAUCGAUCCCGGCUGCUUGCAGCUUCCGUCUCUUCGACCCGGUUACCACCUCCAUGGAGGGAUCGUCUCACCUAGCGAUUAAGGCCUAGGAUUGGUAAACAAAGGUGCGAUUAGGAGGAUUCGAAACACGAUUCCAUCCAUUCUACGUCUAUCCAUUGAUCACUGCAACUUGGAUUGGAAGCACACACUUAAAAAUUGAAAUUGGGGCAAGGCAAACCCGAAUGGAGUAUCACCUGCGUGCUGCCUGUCAGAAGCCCCCGGCUUCCCGUCGAACAAGCAGGUGCACAGGUUCGACGCCAACACGCCCCCGCCGUCUCCGCGGAACGGUCGCCGCCGCCGAUAGGGAUAGCAAGAAAUCGGAGUCGGAAUGGUUAAAAGAUGCUCGUGUUUGCUAUGCUCUCCGCGCUUCCCGCGUCAAAUCGGACGCGUGUCGAUCAGCGUGCGGAGGCCGCGCAUCAGCCGAGGAGUCCGUCGCGUGAAAGCACGUGCCGCCGGGUUCAGAUUGUCUAACGUGCUGAAGCGAAGUCACGCGUGAUGCACUCCGUUUGCCAUCCAAUCGAACGGUUGAUGAAGGUACAUCUUUCCCAGCACCUAUGUAGAGCGUCAGCCCAGCUGCCAAUUCUAGUCUAAAUAUGGCCCAGUUCGCGAGAAGAGUAAGGAAACAGAGCUGAACAGAUAUUUCAGUGCAUUAAAACUCUGCUUUUGUACAAAAUUAAACAAGAAUUUCACUUUAACUAAAAUAACCGUAAUAAGCUUUACUAAUGACUACUAAUCCAACGACUCAUAUAGCUCAAAAAAACAAUUAAUAUGACAAUGGAAGCUGUAGAAUAAAUAGACAUUUCGUUUACAGUUUCAUCAGUUCCAUGCUCUGAAUAUCUAAUAUAAUCCCAUCCAAAAGGCACUGCUACAACUAGCGACAUUGUACAGUCAGCCGUAGAUUUUGCUUGGCUAUGGGAGCUCCACCAAAGACCACCAAUUAGCAAAUUUGUGGCAAUGGGAGCUCCACCAAAAACCACCAAUUAGCACAUUUGUGCUAAACGCAUCCUCCCAAAAGAACAAAAUAACAUUACAAAAGAACAAAGAUCCUUGCAGAUGGCAAUAGCUACAGAUUUAGGUCCCUAAAGAAGUUCAUGAAUAGGGAUAUCAUCAAUUUCACUAGGAUCCUGCAUAAGACAUAAGAAAGGUUAAAACAGGGCAACAGUAAAACUAGUUUAGACAAGUUGAAAUAGAGCAACGCUGAGUUAAAAUUACCAUAAGCAAAUCUCUAAAGUUAGUAAAGGCAUUACUGUCCUUGUGAGUAUUGUCCAUUGGUGUUUGAGUUCCUGCAUCACAACCAUCGUCUUGAUGCUGCAUAAAGCGUAUAACCGUGUUAUUUAGAAGACAACAGCGAAUAACUUAAAUAUAAUACAAGGGUUUUGCAGCAGCAUACAUUAGAUUUAUUUGACACUUUCUUUUUGAAUUUCCUUGUCUUGUCGAGCCAGCUUCUAGGUCGCUUCGAACUUCUUGGUUGGACAUCUUUUUUCUUUAGGCGAGCAGCACCAAGUAAAUCAUCGCCUUGUUGAACAUUAGGCUGGGCAGUACACGAUUCACUCAAAAUACUUCUAGAUGCACUGAUUUUGUCCUCUAGUUGCUUACCAAGGCUAUCAAGUGUACUAUCUAUCACUGAACAACAUUCCAGAGAGCUUGCAGCUUGAUAUGCCAAGAUCAAAAAUUUGUGAGACAAAUACCUAUAGCGAAGCAUAGCAUCCAAUUUUGGAUUUUCAAUGAUGCUCCUUCCUUUGUUGUCAUGUAUAGUGCCAUGCCUUGCUUCGCUUGUCCAACGUUUCAGAAUACAAUGGUCUGGUAGUAACUUAAUAUUCAUCAAGUCGAGAACUUUCAAAGCAUGGGCACACAAUACCCCGGUCCUUGUAAACUGCUCACAAUUACAUGAUGCCCUUUGCUCCAAAGAAUUACCAUCAACUAUGCGCUCUUGUUCAGAACUUAAAUCACCAUUAGCCCUCACAAUUGCAACAGCAUAUGUGUUAUUUCCACCCAAUGAUCUAGCACAAGCAGCCAUGCUUAUUUCAUAUUCGGUUUGGAAUGAUUCAAAUAUCGGGGGGUGUAAAUUUUGCUUGCUUGCACUAACAUAGGUGUGUUCAUUCUUAUUCUAGGUAGCUUUUUUCUAGCUUCGAAUACUUCAUCAAGCUCUUUGUUUCUUUUUAUUUGCACAGCCUUUUCAAAAUGCUUCAAGAAACGAAUGAUGUCAAGAUCCAACUUCAAAUGUGUUUUUAAGUCACUAUUAAAACUCUCACUUAGUUGUGUGCUUCUCAUUCCCAAUGUAAAAAUAUCCCUCAUGUAACAUUCAGCCCACUGUUCCUUGAACUUGUAGAUGUUAUCUAGCCAUGAUGCCUUUUUUUUGUCCACCUUACUCCUUAUGAUGUCAAAUGCUUCCGCAAAGGCUCCUUUGUCCUCAAUGUUAUACAUGCAAGCACUAAACUCCGAGAGAAUGUGAGGCUCUUCUUUUUCUUUAUCAUCAUCAUCAUUUUUACCAUUGCUUAAGUGCUUGACAGCAUUCUGCAUUAUGUGAAAGGUGCAUAAUCCAUGCCAAGCUUCUACAAAUACCUCUCGAACGGCCUUUCCCAUUGCGAUAUCUUGAUCAGUAAAUAUAGUUCUAGACUGUUUACCAUUAUGUGCUGACAGAAAAGUCUGAAACAGCCAUGUGAAAGAAGCACAUGUUUCAUCAAACAAAAGAGCAGCUCCAAAAAUGACGGUUUCUCUAAAUUGAUUGAACCCAACAAAGACGCCGAAAGGCCUAUAUUCUUUGUUUAUACCAAAGGUAGUGUCAAAUGUGACAACAUCCCCAAAGUGAGCAUAAUCAAUUAUCAUCUUAGCAUUAGCCCAAAAUAUAUUGGAUAUUUGUUCCUCACAGUCCAAUUGCACAGCAUAGUGAAAAGAUGGGUUCUCAGAUAUCUUAUCUUGAAAAUAUUUCAACAUGCUUCCUGCUUGCCCAUAUGUCAACUCUCUUUGGCGCUUGCCCCGUAAAUAAUUUUUGUGAUCACGACAAGUGUAACUAAGAUUCAUUGCCCCUCCAACUUGCCGACUAGCCAAUUCAUGUGCAGUUUUUGAUCUAAUUCAUGAAUCAUCGGCGGCCUCAAUUUCAAAGGCCUGCACUUCUGAAAUCCUCCUUUGUGAUAACAUUAGAUGGAAGGUUUGUGGUAAGUGAAGGAUAUGAUUAUGCACAAGAAUUAGAUCGAACAAUUCAUAAUUUUCUUGUUCUCGAUCUAACGUAAGACCCAUCCGAACUGGACAACCUGUUCUUGUUUCAGCUCGAGGAUUUUUGGUGGCAUGGUCUCUCUUGUCUCGUGCUCUACAACCCUCUUUGGCACACACAUAUCUACAUGAAGUUACUUUCCCAUCGUAUUUGCUCUCAUUUGUGUACCUUUUUCUGACCUCAAAGCCUACAUGACCUCCAUAUUCCACCUAAAAUAUCCAAGCAUCAUCCAAAUUUCUAAAUUUCUGGCCAAUUUGAGGUACCCAAAUAGGACUGACAUUCUCCUUGUAUGGAAUUAGAUGCAUACAUAUCACUGCUACCAGAUAUCUGGACGGAAACAAAAUAAAGGAAAACGAUUGCAAGUCUAACUUACCUGUUGCCUUCUUCCACCGAAUCGUGGUUGGUUGUUGGUUGCAGCACUGCCUCCAGCAAGCUUGAACGCGGUCCCCCUCCAUCUCCUCCCGGCAGCACUGCCAUCCAGAGCACGUGAGGUCAGCCACUCUUCCGCAGCUCGCACAGGAGCGGAGGUCGCCCGCAGUAGGAGCAAGCUCCGUGCCGCGUCUUCCGCGCCAAUCUCGUCCAGCGGCGGCAAGCCACAGCGGCUGUUGUCCUUCCCCUUCUCGCGAACUGGGCCAUAUUUGGGCUAGAAUUGGCAGCUGGGCUGACGCUCUACGCACUGGGAAAGAUGUACCUUCAUCAACCGUUGGAUGGCAAACGGAGGGCAUCGGGCGAUGCGCAAGUCACGCGUGACUUCGCUUCAGCAUGUUAGAGAAUCUGAACCCCGUGCUGCCCCCAUCCACAUGCACGGGCCCACUAUAUCCUUCCCCCUUGCGCUUGUAGCGCCCCAAUCUUAAAUAUAGCUCAAUUGUAUUCGUACAUUGAGUAAAUUUGAGUUUAUAUGUUGGUGAGACUCAUCUCAACUAGCAAGGUAGGACAGUUCUACUCGCACGUUGAGUAAAACACGCACUCGCACCAACCCCGCUUACGCUUUCGUCCUCGCUUCGCGCAAAAGGUUAACCCGAAGGUUGAAAUGCACUUGGCACUUGGAUUUAUAUAUUGGUAAAACUCACCCUCAAUUAGUAAGAUGGGACAAUUCCCUACACAUAUCAUACCACUCACUCUUAGACCACUUGCGCGCUCAAAUCGCUGUUGGGUCGGGAUGUCACAACCUUCGCCGCUGCGGCGGCAGCGCCACCGCAGGCACUGCAAUACGGGCGCGUGCGAGGCGCAGCUGCCGGCGCGUCCGAGGCGAGCGCUGACGGGCGUCUGUGACAACGCAUAAACCUCGGCCGGGUUCAGCCGCGCGGAUGGAGCAGGCCGCCUGGCGAGGCCUACGAACGAGCUGACGCGGCGCGAGGCACGAGGCGGGCGAGAACGGCGAAGCGGUGAACGGCCGUUCUGGCCCGAGACUGACGGCAGAAGCGGCACGCGGCGGCGCGGUGAGAGAACGCGGCGACACGCGCGGAGCGGUAUGGUUCCCGUUGUUCCGACACGCGAGAGGUAUUCACACCCCAACUCUAGCCUCUUUCUUCUCCGAUCCGUCGCCGCCUCCCAUCCAUCCCAAUCUCCCUCUCACUCAAGGAAACACGGUGACAACGCGUGAUGGCGCGCGACUGCCCGGCGAGCCUGGCGGAGCUCGACGCCUUGGCACAUGCUCCACCUGAGCUCCUGAGCUCGGCGACCAUUGGUGCUCUUCUCCACCAGAUCGACAGCCAGCACCAGCAAAGCAUCUUCUCCUUCCUUUUUUAUUUUUCCAGCAAAGCAACAAAAGCUUCAUUGAUUCCCUUUGCUCUGGAAAAUUUCGAUAUUUGAUAUUAAAUCCGCGCGCCUCACUACUUUUGACAUUCAAUUUAUAAGCCUUUCAAAAUAUAAGGUUUUGUAUGCGAAUUGCUUUUAGAUUUAAGGAAUUUCUUUCCCUUUUCUUGAUUUCGUAAUUUUCUUUUUCGUUUUCAUUUUACAGCACACAUGAACUGACUGUUUUGUCCCUUACCUUAUCUCUCCUGCCCCUCUCGCUCGUCCCUGUCUCUCUCGCUCUCUUCUCACUCUUCUCAAUCGCCGGCCUCGGCUGCCCCUCCACUUCCACCACCGCCCCUGCUCCCACGCCUCGCACGCGUGCCACCUGCGUCUAUCCCGUCAUGGCGCCGCUUGCGCGUGGCCUGCUAGCCUUCGUCCGCCGCGGCACGCCGCUCGCAGUCGGCCUGGGACACCAUCCUGCCGGCUGAACUGCUCUCGCGUGAAGCCGCCCGCAGCAAGGCUGGACGACGACGUCCGCGGCGAGGCUGGAUGAGGCUGCCCGAAGUGAGUCCUCCACGCCGCUGCUCACACCUAGACGAGUUCGAUCUAGCGGAGAGGAGCUCAAUUCAGUAGGGAAUGAGCCUAAUUUAGUCUAGAAGACAUAGAAGACAUUGAUUUGGUUAGGAAGGAUUUUGCUCCGGUGGGAGCUCGGGGAGGAUUUCGAUCCAGCGUGAAACACCGUAUCUUGUUUUUCUUUUUAUUUCUUGCUGGUGAAAGGGAUUAUGGCACUUUCACUUACCAAAGCAUGGAGCCCGACGCAAGCUCGACGCGAUAGUCCGCUCUCAGCUUGAUUAGGGAAAAGUUAGGGAGGAUGUGGAUUAAUUUGGGCAGAGAAACUAAGAGAGAGCUGUUGGUUCGAUGAGGAAAGAGAGCAGAGGAAGAAGUAAGUUGGUGAAUGGGGAGGAAGGAGAUGUGCUACUUGCUGUUGCUAUUUGGAUUUGGAAGGGAGAGAUCGAUGGAGAAAGGAUGGAUGAUGGUUAGUGCCUGGGAGCCGCAGCUUCUUGCUUUCCCCAUUGGAAACGAAAGCUAAGAAGAAAGGAGGAGCUGCUGGCUUGCUUCACGUUCGUCGAGCUCGCAUGGCCGGCGGCCGGCGCAUCCAGCGACCGUCCAAGUGGUUUACAGAGGAAGGAGAGAGAAAGAAUUGAGCUACAACAUUUAUUAUGGACCUAUAUGAAGAAAUUAUAGGCAAUGGAGACCGUGGGAGCGGGGACGGCGGCGGGAGCGGAGGGGCAGCGGAGGCCGGUGAUUGAGAAGAACGGGAAUAGAGCGAGAGAGACAUGGACGAGCGAGAGAGGCCGGGAGAGACGAGGUGAGGGGUAAAACGGUCCGUUCAUGGGUACUGUAAAAUGAAAAUGAAAAAGAAAAUCUUGAAAUCAAGAAAAGAAGAAGAAAUCCCCUGAAUCGAAACAAUUCGCAUGUAGAGGGUUAUAUUUCGAAAGACUUGCGAAUUGGAUGUCAAAAACAGUGAGACACGCGGAUUCGAUGUCAAAUAUUGAAAUUUCUCCCUUUGCUCCGUACCUCCAAUCGCAUUCCAAUCCAAUAUGUAGCAGCUGCCCUUAAAUCCUCUUUACUCCUCAUGCCGCAUCUAUGUGUUUUCCCCACCGUGAAGGAGCAACAGCAGCAGAGAAAGGCCGCGGCUUCUCCCCACCGUCUCCCUCAAAUCGAUAGCCUUUCUUCUUCCACUGGAAGCCCCUCUGCACCUCAUCCAGCCACCUCUCCAAUUCACCAGCACUCCCCCGUGCUCCCUGUUUUUGGCAUAGACACUUCCAUCGACGAUGCCCUCAAUGUGUUCAAUGAAAUGGGCACAAGGUAUACUUGUCUUUCUAUUUUUUCCUCUUUCGAUUUUGCUUACUAAUUUUGUACAGUCCCGUAUCUAUAAGUUGUGCUUGGCAUAUUCAGGUUCAAAGGACAGUACAGAGAUUGACAUGGUGUUCUCGACUUCUUGUCCUAGAGAUACUUUGUUUCGAAUUCAUGUGCUGGUUCUUUACCAUUAGGUUAUCAGUGGACUAUUUCUUUGUCACCUUGCUGUCAAUAUGCUACAUUUGCUAGGUACGGGUACAUAAACAUACACUCUAUUUCAGUUUGGAUAUAUGUUUUAAUGCAUUAUUUAACUACUCAUCAAAAUCCCCACUACAGUCAGACUAAUGUACGUGUACCUUGUUGCUAAAAUUAUUCCCUUCCAAGCUUGCCUUCUAGAUUUCUAGGUUUACUGGGCAAAGGAAAAAGAAAGAAAAUACAGUAUAAAUCAAAUGUGCAUAUAUAUAUUAUUUAUCUUUUUUUCAGAGAUGUUAUCAUGCAAGUUUUUAUAAAAAAUAUAGAAUAGCUUUUUUUUGAAUUCUCUGCCAAAUGCUUAUUUCCUUUUUGAUAAUGUAAACUAUGUCUUCCAUUUAAUAGAUCUUUCUUGUCUAACAUCUUUCCACCGGAACAUUGGUUGAUUACAUCAUAUAUGCCAUCAAAGUUUUAUUUACCAAUGAUAUUCAUAAUAUUUAAAAUGAAUUGAUCUCUGAUAAUUGAAAACGUGGAAGGACGAACUUACCAUGAUUCAUUUGAGUCCAAUUUUUCUAAUGUCCGAAAUGCUAAAUUAGGGGAUACUUUAUUGGUACAUAUUUUAAACAAAUUUUUAUGUAUACUCAAUUAUCGACUUUGCCUUCUCAUUAUCCAUGUGCUCUCCGCGUAAAGCAAUUGGCUGCAAUAAUGAUGAGAAAAGUUGCAGUAAUAAAGGUAGUUACUUCGAUGUCUUCCUCUCUUAGCAGCUCAUCAGUGGGAUGCUUUCUUAUCCAUGGCUAAAUAUAUCUUGUAGAGUUGAGGUCUGGCAAAAAUAUGCUUUCAUGUUUCAUCCACAUUUGUUAUUAGUCUAAGACGUGCUGUACUUGACAGGAUCGUGCAAUGUCUUAAACUGCUUGUCACUGUGAAAUUUGACAUGAUGCGUAAUCUGAAACUUACAUUUGAAUAAGCCUAUUGUUUAUGUUUAUUUUUCAUAUUUUAGUCCAGCAUGUUUCACCUUUUAGUUUAUCUAUCUCAUAUCUGAUCUGCUUGCUUGUAUGUUAUUAGUUAGAUAUGGAGCAUAUUGCUCCUAUAUUCUUUUCAUUUGAUCUGCUUGCUUGAUACGUUUUUAGUUAGAUAUGGAGCAUACUUGUGCUCAUCCAUAAAACCUAAUACUCUCUAGGUGUUUCAUUGAUGUGUUUUGUUACCUUAAUGAGAUAGAUGGAUGGCUUCCUGUGUUUUACCGUUGACAUUUGGCUUCUCGACGUGUUUAUUUCUUUGCUCUAAUCAGGCUUUGAACUAUAUGCGCAUCAAAUUGCUACGUGCAGACUGAUGCCAUCUCUGUUUCUUUUUAAUGUCAUACGCAGCCUCUCUGUUUACUGUUUUUCUGGAAUAUGACAUCCGAUGCCCGAGUAUUGUUGGUUGUACCUCAAUGCGCAAUGUUAUUAAUGCAAAUGCUUUCUAGGGGACUUGGAUGGUUUGACAAUUGCAAUGUACGUCCAUAAGCAAAGCUUUGCUAGCUUUGAUUUUUGUUGCUGUGUUAAUUCUCCUAACAUAUCUACAUUUUAAUUUUCACAGAAAGCUAUCAGUUUAAUAGUGCAUAAUGUUAGAGCUAUCCUAUCUUUGAUUAUCUGUUUCUUUAAUUGCACGUAGAUUUAUGGUGCUUGGAUAUGCUGUAAUACUGAUGCUCCAAAGGCUGGAUAGACACCUGAUGGACAGGAUAGCCUGGUGCUUGAAUAUCCUGUAAUAUUGAUGCUCCAAAUGCUGGAAAAACACCGGAUGGACAGGAUGGCCUGAUGCUCGGAUGUGCUGUCAUAGUGCUAAGACGUACUGUAAUAUUCCAAGUUUUCGGACAGACACUUCAUGGAUAGGAUAGCCUGUGCUCUCAGAUAUGUUGUAAUCUUCAUAAUUCAAAUGCUGGAUAGACACCUAUGAUGGAUAGUGUACGCACACUGCUCAAAUGUUAGCAUAUUAACGAUGUAUUUGUUACCAUAUGCUAUGAUUUUGUGUUGAAUUUAUCCUAUACCAUGCAUGCUAUUUGUUACAUUGCACUACCUUCAGUUUAUUAUCUUUGAUUUACUUAUAUUUGAUUGUUUAAACGGUAGGGCACGUGUCGCGCGCCUAAUCUUCUAGUUUCGGAAAGGGGGCCUGCCCUGCCGCCUGGGUGCGGCAGCGGCGCAGCGCAAGGGAAGUGACGAUAGCGGAGAAAUGGACUGUUACUGGACCGGGCCGGAGUGACUUCUUUCAGCCAAAAAGGUCCAACUAGGUCACACGAUUUGAAUCGUUUUCUUUUUUGCUAUUUUAUUUUUCUUUUCUGAUUUUUGCAUGUCCUGUACGAGUAAUGAAUAAUGAUACUGGUGUUCAGCGGUUACCACUUUCUUAAGUGAUAAUUAUGCACAAUAAGGCAUGCCAAUCUUACAUGUCAUGAGUUAGACAGAGUGUUAGACUGAUAUAUAGAAGCAGAGCUUGAGGGAAAUGAAAUCAAAUAAGCGAGGGCCGCCUGGUCACUCGCAUGCAGCGUAAGCUAAUUAUACUUAGAGUAUCUCCAAAAGUCUUUGUAUCCUAAAAAAGAGAAAUUCUAUCAAAACUGGAUCCAACAGAGGCUGUAUUUUCCUCGGAUCGCUAUCCUACUCGAUAUUUCGCCCUCCUCGCUCGGCAAAGAAGCCAAGCCCCUCCCGCUCGCCAUCCCACCCUCCCGCGCUCCCCGCCCUGCCCUCCCGCGCUCCCCGGCUCUCCGCCCUCCCGCGCCCCGGUAGGGAUGUCGUUGGCGGGGUCGAACAAGGCGGCGAGCCAAGCGGGAGACCUCACGCUGCCACCGCCACCGGGACCUCGCGCCCUCCGCCGCUGCGCUGGGACCUCGUGCCGCCGCCACCCUCCACGGCGUCUCCUCCCUCUGUCGCGUCUCCUCCUCCACCGGCGCCUCGUCCCUCCAUCGUGGGAGCGCGCCUUCCUCCGCCACGCACGCGCCACGGGGCCGGCUGCCAGCGUGAGCACCGUGCGGGACGCCACAGGACAGCAGAACAGUUUUUUUGAGUGGAGAAGGGGAUGGAUGAAGAGUCCGUUGGUUACCCCACCUUUUGAGAAGCUAUCUAUUUUUUUACAGACCUGCUAAAACUCUAAAUUUAGCUAGAAUUUUAGCUGGCCUCUUGGAGAUGCUGUGCGUGACAAGUAUCGCAUUUAAAUGGAAGAUAUUCCAUUCAAUGCUUUUAAGAUUUAAAUAAAAGUUAAUCCAAACACAAAACUUUUCGCAAUUGUUGUAUCAUAAAAGGGAAGAAGACCACCAGUUCUGUUUUCUUUUACGCUUAUGUAUUUGAAUUUCUAGGCACUUUAGGACCAUUAGCUUUCGGAAUCUCCCAGUCAAAUGAUCUAAAAAACUAAGAGCCAAAAACACUACGAGCAUUUUAGUAUCUAGCUUUUGGAAGCAUGUGGCUUUUGAACAUCUCAAAAGCUAGUAAUCCAAAAGCCUCUAGAAGCAAAAAUAAACGUGAUCCUAGCAUCCAAGGAGUGUGCUAAGUGCCGGUAACUCAUAGCCUCAUUCAUGCUACUCACGCUCCACGCGCACAUGACCAACGGACCACGCACAUAGGAGUAGUUGUCUUUCCGAAACUACGCACACAUACACUUUCUUACUUUUGUUUGAAAUGCCGUAUUUUUCAAAAAAAAAUAUCUGUAAAAUUUUGUAUAUCAUAGAUCGUGUCAACGUCCUGAAUGACUUAUUUAUAUUUUGAAAUUUGAAUCGUGUCAACUUCCACUUAUCUGCAAAUGUGGUACACGAGAUAAUAAAAUCCAUAUGUUUGCUUGACACGCAGCAGGGCCCAUCUCACGAUCCAGGCGAGCUACUCCGCGCAGCGACCAAGCUCGGGCAGUGGCCACCCCAGUCGCCACCAGCCAAGCUGCGCAGCCCAAAAUCCACCAGGAAGCUUGACCACCGGGCGGUUUGCUCGCCCCCUCGCUUCCUCCGCCCGCCGGCCGCCGCGGCCAUACGCCUCCUCCGGAGCCCCGACCACCGCCUCGGCCGGCUCCGCCCUUGCGCAGUCAGGCUCGUCUAUACCCGCAUGGCUCUCCGCGCCGCGUGCGCUGCGGGCCGUGGCCUCCCGUCGUCCUCCUCGCCCCCUCGCGCCGGCGGCAGGCCCGGCAGCGUCGCCUUUGCCGCGCCGCUCGGGACGCGCGCAGGUACUGGGUGCGGUGUGCGUGGGCUUAGUACGCGCGCUGUUAAGAGCGUGCUCCGUUUGCAGCUGUUCAGCAUACGGUUCGCUGCCACUACUCUUCAUUGGGGCUAUGCGGCUACGCUUUAAAAAUCAACUCUGUUUUUGUAGCAGCAGCGCUAAGAGAUGGGCUUUGGGAACUUGGGGAUGGUACUUGAAAUACGAGAUAGGUGUGUAUGGCCUAGCAUGUGAUUUCAGUGCAAAUGGUACUUGAAACUGGAGGCAUUGGCAUGGGUUGGUUUGGGAGGGUGUUUUGUGUUCUGCAAAGCUGGUUGCUCUACCAGUUCCAAGGGGGUGUUUGGAUCCUAAGGGCAUCAGGAUGUUCGGAUGUUAAUUAGGAGGACUAAACAUGAAUUAAUUAUAAAACUAAUUGCAUAACCCCGGUCUAAUUCGCGAGAUGAAUCUAAUUAAUCCACCAUUAGCAUAUGUUUACUGAAGCGCCACAUUAUCAAACCAUGGACUAAUUAGGCUUAAUGGAUUCAUCUCGUGAAUUAGCCCGAGGGUUAUGCAAUUAAUUUUGUCAUUAGUCUACGUUUAAUACUUCUAAUUCGUAUCCAAACAUCCAAACAUACUUCUAAGUUUAGCCCUGCUAGAACCAAACACCCCCUAAAUGUCCAAUGCGCAGUUUUGGAUGUUGAAGUCAUACUGACCCGUGUACAUCUGCAUGAAACAUGAGUCAACAAUGUAGCAAUUCAAUGCUCUAAACAGGCUAUGCUAAGUUAUUAAUUAAAGCAGCAUCCCUUCUGCUUGAUACAAUGGGGUCACUUUACUUGUAGCUUGGCAUUUGCAUGCUAACUAAUUCUUUUUGUUGAAGUUAUGGUUCCUAAAACAUAAAGCGGCAUAGUGCUAGUAUCUUGGUUGCCUGAUCUGCCUUUGGUUACUCUUUAAAUUUUUCUGUUAAUGGAACUGGAAUUGGCUCUACAACUCUCACGUGCAUUGAUAGUGAUUGUUAUGGACCCGUCUGCGGUCACUCACUUUACAAUAUAAUGUUUUUUGAUAAAUAGAAAGAUGCUUUGUCAAUUUAACACGAUGCUGUCAAAUCCAAAGAAUCUGAUUUGAUUCCUGUUUGAUUCACCUAGUUCAAACAAAGGCGGUCUUAAGCAGUGAUGGUGCCCCUGGAAUGAGCAAUUCUCCCCAUGUAGUGUGCUUUGGCGAAUUGCUAAUUGACUUCGUUCCAACUGUCAAUGGAGUGUCAUUGGCAGAAGCACCAGCCUUCAAGAAGGCUCCAGGGGGUGCACCUGCCAAUGUUGCAGUUGGAAUCGCUCGUCUUGGUGGGUCAUCAGCUUUCAUUGGGAAGGUAACAUAUUUGCAUCUGUACUGUUUAUCUCUAUCCAGAUGUUAGUGCAACUACAGGGGUCACGGGUUACAAGCAUGUGCAAAUCCACUUUUCUGUUUGAAACCUUGGAAAGGAAAAUACAUGGGAUUUAUAUGGUAUCGAUUCACAUUUUUUUACAUUCUCGUAUGUACUUACAGUUAACUAGUGCUUGCGUUGCACUAUACGUUCAUUUAUAUUCCUGAUAGUGGUUUGUUACUUAUCCUUUUCAUCUGCAAAAUAGACCAGUCUUGUUUAUCGUCAUUGUUUAUUUUCUAUCUUCUCUGGUUUCUACUAAUAUAUUUUACACUUGUAGGUUGGUGAUGACGAAUUUGGCUAUAUGCUAGCUGAUAUAUUGAAGCAGAAUAAUGUAAACACUCAAGGAUUAAUUUUUGAUGCUCAUGCUAGAACAGCUUUGGCUUUUGUGACACUACGAAGUGAUGGUGAACGUGAAUUUAUGUUCUAUCGUAAUCCAAGUGCUGAUAUGCUACUUGAAGAAAAAGAACUUGAACUUGAUCUAAUAAGGAAGGUAUCAGAAGGCACUAUAUUGCCAUUUCAAUAGUUGCUGUCGCCACUUCUAGUAUUUCUGUAAUCAUGUAACGUAUAUUCAUGAAAAACUGAUUGUAUCCUAAUCAUGUUAUAUAUGCUAGGCAAAAAUAUUCCAUCAUGGCUCAAUAAGUCUUAUAACUGAGCCUUGUAAAACUGCACACAUUGCAGCUGCCAAAGCAGCUAGAGAUGCUGGAGUACUUGUUUCAUAUGAUCCGAAUUUGAGGCUUCCAUUGUGGUCAUCAGCUGAGGAUGCUAGACAUGGUAUCCUGAGCAUAUGGGAAACUGCUGAUGUUAUCAAGGUAACAAGUAUAGUAAUUUGUUUUAAAUGCAAAAAGUAUGUUGGUUUCUUAUUUUGUAUCUGUUGUUAAAAGAUAAGUGAAGAGGAAGUUUCCUUUCUGACGAACGGGGAGGAUCCAUAUGAUGAUGCUGUUGUGAAGAAACUUAUUCACUCCAACCUGAAGUUGCUUCUUGUCACUGAAGGUCCAGAUGGCUGUAGGUAUUAUUCUAAGGUAAUUUUACACACCUCUGAUAUGGAGACUACUACUAUUAUUCCUUGUUGUGACAUGUCAUUUUCUUUUUCUUUUCCUCCAUGAGCAUAAGCAUACUUCAUUGUCCGAUAAAAGUCACAGGAUAUUUGAUAUAAUAUUAAUGGAAUUAUUCAUUUCUAGCAAUAUGUUAACCUAGAUAUUACAUUCUUGUUUUAUACUUUCUUCAAUUCACUUGGUAAUUGUAUCUUAUGUAAGGAGGCCUAAAAUCAUUUAAAGUGCAUUUUGUAAAUAACAGGAUUUUAGUGGGAGAGUUGGUGGACUGAAGGUAACUGCUGUUGAUACAACUGGUGCUGGAGAUGCCUUCGUUGCUGGCGUACUAUCUCAAUUAGCCACAGAUUUUUCAUUGCUCCAGGUAUGACUAGAACCUACAGCUUACAUAAUAUGAGCCUGCACUUGAUUUAUUUUCUUCUUUCAGGAAGUAGGUCAAACUCUGCUGUAGGUGGUCCUGCAGUUUGCUGCACUGUUCCUGCUCUCUUUUAAUACAGACGGAUGCAUGAAAUAAUUUUAAAAUGAACUAAUGUGACAGUGUGACACAAAUGUUUGGUAUAUUUACUUCAUAGAGUCAAAGGUGCUCAGUUGGAUAUCUAUAGAGACAUGCACAAUCCGCUAAAAGCUGAGAAAUUUUCAGCAUAUGUGUAUGAAACUAAACUUUUCAUAUCCUGAAUAUUGAAAACACCCAAAAUCCAGAAGCUAUGGAUUUGAAAACUAUGGCAAAAUAAGGAAAAAAAAUCUUUGUCAAUAUAACUUCAUAUGGAACUUUGGCUUCGAAGUUUAAGAAUAGGGUCGUGUGAACUCCAUGAUAAAAGAAAAAGGCUGGCACACCUAAAAAAGAUCUAUGGUUGGUGUACUGAAUUAAAUUUGGAUUCACCAUUUUGCUUUUCUAUCAAUUCAUCUAGUUUACAUCUGAAACAAGGAAGCACCAAACCAUGUCCAGCUGUGGUUGGGGGGACUGAACGGCGUAACGGCAAGAUUAACAGCACAUGCAUAUGUUGCUACUGGUGGUUAUAAAUUUCCUGGCAUUAGAGGCAUGUUCUUUAGUCACAUGGCGCUCAGUGAUUUAGAUAUUCGCUAUAGGCUAUUCCAUGAAUAUAUAAAGUCUCAGUACUUCUCUACCGAGAUAGGCAAAGCUGAUUUCUGGGCAUAUCUUCAGUUAGUACCUCACACCUACACAAACAAGUAAAUUAUGUGUUUUUCGUUCUUGUUUGGACAUCCUUGUUCUUCAGUCUAGCCUGCUAUUUCUUGUUCCGCACACAAAUUGAGCUACACAGUUGUGCUUAACAGCAACUCAUAUUAUCGUUUUGUGUCUUAAACAGGACGAAGGCCGAUUACGAGACGCCCUGAAGUUUGCAAACGUCUGUGGAGCUCUGACAGUGACAGAGAGAGGCGCGAUUCCAGCGCUGCCGACCCGACAGCAAGUGCUCGACUCCCUGACCAGCGUCGUUGCAUGAAUGACCAGCGUCCUACUUGCUGUGUAUGCCAAUGUGGAUCAGCAGAGCGCCAUGGUAGAUCAGGUGUGAUUUCGUUUGCCUACCAAUUGAGAUCCUGGCGGUGUGACCCCACAGGCCACAUAAUCCGGUGCGAGCGGCUGUUUCUUGUCUAUUUUUUACGUGUAUAAUAAAGUUGGGACUCUGAGCCAUCACCAUCAGGUUUAUGCGUGGUGGGCAUGCCUCUGAAUACCUGUACAGCCGUGCUGGAUAAUAACAGCAGUGCAUCACGAAGCAGUUUACCACGGGAAGCAUGUCUCGGCCUGCUGUUCCUGCUCUCUCUGUUCCCCGUGCUGCUGUGAUGCUGUGUGAUCAGCACAUCAUGUGUUCCGUUUGGGCUUGGGCCCAAUUUAGGUUACCAGGCCAGAGUAGUUUGAUCGAACUACAACCGGGAACAGUCCAAAUCUCGACAUGGUUGAUCCAGAAAUUAUUUAUAAAAAAAAAAUAUUGUGUGUACCCACGGGUGCAUGGUAAAGGGAGCAGACCAGAGAGAGACGCCUGCCCUCACUUUGCUUGCAGACACCAGUCCUGAACUUGGGGACAACCUCUCCCUAAAGGCGCCACGCUCGAGUGGCCUCCGAUCCACUCCGAAGAAUGUUGGCCGGAAUCACGCGAUCCUGUCCACCUAGGCGACGAUUCCUGCUGCUAGCCAGCCGGCCCCCUAUGCCUUAGCGAGCAGGUCAAAGCUUUUCAGCAUUGAGAUCAACCAUCCAUGCCACAAGCUCCCUACUUUAGGCAGUUAGGCUCCCCCACCCUGGCCAGAGUAGUAACAACUGCUCUCGCUUCCCCUCUCUGUACGUGUGUCUGGUGGCUGCCCAUGUUUCACGUGUGGCUCCAUUUCGACCAAAGAACCGGAAGGAUUGUACAUGUGCAUGUGCUCGUCCCCUAGCAAAUCCUUCACUAGGCCGAACUCGAGACUCACCGUUGCCGAGUCCCGACGGGCGCUGAAAACUGCAGCGGCUUUCAGGCUUCCAGCAGACUCCCACGCCGGAAUCAUGGCUCACGAGCAGCAGGUUGCUGGUGCGUGUGGACACCGCCGACCCGACCGCGUGCGCGAAGAGGAUGAGGACGGAGCAGCCGAUGCGCAGCCCGCGAGUCCCCAGGGAUCCCGCCCGAUCUCCGCCCGACAUGGAGAUCGCGCGCGCCCGGUUCUCGCAGGCGCCACACCACCGCGCGCCCACACCCAUCUCCAACGCGAGGACGGCAGGGGCUGCUCGCGCGUGCUCGGCCCCGUUCCAGCAGCGCGAUCUCCCCGCGGAUCCUGCAGCUCCGUGCGCGGUCGAUGAUCCAAUCCACGGCUCCACAAGUGCGGCAGCUAGCGCAGCUCGGUUCAUGAGUAUACAAGCUUAUCCGCUGCCUGCGAAACCGUGGCCCUGGUGAUGAUCAGGAACUUUGGUCUGCGUUUCUCGGCGCACACCAUUGUUCCAAGCAGCAGGGCUAAAAUCCCAGAUUGGUGAGGUGGUGUUGGUGUCCGAGGUCUGACCGGUCAGACUUAGCUGCGCAGUGUGUUCAGGUCAAUCGGUCAAAAACAUGGUGUGCUAGCUGGGCAGCGGGGGUUGAGAGGAGGGAAUGAGGACAGCAGGAGCACAUGCCCGCGUUCAUGGGGGGCCGUAAACAGUUUCUUGAUUCAGCAGGCCGACGCGAGAGGAGGAUAGCAGUGCAACAGAUGGGAGCCUAGUCGACAUCACCACGUGUGCACGUACGCCCAAGUGGGGGAAUUGGGAAAGAUAAAACGCUAGCGCUACGUGCAGAUCAGUAUACGUAUAUGGGAUUCUGGUAAGGCUGAACGCACUAGGCGGGUCUCAAUGUGCAGUUUUAUGGUAUUAUUAUCAAAAUUGAAAACUAUGUAACUAUGCCUGUUGAGUGUCAUGGGACGAAACUCUCUCUCGUCUCGUGAAACUUCCUUAAGAACUGCUAAUUUACGGGCGAGCGCUCAUACGGUUUUCAGCGAGCAAUUCCCAACAUUACUGUAUCCUCCCGAACCUAAAGCUUUAAUUCCCGCAACUUUCUGCUUUUAGAACAUCAUAAUUUAUAUACAUAAUUUAUACACAUAAUUUCUUGUUGAUAACUUCUUACGGAAUAAUUUUGUAGCAUAACUUUUUACGACAUACACACCAUAUACCUAUAACUUCUAGGAACAAAUUUCAAAUGAUAACUUAGCAGAAAGUUAUAAUAUAUAGUUAUACGUAUAAUUUUUUCACAACAUGUUCUCACUUGAUAAUUUUGUAUCAUAACUUUCAUGUCAUAUGUAACUUAUAAAUGUAGCUUUUGUCACAACUUCCAUAAGAAAUGUUGUUAGCUAACUCAUACACGUAAGCAAUAACAGUAUAAAAAAAUAAUUGAAUAAAUAAAAAAAAUGGAAAAGAAAAAUAGAUCCCACGGUCCAACGUCUUGGACGCGAGCGCAUAUGCGUGCGCAGUCCGCCGGUGCGUGUCUGCAUUGCUUGCUAAGAGCGAUCCUAGCAAGUGAAGGAUGAACCAGCUUCACGCUUCCUCUCCUCUCUUCUUUGCCAUGUCAGCAAAGUUGAUGAUAUGGUAUAAAAUUUAAUACCAUAAAACUUCCAUUAAAAUUGGCUUUAUUAGUCUCUAUUUGCAAACAAAUGUUAUAGUUAAAUUUGAGAAACUUCGAGUAUUUAUGUACAACAAAGUAUAAAGAGCUGUCACACAAAAACACUUGUAGCUGGGUUCAUGGGAAUGAAAUUUCUUUUUGAUCCCACAAAAUUCUCCCUCAUCUCCCUCAUAAUGACACUAUCAAAUUAGCAAAAUUGCUAAUGUGAUAUGUUAUUUAAUGCUCAUGAAACUUCUAUUAGAACUGCUCUUUACAUAUCUGAACACUAGAUACUUAAGAGCGGAGGAAGUAGCACUUUUUAAUUUUUAAUUAAGUCAGAUCCGUUCACACCACACCAUUUCCAUGUGGCAUGGCAAAAGUUGUCCAGGAAAUGUUACUAUCCAAACUUCAAAAAGCAAAAGUUCCUUGCACAUGCCUUCUACCGCAAUUUUUCAUUUUAUUUACCCAAGGCAUUUAGCGAGCGCUACCUUUGGUAGACCAUGCCGACGUGCACGAAGCACUCCACCGAUCCCGCUUGGUCCCUGCAAUGGAUUUACCGAAAGCUCAGUGGCAUCGACUCCCAUAAUUCUGUCCCCGACAUGCGCGCCCACCUCCUCCUCUCUCUCGCUCGACGGGCUCGUCGCAGCUGCCCCGUGCGUCGUCGCCUUUGGGCCAAGCCAACCAAGGCUCCCUUUCCCGAGCUGGGCCUCCCCUCUGCUGCUGGUGUCGUUGCGCUUCGGGAACGCAAGGGUGCAUGUGGGCCUCGCGCUUUCUUUUUUCUAUUUUCUCGCUAGAAAAAACGAAACCCGUCGCGAACCUCUAGGCAGUACGUGUCGAGUAUGUGCGCGUGAACAAUCGGGUCGCGCGGAUCAAGAGAGAUCCUGCCAGCGGGUGCGUGCAGGGGAAUGUGCAGCCGCGACAAGUGGCGGAGUAGCAAAAUCAUUUUUCCAAGUGUUGGGAGGCAAAAGAAAAAGAAAAAGGAUCCUUGUAGCAAUAUCAGUAUACGAUUACUUGAUUAGUGUGCGUGAUCUCGGAGAGGUGCCAAGUUAAAGACGUGCAACACGUAGGUACUCGGACGUUUGCAGUACUCCCCUCAGGGCCAGUGUGAUGCGAGUGGCCACAAUGAUGCUGCCAGUGGCCGCCACACCAGACCGAUCAGCUUCGUCCCCGGAUUCUGUAGCUCUUUGGUUUCUCAAGCAAGCUCUUCUCCGAUCCAGCAGCCAAGUGUACUACUAGCCUCUGAAUCCCCAAUGGACCCAGGAGUGGAUAUCGACGCAGACUGCACACUCAAUGCGUAGCGAUGAGCUCGCCAGCGAUGCAGAAUCAGGCGAGGCAAAGCAUGGAGUCCCCGGCACCGAAAGCCCAUGCCGGGGAUCUCCCUCCCCGGCCGGCGUUGGCACCGGGACGGAGCCGAGCGGCUGGAUCCGGCACGGGCUCGUGCCCUUGCUCGCCCCAACUUGUGGGGGCGUUGUGCCCCAUGGGCCACGGCACCCGCACCACAAACACUCGCUUCGCUUCACUUGCUCUGGACUCCAGGCGCAGUCAUGACCACGUCACGCGCUCGCGGAACACGCCAUCAUGUGGGCCGCUAUGUCUACGCAUACGAGGGGAAGACCCCAUCCCCCUACACAAACUAGCUGAUAGCCCCACCACUGAAUUCUGCUUCCGCGGAGCUGCAAGCCUGAAACAGCUCAGUUCCGGGAAACAGGCUUGGAUGGGGUGCUCAUCUCAUCUCGGGACAGACGUGCAAUUCGUGACGCACGCCCCAACACCAGAACGUGCCAUCAGGCCAUCGCUUUGCGCAAAGGGGUUCUACUUAAGGCAAGAACAUGGCCUAAUGAUCUCCGUGUUGCCCUCCUCCUGCAGCAGGGGGAGGAGAGCAUUUGGAAUCUUGGCAAAUACUACUGGUUUUCUGGUCACCCGGCGGCCCCUAAAAAGGCUUAGCUAGCUAGCAAGGCAGCGGAGCGAGCCUUUCUUCUCCCAUCAUCGUUGCUCCUCCUUUUCUGCGUUCCCUGCUCUAAUGAUUUCGCUGGAGGGCCGUCGAACAGGAACAGGGGCACCUUUGCGAGUGCUAGAUGCACAUACAGGCAUACACUAGGAAGUACUAAUAGUAACGGAUAAGCCGAUGCCGAUCUCAAAUAAAGAGAGAAUUUUUUCUCUCUAGUAUAUUACGAAGGGCCUGUUUGGAUCCAAGUGCAAAUGGCAAAAGGACAAAUGGUAAAAUUUUUGCUCCUGUCACAUCAGAUGUUUGGACGCUAAUUAGAAGUAUUAAAUAUAGUUUAAUUAAAAAACUAAUUACCAUAGAUGAGUACUAAAUGACGAGACGAAUCUAUUAAACCUAAUUAAUCCAUAAUUAGCAAAAUUACGGUAGCAUUUGCCCUUUUGCAUUUUGGGGUGUUUGGAUCCAAAAGUGCAAAAAAAAGUGCAAAAGAGCAAAAGUUUUGCACUUUCUCUUUCUCUUUCCAUUGGAUCCAAACAGGCCCGAAGUUAUUAGAGAACCGCAAAAGCAUCUCGCCGCCAAGGGCACACAAGCCUCACUCGAAUAUCGUCCGAGCUCAAUAGGACGAUGAAUGGACGGUAGACCUGAACCAGCGACACGCAGGCAUACCAGAAUGUUAGGUCCAGCGUGAUUGGAUCGCGCGGCAUCACAUCUGCCCCAGCCCCACCCACUACUUAGCUAACGGCACUGUCGCAUCUCGUAUGCCCUGUUGCCCUCUCCAGAGUAGUUUUUUUUUUUUUGCUGCUAGACAACCAAAAAUUCCAAAUGGGCAGGGCCAGUGAAGCUACCGUGACGAUAGCUUUAUCCAGCAGCCCUCACGUACGAAGAAACCUUACAAAAACCAUCCAAGACCAGGUUUACGGGGACAGCACACGCACGAAAGCCUGCCACACAAGCCUCACUUUUGGGGCGGGUAUAUUCGAGGGCCUCUAUGAUCUUUUCGUCCAUCUGUGCUAGUGCUACAAGAGCAGUGGCAGCAUGAACCGCAGAGACUGAGAGACAGAGCAAUUGAGCAAGAGAAAAAAAGCGCAGCUGGAACGAAGCUCUAGCCCACGAUAAACAACUGCGGCACAGUACGCGCUCAACUGGACCACCGGCAUAGAAAAACCUCCGAGCCCAUCUGCCCGCCCGGCCGUGUGCGUGCGUGCGUGCCGACGACGGCCGGGGACUGGAGGAGCGGCCGGCGGGCCAGCUUUUUGAGGCGCAUGGCGGCCAUGGCGCCAAAAGAGUUUUUCUAACGGUGCGCCACCACCACGCCGGACCCACCGGGUAGUCCGGCCCUUCCCCCCGUACUUCCCGUGCGUCGCGCGGCAGCCGGCAGGCGAUGAUGGCCGGAGGCGCGCACGCGGGGACGUGGGGGAGCACCGGAGCACGGAGCCACCGCGCGACGGGCCGCGCCGCGCCGCGCCGCGCCGCCGCCGGCGCCCGAGCGCGAGCUUUUACCACUGUUCCCUCCCUGGUCACGACGCCGCUGCGAGUGUCCCUGCGGCUCACCGGCGCUCCUUUCCGUUCGGUCCGCGCGCCGCGACGCGACGGGCAGCUGCGCGGAGGGCGCAAGGGCGCGGCGCCCGACGCGCGGGGCGCAGGGCGGCCUGGCGGGGGCUGCAGCGGCGCAGCGCAGCGCAGCUGGGUGGGCGGUUUGAUUAUUCGGGGGCGUCCUUGGAGUCGCGUCGCAGCUUUUUGGUUGCCCUGUCGGCGUUCCGGCGUGGCGCGGCGUGCGGGAGUUUUGCUCGCUCCUCGACCUGAGAAUUUCUUUUCGUUUCUGGCUGGAGCUUUGGUUCACCGUAUGGUGUGGCGCUAGAGCGGAUCAACUAGGGCAGGGGCGUUGCAGUAGUAAACAGUCUACGUGCACCGUUAAUGCGGCUGCUUCUCACGUAAAAAAAUGAGGCUGCUUCUCCAACGGUAGGUGGACGUGUCAGUCGGAAAUGACACGUCUCAGUAACUCCGUCCAUAUGAAGAUACCAUGCCAGUCAGUUAUGGAUGCCAUGCAGCAGCAGUGGGCUGGUAGCUACGGUGCAUUCCUGUCAAGCCUUUGACAUCCAAAGUCUAUUUUUUUAAUGAAAAUUGCCCACUACUGUUAAUGUUUUAUUUUCGUCCUGAAUAUCACAUUGUGCUGGAUAGCCAAUGUUUACCCAAUGAAAUGAAGUUCUUAGUCCAAAUUUCCGUAUGGGGUAAUUUUCGGUCAGACUACCCAAAAAAAAUGUCAUUUCAAUUUCUUUGUAUAUGAUGAGGAGGUAUUUUUUUCUGAAAAAAAUAAUCUGCGAGGACAUAUGGACCCAAUUUACAUUCCUUAAACCCACGGCCCAUCUUCAUGUCGGGGGUUGUGCAGUGCCCAUCUGAUGUGUAUAAAUAAUCACACCGCGCGCCUAUGCCCACACCCCCCUCCCUCCCUCCCUCCCUCCCUCAUUGGCUCCCCCGCCUGCCUCCGCUCCACGGCGGCUCCAGCCUCCACCCACUCACCGCAGCCGCACUCUCCCUCCCGCCGCGCCGCACCACGCCGCCGGCGCCACCAAGAGCGUUCCCCGGCGGCCGCGCACACGCCGAGGAGCAAGCGGCUCGCUGGUAGCGUGUCUCUCUGACGAUCUAGGCGCAGCGGCGGCGAGCGCGCCGGCAAGAUGAUCACGGGCACGGACUUCUACCACGUCAUGACGGCCAUGGUGCCGCUCUACGUCGCCAUGAUCCUGGCGUACGGCUCCGUCCGGUGGUGGCGCAUCUUCACCCCGGACCAGUGCUCCGGGAUCAACCGCUUCGUGGCGCUCUUCGCCGUGCCGCUGCUCUCCUUCCACUUCAUCUCCACCAACAACCCCUACACCAUGAACCUCCGCUUCAUCGCCGCCGACACGCUCCAGAAGCUCAUCGUCCUCGCGCUCCUCACCGCCUGGAGCUACCUCUCCCGCCGGGGCUGCCUCGAGUGGACCAUCACGCUCUUCUCCCUCUCCACGCUGCCCAACACGCUCGUCAUGGGCAUCCCGCUGCUCAAGGGCAUGUACGGCGACUUCUCCGGCAGCCUCAUGGUGCAGAUCGUCGUGCUCCAGUGCAUCAUCUGGUACACGCUCAUGCUCUUCAUGUUCGAGUACCGCGGCGCCAGGAUCCUCAUCACCGAGCAGUUCCCGGACACCGCGGGAGCCAUCGCAUCCAUCGUCGUCGACCCCGACGUCGUAUCGCUCGACGGCAGGAACGACGCCAUCGAGACGGAGGCCGAGGUCAAGGAGGACGGCAAGAUACACGUCACCGUGCGCCGAUCCAACGCCUCGCGCUCCGACAUCUACUCGCGCCGCUCCAUGGGCUUCUCCAGCACCACGCCGCGCCCCAGCAACCUGACCAACGCCGAGAUCUACUCGCUGCAGUCGUCGCGGAACCCCACGCCGCGGGGCUCCAGCUUCAACCACACCGACUUCUACUCCAUGGUCGGCCGCAGCUCCAACUUCGCCGCCGGGGACGCCUUCGGCGUGCGCACCGGCGCCACGCCCAGGCCGUCCAACUACGAGGAGGACGCGCCGGGGAAGGCCAACAAGUACGGCCAGUACCCGGCGCCCAACCCGGCCAUGGCGGCGCCUGCCAAGGGGCCCAAGAAGGCGGCCAACGGGCAGGCCAAGGGCGAGGACGGCAAGGACCUGCACAUGUUCGUCUGGAGCUCCAGCGCGUCGCCCGUGUCCGACGUGUUCGGCAACGGCAACGCCGAGUACAACGACGCCGCCGCCGUCAAGGAGGUCCGCAUGGCCGUUGCCUCCCCGCGCAAAGGUAGCGUCGUUUAUUUUUUUUCCCCCACUCGCCGCCUUGUUCCGCUCUGCGCGGCGCCGCAUGCUCAAACUUCCCUUCUGUGCUUGGACGACCAGUUGCGGCGGACGGGAGGAAGGAGAGGGGCGAGGACUUCGCGGAGCGCGACGACUUCAGCUUCGGGAACCGGGGCGGCGCCGAGAGGGACGCUGAGGCCGGCGACGAGAAGGCGGCGGUGGUCGGGCAGGGGAAUGCCGGCGCGGGGGCGCCCGCGGCGAUGCCGCCGACGAGCGUGAUGACGCGGCUCAUCCUCAUCAUGGUGUGGCGCAAGCUGAUCCGCAACCCCAACACCUACUCCAGCCUCAUCGGCCUCAUCUGGUCGCUCGUCUGCUUCCGGUAACUACUGAUCACUCCGCCGGCGACGCCCCGUUAAUCAAUCGUUCACUAAUCUGCUCGCCUGGCAUGCAGAUGGAACUUCGAGAUGCCGGCGAUCAUCCUCAAGUCCAUCUCGAUACUCUCCGACGCCGGCCUCGGCAUGGCCAUGUUCAGCCUCGGUCCGUGCAUCCAUCCGCUCUAUCCUCUCCGGACGGACGCCAGUCCACCUAUGGAACAGUAGGUGGAUCUUGCGCUCCCGAGUCACUGACUGACAACACCGCGACGUCGCUUUCCCCGUGCAGGGCUGUUCAUGGCGCUGCAGCCGCGGAUCAUCGCGUGCGGGAACAAGGUGGCGACGUUCGCCAUGGCCGUGCGGUUCCUGACCGGCCCGGCCGUCAUGGCCGCCGCCUCCUUCGCCGUCGGCCUCCGCGGCACGCUCCUCCACGUCGCCAUCGUCCAGGUAAAAAACCAAACCCGAACCACACCAAAAAACCUCACGACCAACCGACCAACCGCACAAACGAACCACAGGCAUGCCACUGACAAGAACCGCCUUUUGAUUCAAAAAAAAAUCCGAAAGAAAGAAGCAAACAGCCUUCAAGUGGCCGGCCGGGCAUGCCGGAUCGAUAUGCCCCCUGUGCCGGUAAAGCCCGGCACAGCUCGCUUUCCCUUUAGACUUUUGCACGCCCAACCAGCACCGAGGCGCCUGAAACGCCUCGCCCUUCCCCCCCUCCUCGCCGCCUCUCUUUCUCUCUCUCUGACUGACGCUCGUUUUGUUCUACUCCGACGACGCGCAGGCCGCGCUGCCGCAGGGCAUUGUCCCCUUCGUCUUCGCCAAGGAGUACGGCGUGCACCCUGACAUCCUCAGCACGGCGUAAGCGCUCGACCUUGUGCUCCGUCCAUCUCGCAGCAGGGAGGACGCCGGGAUUCUCGGCCUCCGCUGCUCGCUUUGCCUCUGGGGUUUUUGUCUCACCUGCUGUUUGUGGUUUGCAGAGUCAUCUUCGGCAUGCUCAUCGCGCUGCCCAUCACGCUCGUGUACUACAUCCUGCUGGGGCUGUGAGAGAAAAGGCGCGACAAGGUUGCAGGCCGGUCACAGCUCAGCGAUGCCGGGUGGAUGGAGUAGGAGACAGGGGAGGAGACAAAGGGUGCUGCAGCGGCUGCGCGUGCGUGCAGCGCAGGUUGGCAUGCAUGGAGGAGAUUAAUCUGUAGGAGUACUAUUCUUAGCUGUAGAGAUUUAGAGGCCACAAAGAAAUGUUUGGGACAAGAGCUGGGCUGGAGGAGGGCGGCAAGGGCAUGUGCAAAAGCUUUGGGAUGGCACGGUUUGCAAAGCAUCCGGAUGCUCAGGUUAUGGGUUUGUGAUGGGAGGGUUUUCCAUGGAUGGUUGGGCUGGCCUUGCCUUGUAAAAUGGAUGCAUGUCACUUUGAUGGAAUGCUAGAGCUCUCUUGCUCAUCUUAGCCUAUACUACUUCGGAAUGGCAGCAUGCAUGUUUUUGUUAAUCCCAUGCUUCAGUAACAGUGUUUGACAUGAAAAUGGAGUGGUGGUAACUCCAGUAACCAUUUUCACAGCAUUCGACAUGAGCCAAUUUUGUCUCUAAUCCUUCCUGAAUAAACUCUUCUUGUGCAAUUGGGUUAGGAUAUGCUCAGGGCUUCAGAACAAAAUCCAUUGGGUGGGGAGAAAAAUACAAAUCCUAUACUCAGGUCUAAUGAUUAAAAGUGUAAAAGUUCUCUGGGAAGUAGAUGUCAUUAAUUUUUCAAAAGUAAUUCAAAAUGUAUUAUAUUUGUAGUGCUGUCUUACCUCAACUGAGUCUUGUUACCCUCUGUCCGGGCUUGGCUAGCUCUUCCAAAUCCUAAUUUAAUUUUCCCUUGUAACUUUGAAAGAAAGUACACAGACCACAUUACGCCAAGUUUCAUGUGUAUUGUUGGAGUGCUAUUGAAUAUGACCACAAAUUGUGUUUCACACUUUCACUAUUUUAAUUGUCUCGCUGAUUGUUAACAUCAUCCAAAGCGGACCGAACAAAUAGAUUCGUCUUCUUUUUAAUGGAAAAUAUGUUCUUAAGCGAUAUUAGAGGCCUAAAUUGUGGCUAGCAGCCGGCUUGAUUAUCCGCUCACACAAUCCUUUAGAGUGAAGCUAAUUGGUCUCAGAAAGAAAGACUCAGUGUGAACAUGUGUUGCCGAGAAUUGUUAUGAAGCGUGAACGGGGGUAUGUUUGAAUGUCAUAGAUUCUUAUCACAUAGCCAAUUUAGUCAUUCCUUUUCUUGUCACUUUUUACAAGACAUCCGAAGCACUAAAAGAUUCAAGAUAGCAACAUCAUAGGCUUUAGUUAGGAUUGCAUAUCUACAUAAGAUCCAUAAAUUAGGUUUCAAGAAGAAUAUCACUUAUUUCGGUAGUUGUAAUGUCUUCCAUUAAAUUCCUUGUGGAUUGACGAUGUACGGAAAUUAGAUAAACUAACGUAUCAACAUGAGCUUCUGCACGACUAGUAACUGUAAGGAACAUAGUUUCUAAAAAUAACAUGGAUUAAUAUGGAGUGCACAACUAGCUUGAUUGUCUACUCAAAAUUCAUCAACUACAACAGAGAGUGAAGCCAGUCGGUCUUGGAACAACUCAAUGUGAACUUAUAUGGUGCACUAUAUGUUGCUGAGAAUAGUUGUGAAGUGUGAACGGAGGGAUAUAUAUCAAUAUCAUAGCAUUCUCAAUCACUGAACUUAUCAGCCAUUCCUCUACUUAUAUCCCCCUCCUAUUCUUUAUGUAGGGGUAUUAGGAUUUGAAAAGUUCAAACUUUGUACUGACCAACAAUUAUUUAAAUUAUAUGCAUGCGUAGUGUCUAAAUCUUGUACCAAUAUAUUCAUAUUUCACAUAUCUUUGAUAUGAUAUUGAUUGUAAAAAUUGAUACUAUACUUUAAUAGAAAUUAAUGAUCAAAACUUUGUUCCUGAAGGCUUUUUCAAAUGCUAAUACGCCUUACAUAAAGAAAAAGGAGGGAGUAGCUUUUCAUGAGACAUCCUCACCGAUUUGUUGAAUCGCCAAAAGAUUCAAGAUAACAGCAUUAUACACGAGAGUUAUGAUUGCUUAUUGACAGUACCUUUCUAGAGAAUGUCAAUAAAUUCCAAAAUCCAUUUCGUCGCCCAGUAGCUAUGACCGUUUUUUUAAUCGGUACUGCAGUAGCUCUUUGGUUAGGUAUUGGAGCAACAUUACCCAUUGAUAAAUCCUUAAUUUUAGGUCUUUUUUAGGGAUUUUUCGAGUUGAUUCAUUCAACCGCGAAGCCCCCUGCAUGGGUAUCUAGGAAAUAGUUACUUCCAAGUGAAUCUUCCCUAGAUACCUAAAAUCUAUUUUAUUAUGAUCCAUUUCGCGAAAAUAUAGAUUGUGCCAAAGAUGCAAAAUUGCUUUUUUUCUUUUUAUUCUAACUCAAAAAAAAAGAGGAAAAAUUGCAAUAGAUUUAAAGCGAGAACUUGUUCUUAGGUAAAUCAGUUGGGAGAUGCUUCUCUAGAGUGUCCCAUAUCAGUUUUCCAUCUUCCAUACGAAAACUGUAUCUCGAUAAGAAUCAUAUGUUAGGUUUCACGAAGUGUAUAAUUUAUUGUGGUAGUUGCAGUGUCCUCCACUAAAUUCCUUAACACCCCGUUUGGAUGUAGAUAUUGAACCCUAGAAUUCGAAAUUAGAAUUAGUUAUAUCCAAUAUUAGCUGUUUGGAUGGUUUAGACAUUGGUAUUAGAAACUGGCACCAAUAGCAAGCGGUAUUCAGGGGGCUGGCUUACCCCUCCCCACAAUUCCGACCCUCCCACUCCGUAUUCAAUGGCAAUCAUUUCCCCAUCAUCCCUCCACGUCUCCUCCGCCGUGCUGGACCCUGCUUCCCCCUCUCCUUCCUCCACAGCACUGCCCUGCGAUCCUCCUCCGAAGCGCUAGCCCUGCGCAGCAGCGCUGGACGCUGCUUCGCCCUCCCCUUCGAUGCCGUGCUGGACGCCGGUGCGCCCUCCCCUGAGGUGCCGCCGCGUCGGACGCCGGUUCACCUCCCCUCCAGUGCCACCGUGGUCCUCCGCUGCAGCGCCGGCCCUGCGCAGCCAUACCGGACGGUGCUCUACCCUCCCCUCCGCUGCCGCCAUGCCGGACGCCGGUCCACCCUCCCCUCCGCUGCCGCCGCGCUGGAUGCCGAUCAACCCUCGGCCUUCCCCUCUGCUGCCAUCGCGCUGGACGCUGGUCCGCCCUUCCCUCCAGUGCCGCCGCGCCGAACACCCUUCUGCCCUCCCCUCCGAUGCCACCAAGCCGGAUGUUGCUCUGCCACGACGCCUCCUCUGCAACGCCGCCCCGUUCGCCGCCGAGAUGGACACUGCUUCGCCGCGUUCUUCCUCCCGGGCGGCCCCUGCGCCCCACGCCGCCCUGAGCUCCGCCGCCUUGAGGCCAUCUACUCGUGGCAAUUCCAAUUCUACCGUAUGCACAUCUAAACACGAAUCAGUAUUUGCUUCCCAAUUGAAUUCCAUCUGGCAAAUUCAUCUACAUCCAAACAAUAGUUUUGGUAUUGAACCCAUUUCUAAAGCUAGCCUGCAUUGAUGUUGAACCGAAUUCAAUAUCAAGCUCUUCAAUAUCGAUAUCAAAAUGGAUCCUAAGCUAGUUUGAUGAUGAUGCCCAGAAAUUAGAUAAAUAAAAAUAUCCAUGAGAUUGUUGGAAUAAUGAAUCAGUCGAUCGACAUUUAUAGCCAUAAACCCUAUUUAUUUUAGCUUAUGGCCAAUUUUGAAGGCUCAAUUUUAAGAAAUUCAAAAGUCAGAGGACUCCUAAAAUCCAGAAUUGAGAAUCCGUAAUCAGCUGGAUUCUCGAUUCUCGAUUCUGGGAUCACCUGACUUUUGAAUUUCCUAAAAUAGAGCCUUUAAAAUUGGCCUUAAGCUGAAACAAACGGGACAAUAGGAUCAUAUAUUAACUGAGUACAGAUACGGAUUUGGAUAUUCUCGAAUACAAAUGCAAAACGGAUGCCUUGGAUUCGGAUUUGAAUUUGGAUAUUUACUCGAUAUAUAGGAUAACAUUUAGCUAUUUUCUUUAUUGGUAGUUUUAGAAUAUAAAAUUAUUAUUAUGUACAAACUAAAGUAUGACAAUAUAACAAAGAUAGCUAGGUAAAAAAUAGCUUAUUUAUCAACAAAUAUUUUAAUAAUAAAUACAUAAAAAUAAAACUAGAAAUAGAAAUAUAUUUUUAAUAAAUAUAUAAACAAUUUUUAUUAAUAAAUAAUAAAAAUUAUAAAAGUAAUUUCGCCUAUAAAUAGAUAAAACAGAAUCUUCUUAUAUCUUUAUUACAAAAAUUAAUAAUAUUGGUUAUAGAAAAUAAAUAUAAUUUUUUAAAUAGUUUUAUUGGAAACGGAUAUGGAUAGUGUUCGAUAUUGUCGAAUACGGAUGUGGAAUCGGAUAGAGAAAAACAAUAAAAAUCGAUAUUAAAUUCGAAUACGACCAUAUUGAUAUUCAAGCGAAUAUGAAUAUCGGAUAUUUCGGAUAUCCGCGUUAAUAUUUCCAUCCCUAUUCAUGUAGCUGCCCACAACCGCAGAAUUCGGUCGCUACGGGCAGUCCCAGCACCUCUACUUGUCUACUUGCAUCUUGAGCUUCACUAAUGUCUGUGGCAGUUUAGGAACGUCCAGUGCCGGCGGAACCCCACACCCCCAUUCAUUCGGUACCCAGAGAGAGCCACUACGCGUGCAAUGUGGGAUUCGACUUGGACGGCUCCGGCGUAUCCAACUACAGGCCGGGCCCUCGGCGCUUCCCGCUACGGGAUCCCGUACUACCCCUCGCUGUCGGACUCCCAGAGGACGGUUGGUACAACGAACCGAUGGCAGCCGGAGUUCUAUGCCAAGUUCCCAACCGAUUUUUCUUCAAAAAAAAAGUUGCCAACCGAUACGUUUCCCUUCCCCUGAACUCAUACAGGAGUAGUAUGCGAUUAUUCAGGUACCAAUCCUUUGCUUCCUAGCUGCUCCGUGCUAACAACUGCUGGGUACCUAAACCUUGAAGACCCCGGCAGCAUUCGUUAACAAAAAACGGAGCAGCGAUUUCCUGGGACGCUGUCGGCCGGUGGUGCGUACGACGAGGAGACAUGUACGCGUACGAGACGCAGCUUUUUGGUAUCAGCAGCCAACCGGGGCGAAUGAUGGUGGGUUCUCUCCAAAAAAGAUGACGGGAAAGGGGGGCCGAGCCGCGCAAUGAUUCCUCAUGAGAACGGGGGAGAGCUUGGCGCCACCAAAAGUGCCCGCAGGUUCGUCAGGCGUCGCACGGAAAUGUGUUGUUGCUCAGGUUCCUGCGUUGGUCGUCGAUCGAUCGCUACGAAACUUUUUUAUUUGUGAUCUCAAAGGGAUACAGUUUUCUUUUUUAUCUCAAAGGGAUGACGGAUAUACUACGACAUGGUGGCUCUGCCAUCUGGUGCGUGUGUGCAGCAGGGUCUCGGAAAAGGCUAGUUAGCUAGUGGCGAUUUGUUUACGGAGCAAGUUUUGAAGGAGGGCAGUGGGUUUGCGUUUUAGCAAACCAAUCAUGGAGACGGACGCCGCAACCAUGCUAACCCUGUACUUGCGUGGCUGCUCUAGGUUACAUGUCUAUUUCCAGGCCUAUCAUUACGCGGACUAAUUGUAGUAUAAAGUACUCCAGCCAAGUACUACCUGCUAGCUCAACCCUCCAAAUAAUGCAAGCAGCAUCCACUACUUGCCAUGCGCCCAUGCCACCUUUUUUUUCUGGAGUACAAUGUGCAACUUCUCCUGUGCUACCAGUAGUAGUUCAGUAACAGUCUAUGGAUCUGACCGACCACGCAAAUUCUCGUUCUGCAGUGAUGCAGACAGUGCUAAACAUGCGAUGCAUUGCACGGACGCAUCAUGCCGGCGUCUCGGCGUUCUCUCAUUCUCCGGCCUGGCCUCCCCCCAGCUGCAGGCGCGGCGGCAUUGGUCACAGUGCCUGCAGACGAGCCUGGUCGAUCGGGGCGCCAGCGAUGAUGGCUUGGCCGCUUUGGAGGUCGCGGCGGCCGGCAUGCAGUGGCAUGGAAAGGCAGCGGGGCGCGCAUGAUGGUGCCCCCGCGCGGAGGGGCACCGCGGGAUGGCCGCCCAGGCGGCCACUCAUCACGGCCACCGGGCGGGCGCGCGCGCGGGGCCAGGCCACCCCGCCCGCACCGCACGGACCACGGGUGCCACGCGAAUAAACAACCCGAAAAGGCACGGGGCUGGGCUGCCGCCUGCCGCGCCGCGCGUGGCACCUGGCACCCCGGCGUGGGGCGGGGCGCCGGGCGGGCGGCCGAGCACUAGCCGCGGUUGGGUUCGAGCGCGCGCGGGCGGGCGUAGGGCAGCGGCUUUCGGUUGGCACCAUCCCUUGCCUCGCCGCGCGGGGGGGGGGGGGGGGGGGGUGCGGGGCGCGGGAUGGGAGGAAGGAGAGAGGGGGUGCGUGCGCGGCGCGGUCGCGGGCUCGCGGCCCCCGCGCGUGGCGUGGUUCAGCCAGGCCGCCCUGCCUGCAUGCCGGGCCGGCAUCUGAGCUGGUGCGCCGGCCCCUCGCCUGCCGGCCUGCCCGCCCGCCCUCCCGCGCAGUGGCGCGCGUGUGGGGGUGUCGCGCUUGCGCCGGCCGGCCGCUGCCACAGCACGUCGUCGCAGGUGCCGCGGGUAGCGUGCCGGGUCGGCUCGCAAAACCAGUGGCUACCGUACAGCAUUAGUCCUGGACUUGCUCAUCCGAUGAGUCUCAUCGUCUCUCCCACCCGUCCCUCACCCUUUUCCCUUUGGCUUCGUCACGGCGACUCGAAGAUAGGGCGUGCUAGCUCCACUACCGCCUGCUUUUCAUCUCGACACCAUGAGACCGGCUCUGAACGAGCUCUGUGACGGUGGACACGCAUCAACGGCUUGCUGCCGAUCGUGCGUGCCCGAUCGGCCGACCUUUCCGCAGGCAACUCGAAUGGAACUCGGAGGAAUCGGAGCUCGCGCGGUGCAGAGCGUGACAGCGUCUCACUCAUACUAGUGGACGCCCAACUGGAAAGCUCGGGCCAGCAUCCCGUAGCAGGAUAUGCAGCGAAGGAACCGGAGAUUCUUGGACAUCCUCUGAAUCUUUACCAUCACCAGGCCAGUCCCUCUAGUCCAAAGAGGGACGGCACAGCGACGCGCGUGGCGAAGCCCUUUGUUCCAGGAGGCUGGAUCGCCGCUGAGGAGCCAAUGGGGGCGGCGAUUCAUGCGCGGCGCCACCCUUUCCUACCGCCCUGGCAAAAGCGACGCCGCUUUUGCCGUCACCGCAUCUGCUUUCGACCACAUGCCCGCCGUGCCGGCCUGACCUGACCGUCCGGCGGCAAUCGAGCGCCUGCCUGAAUCUUUCUCCGCUCCACUUGGCCCCGGCCCAGAAUGCGAGCGAGCAGUGUAUGCGAAUCGAAUCAGGACCCGACGCGACCUGCAUCCACUCCCCUAGCUUUGUUCUCGCUGUGCCGGCCGGCUAGAGCACGCACGCAACGCUCGUACGAGGAAAAAGCUUCUUCACGGCAUGGCGAGGCCGGUCGAGGGAGGGAGGCAAAGCAGCCGUUCCCGUGGAUACCAGGUGCCGAGGUUCCGUCCGUGUCCUUCCGAAUGAAAAAUCUUGGAUCCGUCGCCAUCGAUCCGGAGAUUCGACGGGCGAUGCCGGUACCCCCCGGAGUCCGAGGACGGAGCACUUUAGCCUUUGGGAGAUGCUGCACUGUUGGGUUCAUGAUUCAUGGGCAUCGAUGCAGCCGCCGUGGCCGUUGGUUGGUGCACAUGGAAGGCUUGUUGGAGUUGGAAAGUGGCAUCCUCUCUCUGCGUUGAUAGUCGAUACCCGGAUGGAGGUGGGGUCAAAAGGGGAACGGCAUGAGCUCAAAGGUUGAUUUUGGGUGUGUUCAUUUCCUUCCCUCUAAAGUUUAGAUCCAUCACAUCAAUUUUUUUUUUGCUAUUUAGAAGUAUUAAAUAAAAUCUGUUUAUAAAACUUUUUGCACAGACGGGUGUUAAUUCGCGAGACAAAUUUAAUGAGCCUAAUUAAUCCAUAAUUUGGCACAGUGAUGCUACAGUAAUUAUCCGCUAAUCAUGGACUAAUAUACCUUAUUAGAUUCGUCUCGUGAAUUAGCCCUGUGGUUCUGCAAUUAGUUUUGUAAUUAGACUUUAUUUAAUACUUAUAAAUAAUAAGAUUCUCUUUGAUGUGACACUUCUAAACUUUAGACCCUAAGAAACGAACACACCCUUUUAACAAAGAACAAAAAAAUGUAAGUGAACGGCAUGAGCUCAGAGGUUGAUUUUCUUUUUAAAAAAAUGUAAGUGCAAAUCCGAAAGUGGGUUAUUAGACUUCUCGAGUGGGAAGAUGAAAGGAAAUUGAGUUGAGGAUUUGGCUUUGUUUUUCCUCUUGGUUAUAUGAAUCCCUACUGGUUAUAUGAAUGAAUUGGAAUGCACUGUAUUUCUUUUAAAUAUUGAGAUCACUAACCCAUGACUAUUAUGAGAGAUCAGUUUGUUUUCGUUACGUGUGAGAAUUAUGUCACUUUGCUGCAUGGAAAGUGCAGGUGAUACUGUAUCUUAUCCAUCUGGAGGAUGAUGUUCCUAAACCCUGGAUCAAACUUCCAAUAAACUUUAACUGUAUCCUCAUGACUUGGCAUUUAAAUGGGUAACACAUGGUGUUUUCUGGAUCAGUUAGUUUCAUGUCAUGCUGUUUUAGUUUAUUUUGAUGACUUUUGUGUUGACUAGUAGCUCGAAACAGCACGUGGAAGUUACGUCCCUGCCCGCAAGACAUGAAUAUGAACGAAACAUCUUUGACAAUUCAAUGAAACCUGGACGUUCGAAGCUACCGCCGACUGCUAUCCUGAUCUCGGACGGUCUCGCACAUGAUCUGCGCCAGGGGAAUCGGAGCAUGACAUCCACUAGGCACCAUGCAUCAUGAUCUGAUGAUGAUGAUCCGGUGAUGUGCCGUGUGCAGCAGGGCGUGCAUGCAAUGCACCUUUCCAUGUCGAUGAUCUGCUGCCCGUUUCCUCCUGUCAGCUUCCAUUCUGGCAGCACAGCCAAACUGUUGCCCGGCCAGUGGACCGACAUUUAAGCGGCCCUGCGCGUAUGGCAGCUUCGUUCCCACCCGCGCGUGAGCUGCCAAAGCAUGGGGAGGCCGCCUGCACCUGUUGGAUCGCCGGCGAGAGAAGGCAAGCGGAUCAAACACCCAUCCCCGGCGAGCACUGGUCGGCCCGGCCAAUCGGCCACGUCCGUCCGUGCAGGCGCCUACGAGGGAGGCGGCUGCGCUGCACUGCUGCCCCCAUCCUCCGUACCAACUCGCGAUCGCGAUCACGACCGCGUGGAGGUCGGCGGCAAGCGGGCGGGCCGCGACGCGAUCGGCCAUGUCGCGCGGCAGUGCCUGAACGCGAUGCGGCGUCCGGACGCGCCCGGCCUCGUGCGCCCGCGGCAUCGACCGCCACGCCCGCGCGCGUCCAGAACGUGCCCCCUUGACGUGGACGGGGAGGCGCCUCGACGUGACGGAUCGGGUCCCGGCGCGGAUGGCGCGCGAGCAGCGGCCGGAUCGAGCUCGAUCGCAAGCUAGCCCGUGCCGGCUUCCUCCCGCACGACAGGACGCCAUGGGCCGCCGGUGCCGCGGGAAACGACGCGGCCGGGACAUGGUGGGGGCGGCAAGUGAAGUGAUCCGCGCGGUCCCUUCUAUCCAUCUCGUCGCCCCCAUACCCCCGUCGCCGUCCUACCCCCCCGCCGGCACUGUCGCGAAGCGGCGGAGCAGCGGCGCGCCUCCCCGGCGUCGUCGUCGAUCGCCGCAAGCGGACGAGCGGGAGGCCGGAUGCGCCCAUGGCAUGGAGCUGCGGCGCCGUGGCAGGGCCGCUGGUUUGGUGUGCCCGCCUGCCCGGCCUGCCACGCCCGGCGCCCCUAGCUCGUGGCGGUUUGGACGCGCGCGACGCGAGUGCAAUCGAGGCGGGCGGGGACGGGGCCCGUGCGGGAGCAGCGGUUUGAGGGGCACGCGAGGGGCUGGGGCCGCCGGUGCCCGGCCCGCGGCCGACCGGGCAGCGGUUGAUUGGAGGGGAGGGCAGGCGGGCCGAGGGCCGCGGUGCUACUGGUACUUCGGCUGUCUAGCUGUAGCCUCCCUUUCCCUUUGCCUUCCUAUUGGCCCGGGGUGGAUGUACCGUCUGCCUCUGCAAGCUCCAAGGUCAAGUCGGCAGGGAACAUGUUCAGAAAAGGAGAGCUGGAAUGCCACAGUGUGCUCAUCGCUUGCAGACCUCAGAAUCAGAAUGGCAGAAACGCCUGACGUGCCUGGCAUUGAUGGCCUCAUGGGGGACCCGGGCACCUUUCCACCGUCCGGAACGGCGCGCGCCGGCACGGUGAUCCGACGGUCAGGUGAACGCCGUAAAAACAGCUGGCCGUCGCGGUCGGGCACGGCGGCGGCGUACCUCUCCAACCAGCCAGCGCGCCGCCCGCUCGGACGCACGGCGACGGCCGGCCUCGUGCGACGCCAUCACGCCGCGCUCCCGUGGGGCAGACACCGAAUUGAAUGUCCCGCGUCACGACACUCCGGCCGCCGCCGCAGCGUUUCGACGAGCUUCUCUCUCCGCUCUGCUCUGCUCACCCGGCGUUAAUGCGGCAUGGCGAGCGCCGGAUGCGCCCGUGCGCGAGGUCGCCGCCGCACUGCUCGCCCGUGCCCGAGCAACAGUGGAAUUCCGGCAGGAGGGAACAGGAGCGCGGCCUCGCCGCCGGUGCCAGCGAGGGGCGUCUCGCGACCGGGGUACAGUGCCCCAGGAACGGCACCCCCAGUUCCCCACUGACACCGGGGAAUUUCGGCAGCGAUCGAUGGCAUCGGGCCAUGUGCGCGGGUGUCUGAAUCCCACGGGAAAGGGACGCGACGGGAGCGGCCUACAGUUUUGCACAGAAGGCGCCCAUGCCCCCUGCCCAUGCGAUGAGGCCGCCGCCGAUCUCAGGUUCCGCGCGCCGUGCUCACCCGAGCUUCCCUGGAAACGGACGGCGACGGCUUCCGGCGUCCGUGGCGCGUCGCCGUCUGCCGGGCAAAGCGUCCAUGCCGAGCCCCCUUGAUUUUCAGGCGUACGGUGCCGUCACGCAAGGUGCAACCUCGCGUCGCGGCGGCACAAGGGAAGACGAGCAUAGGGGACCAUCAUGUCAUGUGGCUUGCACAGCGGUCGCGUUAUCAGAGAGUUUCUGGCACUGAUAAAAUUCCUUUUUGUAUGCCGUCAUGGCACCUGUGGGACGUGAGAACGCACGAGCUUGGACGUGAUCUCUUCGGCGGAAAGCGAGAUGCUCCAUGGGGAUGCUCAAUCAAUGGAAAAACUCGGCGAUCAAAUCAAUCCAUGGUAUGGAACCUCGACGAUCAAUCGCGUGACGUGUGACACGUUCCCGGGGGGCGCCGAUUUCCCCACCUGCACCCGAUUCUUACCGAGACGCCCGGUGAUCCAACAAGAACAACCGCUAGCGAGCUAGAAGCUCAACAGAAGCAAGCAAGACGAUUGAUGGAAACGCAGCAACAUGAGACUGCACACGAACGAACGUGACGGAACAGUAUGGCAACUCGAAACGCGGCGCUCUGCUGGUUGCCAGUGCGGUGCACGAUGGGAGCACCGGAGCGCAUCCGUUGAUCCCGGCUCGCUUCCACAACAUGCCUGGAUGCAACACGCGCGCGGCCCGUCACACGAGCCAAACCCGGCAGAACAAACCGGAGGCAUCAGGUGUUGCGAGCUUUGGUGUGCGCGAAAGAGGCGCAGAAUCGUUGUUGUACGCAGCGAAAGAAGGGCGUGCGCAGGUGAACUGACGUAAGGGCUGUUUGGAGCAUCGCCUAACCCGCCACGGCGCGCCACACUUUUUCCGCCGCAGGUGUGGCGGCUGUUUUGAGCGCCAUAAGUUAGGCACGCUGUGGCGGGUUAGGCGGCACUCCAAACAGCCCUGUAAACCGCGCCUCGCACCACCCAGAAAGAAAAAAAAAAUGCGAAGCGGCGAGUGGAGACGCAGGACGACGCACCAUCCUCCCCAGACGGCCACUACCUCCAGUAACGUUGCGAAAACAUAAUUGUGACAAGUGACCAGCGACGACCGACGCACAUGUAACAAAAGAGAAAAGGAACAUAGCAAGCAUCCUUUCGAGAUAUCACCUUAUCUUAUGUGCGGGCACUCUUUUGGUCGAGCUGAUGCGAAGGCCGGAGUUGAGAGCGAACGAACCUGCUUACAUGGAACGCACACCGGGUUCCUUUGGCGUCAACUCUGCGCAGAUCUCAGGCUUGUGAUAAGCAGUAGUCAGAUCAGAGAGAUAUGAACAAUCCACAUGCCAAACCUCUGCUGCUAUUGUGUUUCCCAUGCAUCACCUACCACGGGCAUAAGCGUGACGGUUGGAACUUCCACGCCUCAAAUCAUGUAUGCUGAGUGCAAAGCUCUUGUCAAUCACUGCAGGUUCAGUGUCCCAAGUGUUGCAGAAACAGUGACGCUUCAAUGAACGCAUGCAAACGUUUGGAUAAAUAUAUUUGGAGGUUUGUAGCUUGAAAUCAGCCGAAAGGUAUCACUUUUGGUGGGACCUUGGAUUAGGAUGGGCCAAAUGAUUGUAACCUUGGCUCCAACAUUCAGUGUUUCCGCAAUUGCAUCCUUAAAUCACAAGGAACGGCCAUAAGUACGUAAUGAAACGGGUAAUUCUUUGUUUAAUCUUUCAUGAUUUCACCAAGAGGUUGGUCAGCACCACUGAUCAUUGGUUUGGAAUGUUUGUUAAACAAACGUUGCUAUUGUGCAUUAAACAACUACACAACAACUCCCCUUUGUUCAACAAAAUGGAGGUCGACAAUAAUGGUCAAUUCCAUGAGAGAUCUCUGAUUUUUAUUGACAUUGUCUAUGUCACACAGGAAGCAAAGGAGAUCAGAUAUGAAUAGCUUGCAUGCUAUGCUCUGGAAAAUUCCAAUAAAAACCCAACACCUUUCAUGUACAGACUUAAUUAACACAUGCGACGGACCUGUGCAUCUAGAUCCUCUGAUAGCCACGUCUCUCCUAAUACAAAAGAAACAUAACAUCACAUGAUAAGCCAUUUGGUACAAGCCAAUUAGCCAAAACAGCAUGUCUCUAUUAAAAUCAGUUAUACAUCACGUGAAACUGAUUUAAGCAAAGAAUGACAUCACAUAUCUCUAUUGCAAACAGCAGAAUGGUAGAUUCUCACUUUCCAACAGACAUUCACUACCAGCUCAGAUGGAGUGUCAACUGGCAGGGUCCAUUGAGAAGGAUACAGAAGAUAGUACUGUGAUAACUGACUUGGGGAAAUAGAAAUAUCUUGUGGGUUAUGGUUAAAUGCAGACAUGUUUGCACACAACCAAACUUUACUUUGGUCCCAAAAAAAAAAAUCAAACCUUACUUUAACAACUAAAAUUGGAUGAUCAUAAUAGCAAAAUAUUAUGUGAUGGUCUGGCUGCGAUGAUAUUAUUCAGCAUCAUCAAAGAAGCCAAACAUCAUGAUGUUACUGUCUUCUAUUUAGUUUCUACAUAUGAAUAAGUUGAGCUGACGCCAAAGUUCAGAAAGGGAAAGCAGUAUGAACUAUGACGAUAUAUUGGUUGCUGGGCUUGGUUUAGGAGGCCCAUAACAAGUUCACAACAGUUGCAGAGGUGCCACUAGCUUCUAGCCUAACGUAAUUUAGAAAUUAAAGGCCAAAGACUAAACCGCUACACAAAAAUUUGGCCAUCGUUAAGCGGGGGAAUAACUACUAUUGGAGUACUCUUAACCAUCAACAACAGAUAUUAAUGUUGUAUAAGCAAGUAGCAGAAAUGCCCGCCCAAUAACAUUAUAGACUGUUCGCUACAUAUGUUUUUCCUCAAAAAUGUAUUUUACACAUAAGAUUAAAUAUUGUUUUUGCAUAUAAUUAGCCAAUAACAAGCCUGCCUCCAUACUUCUAGUUUUAUGACAUAGGUAUGAACCGUGCAUCCUAUCAUCAUUAUUACCACAAAAGCAAUAGCAGAACAAGCAAAUCUAGACAUGCAAAUGUUCUUUCUUCUACAACGAGAAUAUAUAUAUGCAGUUUACCUAAACUUGUUACUUUACAAAUGUGAUUUAACCCAUGACUUUUGGGCGCCAUCCAGCAAUUACAUCCUCUUGCAGAGCUCGAGUUUUGACAAAAGAAUCCAUUGAGAAAAUUGACUGCAAAAGAAAAUUCAAAUGUUCCAGUAAGGAUAGAGUGCCCAAGGCCAACUCCUUAGGAAGAUGUCAAACAAAUGGAAGAGAUAAAGUAAACCAUAUGAAAUGAUAUCUAGCUGCAAAAACAUUUUAUUCUGGAACAAUAGAUGGCUUCAUGGGCAGCAGAUCAUGGAUCUUGUGCCCCGUCCCUUUCCCUGGUGCCCAAAGGAAAAGCAAAUAAACAUAUUGUUCUAGAAGCUCUCACAGAGAACACAUGGAUUUCCGAUUUCUGAGCUACAACGGGCACUCUCGCUGAGGGUUAUUGCUAAAUUCCUUGAGCUACAGGACGCCCUUGCUAAAGUGGUGUUGUGUGGCGUUUCUCCGUCUCUGGUCAAUAUACAGCUGAGUCAAACUAUGAAGGGGUUUUCCCCAGGGCUCUAUUAUUUUUAAACCUGGGAGCGCAUUUGGAAAUCCUGGGAGCCAGGCAAGUGCCGUUUCUUCAUGUGGCUGGUCGCACAUAACAAGAGCUGGACCGCUGAUCGACUUGCUAAAUGGGGCCAGAUGCACCCUGAUCGCUAUCCACUUUGUGACCAAUAGGCAGAGUUGAUUAAUCACCUACCGGUCGCUCAUGUUUUUGCUCAUCAAUUUUGGUUCGACUUAUGCAAAAGGUGGCUUUACAUAGCCUUUCUCCGCAGCCUGGAGAACUCUCCUUUGAUGAUUGGUGGGCUAAAGUUUCUGCACAGGUCGAUGGCCAAGUGCGGCAGGAUCUCAACUCCAUCGCCAUCUUAGGGGCUUGGUCAAUUUGGAAUCAUAGGAACAGAUGUGUCUUUAUGGAGCCUCUCCAAGCCUGGUUGGGGCCUUGAUGUUUGCUAGUGAUGAGAUGAAUUUGUGGUGUUUGUCUGGGGCUAGAAGUAUCUCUCACCUAAUAGCCCUAGCAUCUGAAGGAGGUUAGAUUCUUUGGCCAAGAUUGUUCUUGUUUUAUAGUCAUGGGCGUGAAACCUAAGAAUCUCUGGGGUGUGUGGGUGUGUUGUAAGGGUUCUACCCUUGCUCUACUUCUUAUUUAAUAUAACAAUACACAGCUAUCCUGCGUGUUCAAGGAAAAAAAAUAUCUAGCAGCAAAAAGUACUAUGCUCUCAUGCCUUGCUAAUACUUCUAUAGGAGUUCAUGGUGAUUUCCAGUGGUGUAUGUUGCAUUAUGCAUGCAACAUAAGAAUAACCAAUUUGCUGCUAUUUAAGAACUGGGAUAGUCGAGUUAAAAUGGACUUGGAUUCAUGAGUCAUCUCUUAAGCUCCCCAAUCGCCCACAAAAUAGUCAGCUUCUUUUUUCACUCCCACAAUAUGUUUCUUCAAACAUGAACAUAUGAACUACACAGCACAAAAAUUUCAUGCAACUGGUAGAGCACUUGUGUCUGCUGUUUAGGCGAAGGACAGAAAGGAGAAAUUAAUUGAACCUAGAACAGCUACCCUAGUUCCAUGUUCCUUGGAUCGACCUCAGGUUCAAGUACAGGUCAGUCUUAAAGAAAAACCAAGUACCAAAAAGACGAGAACAAAGUUUCUUGCACAAAAGAUGACAAUGUACCUUCAUGUAUUGUUUUACAUGUGAAAGUGAAUCCAGAACAGACCAAUUCUUGUAGUGACCCAGAGCUAUCUCCAUGUGAUAUAGUUUAGGAGCCAGAGAGAGAUCAGCAGCAGAAAUUGCUCCUCCAUUAAUAAAUGGACCCUGGACCAAACAGCAUCUCAGAAUAAGAACAUAGAUAAUUUCAGAUGAAGUACACAGAAAUGGAUAUUAAGUUAUUAAAUAAUAAAGCAUACUCUAAUCAUUAAACCCACAUAAAAGGGUUCUUGUGGAGUAAACAACACAUUUCACACAAACUGAAUGUAAUUUAAGGUUUUAUAUAACAAAUUCAUCUUAGCUGAUAAAACUUGCUAGACUGAAAUUGAGUUAAUUAACAAACACUCAAGGCUGUUCUACUUCUAAUUACUAAUGGUUCGCAAAUGAUAUCAUGAUAUUCCAUAUUUGAAAUUUAACAGAUCUAUAUAAGAACUGAUGUUAUAUUAAACAAACUGAGAACCAUGAAGUGAUGCAUUUGGUUUAUUGAAAUCUAAAAUAGCCUAACAUGUGCAAAAGGUAACUUUUGCAAUCACUGGAGGGCAAACUACAGUUUAGAUGACCAAUAAUUCUAAGGAACCAUACAAUUGUAAGUAAUUCAGGAUUAGUAGUCAGUUUUUUCCUAACUUCGAGCAUGCACUGAAACAAGUCAUUUUAGAAGCCAAAUUUUGCAGCUGGUAUCAUUGGUCACAAUGUAGCUUUAACCAUUUUAGCAUGUAAUGCAGCAGAAUAUGAAGCAAUAUUAGUGUCAUGUCAGGGUGGCAACGGGGUGGGGCAGGUUGGGGACACAGCUCCCGUCCCCGCUCCGAUCCCCGAGUCUUGUUCCCCGCCCCGGCCCCGAUACGCUCAACGGGGGGAAAUCCGUCCCCGACCCCAGCCCCGAUGGAUCCCCGGUCCCUGCGGGGCCCCGCGGGGGAAGGUGCCUCGACUCUCGAGGACGACCGGCGAGGAGCAACGAGGAGGCUAGCGGCACGGGCGUGAGGAGGCUGGCGGCGCGAGGAGCAGCAACGGGAUGGCCGGCGAGGCGCAACGAGGGCGCGGGCGGCGCGGAGGCUGGUGGCACGAGGAGCAGCGUGGACGUGGAGCAGCGGGCAGCGCGGAAGCCGGUGGUGCGAGGAGCGGCGAGGGGACGGCCGGCGAGGGCGCGAGAAGGCUGGCAAGGCGAGGGCGCGGUGACUGCUGGUGGCUGGUGGCGGCCGCCGCCUGUUUGCUGCAGUGAGGAGCGGGGUGGGUGGUGAUGGGGAGGAGGAUGAUGAGCUGAGGACGGGGCGCAUUAGAUACAUGGGACAUGAAAAUUUUGGAUAUAAGAUGUCAAAAUGUGCACCAGCUGUUGGGACUCGAGAGGGAUGGCCACACAUAAGCCAAAAAAAAGGGAAAGGAAAGAAAGAAAAGGGGCUACACAUAGUAUAUUUUUUUCAAUGCCUGUGACCAAACACAUGGUAUAAUUCAUGCAACACUGAACAGGGGUUUCUGAAAUGAGUAUGGAUAUGGCUAGUAGAAGGGCCUAUAGAGAUUAGGUAAUAUUGCAGCUCAUAAAACCAUGGUACUAGUUGGAAGCAGUCAUGUAACAUUACAAUUGACACUAACCCACUUACAUUAUCCUUUAGAUAACUAUCAAAUGAAGUCAGCUCAUCAAGUAGUGCCUGUUCUGUUCCAUCACUUGGAUCUUUGCUUUUGAGGAAACCGAUGAAGGUGGAAAAUAUUUUUGACCCUCUGCAAUGAAAUUUAUUGAAAAUAGUUAUGAUGCCGGUCCUAGCAUUACUGCCAAGUAUUAACAAAACAAAAGGAAGCUACCAAAGUUGUAGAUAACUCCAAGGUACAAAUCAAACAACAUAUCAUGUAGGAUGUGCCAAUACAAACACUGAUUUAAUGGAUAAAUACCAGGUCAAUUAGUCACAAUUUAUGGACAAUCACAAAGAAUGGCUACAGCACAGUUACAUUAGGUGAUGCAGAAAGAUGAAACGUAAUAUUUUGUAUGGUUAGCCAUACAUAGAUGCUCUUAAAAAAGAAUGAAACAGAUAAGGGCAGAAGAGAGGAAUUAACACAAAAUAUGCAUGGAUGGCUCACCAUUCAAAACAAUAGUGCUGAACAGAGAGCCCUUGCAAGAAGGUAAAACAGGGUCAUUCAUUAGGGCACUGGAAAAAUCACAUACAUUGAAGCUUUGUCUGCUGGAGUUGCCAAGGGUGGUUCAGGGUACUUCUCCUCUAAUGCUUGUGUUAUAACAUCGGAAUCAGCGAUCCAUUUGUCCUCAAGCUUCACAAUAGGCACCUUACCUUCUGGAUUGAUUUCAAAUAACCUGACAAAGCAACACAAGAAUGGCGAUUCAGGGCCAUCGAACAAUGAAGCCGAGAAACAUCCACUAAUAAUCUAAAUUCAGAAAGGUUAGUCUCAAAUUUCAGAGAGGUACCAAUCUGGUUUAUUAGCUAGAUCAACUAGCUUUAGAUUAUAUGGCAGAUGCUUCUCCUCUAUUGUCAACAAAACCCUUUGUGUGAAUGGACCUGUGGUCAACAUGUGAAAUAAAUGACAGUGUUUCAACAAUCAGACCAUAAAAACUUGCAAUAGCCAUAAGUUAUGGUUACACUUCUAACUUCAGUGAAAACAUGAUUCACACUCUUCCAUUCUGGGUAAUAUCAAUGCUGCCCACCUGUUUUUCUUUAGUAAUUAGUAUCAAUCAGAUGUUAAUAUUAAAGUGACGUUGCAAACAUUUAGUUAGAUUAAUGAAGUCACUAUUAAUAUGAUAAAUGGUGUUCCCUUGAAUACUAUGAUCUGUAAUAUGCAACUGGUAAUUCCCCUGCUCGAGCUAAACAUGUAGUAGAAACUGCAGAGCAACUUUUGCUAUUAGCAGGCAAAUGUAGAUUAGAAAAACGAUAAAACCUAGUUUAGUUUAUUUCUGAAUUCCGAGUGCUGAUAAUUCUAUCACAGGAACAGGUAAUCAAUUGAAGCUAAUACUCCCAGUAUAAAGCAUUUUUAUUCUACACAGAAAAGGAGAAGUUUCACUCUUAGUGUGAUCAUCACAUACUAUAUUUUAUCAAUCCUUAUAAAUGGUGUAAACUCACAACAAAAAUUAUCAAAAACGGAUCACAAUGCUAAGUUAUUAAAACUUAAGCAUAAAGAGAACAAAGCAUGUACCAAAUUCAAAGCCCAAAACUUUUUUUUUCCCAUAAACACUUAAACAGAUUAUACGGUCGUGGAAAACUUAAAGAAGGCAGCACAGGAGGGUGGAAGCAGCAUUUAAAUUAAUUAAGAAAUCGAACUCCAAAGAUCACCUUAACAUGUCCAUCUCUUAAAACACUACAACAAUAUUAACACCCACUGGCUCCAAACGCUGACGAAACAAAUAAAUCAACCUUCUCAAAUGAAAAUUGAUCAUAAAAAUACACCUUGGGAUUUUGCAACGCAGUAUGGUUGGCUACAUGAUUCACAGAACUUGCACGGUUUAUUUUGUUAUGUAGAUGAUGGCUCGAACAAGGACACCAAGUAAACACAUUUUGUUGCAAAUUGGAUAAGUGCAUAUUGGUGGAUGUUUUUUUCCUUCAAAACAAUUGCUGGAUGAAAAUUAGAUUGUCAAUCUGUCUAAUUAGCUAAAACCUACUACUAAGCUACCACCAUGCAUUUCACUCCAUCCUAGAUUGUUUUAGGACAUAUUACGUGUGUUAAUGUGUAUUCAUAAUCAUAAACCACUCAUGAGUCAUGAUAGCAACAUGGAAAUCAAACUUGCAAACCUACCAUCACUCUAAAAUUGAAAGUGAAACGUUCAAGCUAGCGUUCGCGGAUCAAGUCUUGACGCAGAAAAUUAAACUCAGAAUAACUCCCCGAAUCCAAAUAGCGGCCACCACAACCUGCAUUGUCAGUUCAGCUACUACCCCGCGUUCUACUGCUACAAGGAGCCGCGCGCGCGCACGAACAGGGAUAGAUUAGGAGCUCACAGUCGCCUAGGCGACCCGGGACGGUGAUGGAUUCCUUCGCGCAGACUUCGAGCGGCUGCGCCGAGGCGCGGGCCGCGAACGCGCGGCGGAGCCGCGGCGCUGCAGGCAGGAGGCGCCCGCAGCCGCGGGCGCGGCGGAAGGUGGUGGCGAGGAGCGCCGAGGAUGGAGCCGCCGUCGUGGCGGCGGCGGACGUGCCGCGGAGGAGGACGGCCAUGCCUAGCUCGCCGGAGCGGGUCGGCGCGCGGGGGAGAAGAUGCGGCUCGGCCACGAAGGGAGAGCGCGCGGCGAGCGGCUGUGGCCCGGGAGCGGAGACGGAGCAGAGAAGCUUAUCUUCGUGGACGUGGAGCGCGUGCGUGCGUUUCCAGAGGCUUCGUGUCGCGGCCUCUGGUCCCGAGCCGGCUCUGAAGGAGACAUGAUGGUUUCGGCCAGAUGGGGGAAGACGACGUGUGGAGAGAGCACUUGGGCCUUGGGCCUCAGGGAAGUGUUUUUUUUUUCCCUUUACCGGCUACGGCCUAUGAGCAGCAUUUGCAAGACAUUUGGUUCGAGUCUCGUAUCCGCAGGACCCGCCGUCUCUGCAAACUCUAGUUCUGCAGCAUUGAAAAACGAUAUCGUAGAUAUCGGGAAUUAAAAUUUGUAUCAUUAUAAAAGCGAGUAUAAAAUAGCUUAUUUCAUGCAUAUGUUUCCACUUAUUCCAGGGAAAAAAAAUUCUCGCCGCAACAUCGUUUUAUGUUUCAUACAACAUUGAAGAUGCAUUCCCUUUGUGUGCUGACCAAGAAUUUUUACAGGAGUUCAGUUAAAACCAUUGUAACAUCAAGAAUGGACAAUUUCAACAAGUCAUCUCACUUUUAGCAACAAUAUCAAGACAUAGAUUCGACGAACCACAAUGAAACAAAAAGAUGAGAUAGUCGAACCAAAAUUUUGCAACAUCCCAAAUCCUUUGUGAUUUCCUAUUCCUUCUGUCUUUUGGCCCUUGAAUCUAAUCACUGUCUACCAGCUCCGACAGAGGGUCGCUUGAUCUCGCAAAUUUGCUUUGAAGAAAUAAAAUAGUUAAGAUGGGCUAUCAUAGAGUACUAGAUGAAGGAACACUACAAAAUAUGAACCAUUCACUGAUUAAUGUGUCAUGAAGGAGCAUUUGAUGUAGCGAAUUAAUGUGACAUGAAGGAGCACUUGAUGCAAUUAGCUUUUAUCAAUGUGCACUGGCUCAGGUAGGAGCUUCUUCAACAAUGUGUCCAGCACGAGCGGAUCUAAGAUUUGAACUUUGGGUGGGUCGGGGGGGGGGGGGGGGGGGGGGGGCGAAUCAUACAAGCUAAAGCAGCCUAAUAUGGAUAUACUGAGAGGUCGCCCGGGAUGGCGCAUAUAUAUAUACAGCUCUCAUCAUCAAGACACAUCCUUCUUUCUUAUGAUUACUCCCUGCCACUUCUUGUCCAUGCCGGUCUAAGAGGCUCAUCAUUCUUCAAGAUUGUUGCCAACGGGCAAUCAGCCAAAGAUUCACAAUACAAAAUAUUUCGCCCAAAGAACUUCACCAAGAAAAUUCAUUUGUAGAUAAUAUUCCUUUAGUGUUUGCUAUUAGAAAAACUAGUAUGGGUGGUCCGCGCAAAUAGCGCAGGAAGCUAGUUUUUCUCUUUAUUCUUCCAUCUCCAAUUUCUAAAUUUUAUGCAUACACGCACCUAUAUUGUCGAUGAUGGCUGCUGUAUCCUUUUCCUCAUCAUAUGACAUGUAUGGGCUCUACAGAUUUACUAUUACACCUGGCAAGGUACAACUUUCUUCUUUAUGUUCGCCAUCCUCUAUGAUCGACGUCACUCUCUCUCUCUCUCUCUCUCUCUCUCUCUCGAAAUCUGACUCAUGUUAACUUUUUCUCUACUUUAUUUUACUCAUAGUUUUUGCCUUUAAACUAAUGCUAUUAAAUUGUGCUUCUCCAUAGCCAUGCUAAUGAUUUUUUAAGUUGCUAACACGCUUCCUAAAUUGCACAUUAACGACUUGUUUGGUUGGGCCUUAUCUUCUUCUAAAAUUGCUUUAGUUUUGGCUUCAAUGGUGAAACCAUAUUUUUCGUGGAGUCAAAACUGCUUUUCAAAAAUAUUUACUAAAGUAGCUUCUCAAUGGUAAUAUGGUAAUUCUAAGAACACUUUACAACUUAAGGGGUGAGGAGAAGCCGGUGAAACCAUUUUUUUUCUCCUCCUCUCUUUUUAAGCCAUUUUGGGAUUUCAUUUGAGUUUCUUGGACGAAGCCAUUUUAUAAUGAUGUAUUUGGUAGAACUUUACCGAAACCUAUUGGAGAAGCCCAACAAAUAAAUCCUAAUAAUCGUCAAGGUUACUUCGUUAUCGUCGAAGGUAUUGGUGUUUGAGAUAUUGAUAAUAUGCUAUAGUCAAGUCACUACUUAACUUCUGAUACAUGAUGAUUGAUUUGUAACAAUUAAUAUUUAUUUAUUUAUUUGUAACUCGAUCGGAAGUAGAAGCAUGCAUCUUUCUAACAUUUUCCAAAUUAAUAUCAUAGGAAAAUUGAACGUUAAAAGGUGGCAAUUGCCAUUACGUAGUUGUUAUACUCUGCACUGCCGGAAAACUGCUAAGCAAACCGCACACAUAUGUAAUUAUGUAAUUGAGAUAAUGGUCAACUUAUUAUAAAAGAAGAAAAUGAAGUUGUCAGUAGUGACAAUAAUAUAAAAAAAAUUGGUAUCUGUGCUCUUUAUUUAAGCAAUUUUCUUCCAAAUAUUAUUGAAACUAAAUAACAUUUUUAAAUUUUUCCUAUAAUUUAGUUAUUUAUUUACUUGUUUAUCCGAGAUGAUUUUUGUCAUAUUACAACGACAUAUAUUCACGUAUCGGUUCCUGUGCAUCACAUUUCAAAUAUGAUUGCACUAACGUGUAAGAGUGCACUUAACAUACACAACGAACCUAUAUGUCUCUUCGAUCAGAUAGCCUUGCACGCAUCUCAUAUCGCUCGAUCGCCUUUUGUUACGUUCCACAAACUAACCGGCCGGACACGUCUUAUGCCUCCGACAUCUUUGGUUUCGGUUGGGACAGCCAGACGGUGGCGCCACAUCCUACGUUCUGUUGCUUGGCACUGUCAUCCAGGUCUUCUAGAGGUAGCUAGCACUGAUGCUAUUCCUUCGAUCUAAUAACAAAAGUGAGAUGCAAUCUUAAUAUCAUGCUUGACAUCUUUAAAAUAUCGCUCCUCAUCUUUAGCAUCUAGAAUUUUUUUAUUUUUCUAAUUCUGAAUUUAUUUAUUUACUAAUAGUAUUUGGUUUGGACUCUUUGAUCAUAUUCUAAUUUUUAUUAUUUUUUAAUUCCAAAAUUAGCUAUUUAGUAUUAUUAUUUGAUAUGAACUCUUAAGUUAGUUUAGACCGUUAGAUCUUCAUAAAAUCCAACGAACGAUGCAAAUCCUUCUCUUUUUUAGAUUAACAUGGAAAUUUCCAGAUCCUCUCAGCGAACGUGGUGUUUUUUUAACACGGUUUAGCUCUUGUAAUCAUAAAAUUUUUCUACAACACAAGUACGAGUUGCAGAUUUCAACACCAUCACGUGAUUAGAAAAGCCAAGGGAUCGCAAGCUUGUCGGAGCUAAGGAAAAAAUGGUGGAGAGAGAAAUUAAAGGAACAAUGCAGGGGAGAUCCAAGAGAUAUAAAAUUGAAUUACGCGUCAUUUAGCAAAGAAAACGAGCAACCCAGACAUUGCAUAUACACAACAGACAGACAAAACUACUGUAAGUACAAACAAUCGACCAAGUCUAUCGAUGUUCAGUACAAGACUUAUUGACUGUACAAAAACACGACGCAGCAGGAGAUACACAAAGCUAGCUGCUGCUAGCCUGCUACUGAAUGUGUGUGGAUCAUCGAUACUGAAGAACAGUGCUAGUAUUUGAUCUUGAUCAGUUGAUCUUAAGCAUGGGGAAGAUCAUCUCCGUCGUCAUUGGCGACCGUGGACGGGUGGGUGCCGGACGCAGGAUGAUGCGCCAUCUCCAUGGCGCCAAUGCCCUUCUUCUGCAUCUCCUGGUAGCGCUCCUCCGCCUCGGGCAUGGCCUCCAUGAUGGCCUUGAGGCGCAGGUUCAUGUCGUCGAGGCGCUCGUAGACGGCGUCGCUGGUGAACAUGCCCUCGCACACCUUGCAGAUGGUGUCCCAGCUCUCCACCAGCGGCAGGAAGAUGAUCACCGCCGACCCGACGGUGCCCCACGCGAUCGCGACCGCCGCCCACAGCGUGAAGUAGCCGGCGCUGUACUUCCCCGCCGGCAGCGACAGCACGGGCCACAGGACCACGAUCACGGCCGUGAACGCCACGCCCCACUUGACGAUCCACCGCUUCGCGCGCACCAGCCGCUCCUCCUUGAGCUCCUCCGCCAGCUCGCCGUCGGCGGCGACGCUCUCCACAGUGGUGAUCUGCCGGCUGCUCUCCCAGUCGUAGUGCUGCGGCCACGCCAGGCUGCACGCAGCGUGCACCGCCCCGCCCAGCAGGAUGGACACCAGGUUGCCCGCCAGCAUGGGCGCGUUCCGCCCGGUGCUGUCCAGGUCCACGCGCCCGUACUGGACCUUGGCGACCGUCAGCCAGACGGUGACGCCGAGGGCGCAGCCGGUGACAGUGCCGAGGAUGGCGCCGAUGGCGUUGGCCUUGCUCCAGAGCAGCAGCAGAGCAAUGGGGAUGACGGCGGAGCCUAUGAUGACGCCCAUGGCCAGGUACAUCCAUCCCAGGGAGACGCCGACGAGGUUGAGGAUGACGGCGAGGGCGCCCAUGAGGCAGCCGAACGCAAGGACGACGGCCCUGGACACGCGGAGGAUCUGCUUGCCGGUGGCGUCCGGGUUGAUGUAGGUCCGGUAGAUGUCGUAGGUGCAGAGGGAGGAGACGGCCACAAGCUCAGCCGAGCCCGCCGAGGUGACGGCCAUGAAGAGCAUGGUGAGGAGGAGAACGGAGCCGGACUUGCCCAUGAGCGCCGUGGCGGUGGCGGGCGGGACGAGGCCCUUGGCCGCCUCGGCUGCCGUGAUCGGGAGGUCCAGGGCGAGCGCGCCGAGGCCCAGCGAGGUUGCCAGCGAGAAGGGCACCGCGAACCACACCAGCCCGCCGAGCAGGUACCCCUUGUGCGUCGACGAUGGCCGGGCGGCGAUCGCGCUCAUCCAGUAACCCUGCACCCCAUCGCAUAAAUGAAUUUGGAUUGGAUGCAUGCCAUCCUGAAUCGAAAUAACCGAAUCGAAGAAAAGUGCCGGCCGGGCUUACGUUAUCGACGAAGACCGUGCCGAAAUUGCCGACGAUGUUGAUGAUGCCGAAGACAAGACCUCCGGAGCUGAGCAUGGUGAGGUAGGAUCCCUUGAAGUUGCCGUGGACGGGGCCGCAUGCCUGGUCGGAGUGCGAGAGCGGUGCGGAGCAGUCCCGCGCCGCGCUGGCCACGGCCGUGAGGUGGUCGUGCACCACCCGCGGGCUGCCCAGGCGGCUGCUGGAGGUGUACACGAGGAAGACGAAGACGACGAGGACGACGUGCACGACGACGGAGUGGAUGUAGCUGGCGAGGAAGGUGGCCUUGAGCCCGCCGGCGAGCGUGUACACCACGACGCCGAGCGGGAUGAGGAAGCUGGCGGCGUAGACGUUGAUGCCCGUGAGCGCGUUGGCGACGGCGGAGCCGCCCAGCAGCAGCAUGGCCGUGACGAUGACGUUGGUGGUGAGGCAGAACACCAGGAACACGGCGUGCGCCGCGCCGCCCCACCGCGCGCGCACGAUCUCGCAGACCGUGUGCGCGUUGGGCGCCUUGCGCUUGAUCUCGAUGGCCAUGACGCCGAACAGGAGCACCUGGAUGGUGGCGCCGCUGGCGUACCAGAACGGGCCGCUCACGCCGUACUGCCACGCCACGUUCGAGCUCUGAAGGAUCGUCGCCGCCCAUGUCCACUGCUCGAUUCGACAAUGCACAAUCCAUCAAUCCAUUCCAUGCUUUCAUUAGCUACUAGUUCCAGCUGAAGACAGACAGAUCAAGCUAGGGAAAUUGAUCAGCAAGUGUCAGUAAAAUCAGUGUGUGUACCUGGGAGACGAUGACGCUGGCGAUGAGGCCGGUCUUGACACUACGACCUGCCGUGUUGAACCACUCCGAAGUGUGCUGCGAUCCCACAUACCGCUUCUCUAGCCACACCUGCGGUGCAGGGGCACUCACAGUUAUAAUCCUACACUGCGACCUAGCAUGCCUUUCGUAUAGGAAUCUCCUUUGGAUUCAAAUAAUUUGGAAUCUUCUUAAUUUCUUUCUUUUGUUCUAAAGGGGCCCUUGGAUGGAAGUAUGGAACACAUUAAUUAGAAAAAGGGAAAUACAAAAAGGAAUUCCUUUGUGAGGUUGUAAAUGGAACUAACCCUUCCAUGUGAGUUCCAAUUAGAAUUUCAAAGUUCGGAAAAGUCGAAAGGCUCUUAAAACUUCAUGAAUGACAAUUUGUGGCUUAUUUGGAACAUAGGAAUGAGGACUGGGGACUCAAAAACAUAGGAAAAAUAUGAUAUAAGGCGCUUGGAAAUAAGAAUUUUUUUUGAAAACAUGCCAUGUAAGAAAAUUUUCUAAGAUAUGCUGUUUACUUAAGUUGGAGGUUGAAUUACGGAACAUGGCAAAUAUUAGUCUUCUUUGAACAUAGGAAUGGGGAAAAUAUGAAUUAAAAACAUGCAUGGUUUAAGGAAUGCAAGUUAAACUCAGAUAGUUGUAAAGCAUAGGUCAUAUGCAUGUUGUAAUACACAUACAUAAAUCACUGCUUUUUUCGUUCAAAAAAAAGAAGUCAAUCUUUUCUGAUUUCUAUUAAUGCAAUUUCACACUGAUAUGUGUCAUUCUUCUGAAAACUAAUGUUACCAUUUUUACCAUGAUCAAAUAUAUAUGUUCUAUAAACCAAGUAUAAAAAGUGUUACAUCAUAUAGCGUAUAUGAAGAAAUGAGGAAAUUCAGUAAUACAUCAAUUUAUUCAUCAAUGUUCCAGUAAAUGCAACUUGAAUUAAAAGUAGCAUAGUAUAUUUCCUUAACAAGAGCAUACUAGCUGCCUCCAGCGAUAAAAGAGUAUCAUUUUGAUUGUAUAUAUGUGGUGAACACAUUUAAACUUUAAGAUCGAUAUACUUCUCAAUAGUUCUAUGGUAUAACUGAAUUUAUUGUAAAAAGUGGUUCAAAAAUAUUCCAUUAUUUGCUAUGUUUUAUAUUUUACAUUCAAAAUAUUCCAAUACUUGUGAAGUAAUUUAUCAGUCAUCAUAUCGUUGUAUGAACAUUACCCUUCUUUAAUUGGAGGGAGUAUAUGUGCCUAAUAUGAUUAUUAGUACUUUGGUCAACUAAUUAAGCAUAGAGAUGAUAGGCAUAGAUACUCAUAAUAAGCUGAAAAAACUUCUGAAAAUUGCUAUGUAGGGUAGGAAAAGUACAUAGGUAUACAAAAAAGUACUUCACAUAUAACUAACUUUUAAAAUUCAUUACGGCCAAAAAUCUGUUGUAUUAGGCCCUUCGAUAUAUAAUGUUUCACCACUAAAAUGACUUUGAGCCCUAUAUCCUGAUUGUAAAAUAGCUGGAUGGGUCAAUAUUUUGGUUUGAUUUCUAUUUGGUGUAGCACAAAGGAAGGCCUAUUGUUUUAAUUUGGCAAAGCAAUUAUGUGCAACAAUUCUGAAUCAUGAGUAGGAAGUUAAUGCUAUAUGCAAUGCAUAAUUGCUGACAGUGUAGCAGGACAACAAACAAGGGCGAAGCUAGGACUUUAACUAUGCUGAAAGCUUUAGUAAAUAUAUAAAACGUAUAGUAUUAUAUAGUGGAAAUUAACUAAUUGCUAUUAUUUUUUAUUCUUCUUGGUGCAAAAUGACUAUUACUCCUACUCAUUACAUAGUGACAAUACAAGGAUAUAUGAUCAUUCAUUCAUGUGGUCCUAUCAUUUUAUAUUAGUAUGAGUUUAAUUAUAUCUAUGCUCCCAGUUGAUAGUCAUGGACUUUGACACAUAAAUCAAUUCAUAAUUACACCAAUAAAAAGGAACUACAUGCGUCAAUUUUAUUUGUCUGUAACUCUCAAAAGGGACGGCACAAGGAUAACUGUGUGAUUUCAGUACGCCAGCUUCAGCUUUCGUUUUCAUAAAGCAAAGUCGAACUUUGGUUAAAUCUCUUAUAUAUACGGAUAGUGGCAUGGUGCCUAUGCAUAUACCAUGUUGACUGUUGCUGAAAGAAAACCCAACUGUCACUUAAGAAAAUAAAAAAAGUUCAAAGUCAAAUCCGGCCGCAUGUGCAACUCGGUAUGUUGUUCAAUUCUGCACACAUGAUCCGGCCCUUUUUAGUAAAACGGAAUCUGGCCACACAGAAUCAUUCUAUUUCUCGCAAGUCAACUGUUCAUUUUCCUAAGUUCAAAUUGGAAAAAUUCCUUAUAUUAGUAGUCGAUUAGAGUUUGGUUUUAUGGCUGCAAGAAUCUUCAUUGCAUCUCCCGGCCCACUAUUUUGUGUUAGGUGUGAAAAAACACCAUUUAAGUAUCUAACUACCUAGCUAGGUAACCUGUUUCUCAUGCAGAUUGCUGAGUAGUACGACUUUAAUUACAGAGUUUUACCUUGCAAAUUUACGCUCUUACUAAAUCGUAAAAAGAAUCUACCAUCAAUCAUGCAUGGUAGCAAGCAAUAAUGCAUGGUCAUUUGCGUGUGCAAUGCAUAUACGUGCUACUGUUCUAUUGGAAAUCUGCAGUCAGUAUGUUCAGACUUCAGAGUCUCAAACAAGACUAGAGCAAGAAGAAGAAUCAAAGCGCUGGAGUGUGGAGUCACGCAUGAGAUGGAGACGUUGGUGUCUUGGUGAGCAGGAUAAGGUAAACAAGUAGUACCAGGAAGGAGGUGAAGAGCGCGAAGAAGGCGCCGAAGCCGAGGACGACGGCGUACCCGACGGCCUGCGCCAGCACCGGCUUCCCGCCGAAGAAGCUGCCGUCGCGGCUGCACACGCCGUCGACCACCGAGUAGUACUCGCCGCCGAAACCCAGCCCCGGCGGAGGGCAUGCGCCGCCGCCGCCAGCCAUCGUCUUCGAUCUGUGCAGGAACGAAAACUAACGCGAAGAGAUAGGUAGGCCGCAAUUUUGUGCGACAAACUGACAGAACAAUAAAGCGUACCUCGAUCAGGUCCCCGGCGAAGAGGGAGUGAAGACGGCGGCGGCGGCGGGCGGCGGGAGGCUCGAAGUGAAGCACCGCGACGGAAGGAAGAAUCGUCGUAUAUAAGAGACAACGGCCGCGCGCGCGAUCGCUGUCGCGAGCACCCGCCAACAACUCCCCAACUGGGAGAUUCUUUGACUCGGCUGAUACUGUUUUCCGAGCUGUUAUUAUUAUUUCCGUUGAGAGAAAAAUGGGAGCGAUCGAGAUCCCCGAUUCCCGCUGUGCAGGGGAACGGUGGGAUCGAUGUGUAGGCGCGCACGAAUCCUGAAGCGCCAGCCGCGUUCGCACCAGCCGACGUCUCCGCGUCUCGCCGUCGCCGGAGUUAGGACAGCAGCGCCGGGCCCGGGCGCGGCGGUUGCGGGGAGAGGGCUCUGCGGUGGCGCGUCCGCGGGUCCGGCGAGCGUGGCGCCGCGCCAUCGCCCCGUUGCUCGGCCACAAUCCCACUCGUACCUCCAUGCUGCCAACGAUACCCAGCGCCGGCGGCGCGGCGCGGCGCGGGAGGUGGUGGGGGCUGGGGAGGAGGGGGCUGCUAAUUGCAGACGUGGCGGCGGGCCGGGGGACGGAGGUGGUGGCGCUGGUGCCUGGUGAGAAGGAUGGAGACGCCAGCCACGCACGCCUAGCUCCCGCGCAGCCCCAUCGGGGAGGGGGAGAGCACGGCGACGGCGAGCGCGGUGGGAGCCGGCCGCCGGGGAGGUGCCACAAGCCCACAAGUCCAUUGUCGCGGACGUGUUGGGCUGGGCCGCUUGCGCGUCGUUGGCCAAGCCCGUCCUCCGUGCACCUCUCUGAACAGGCCGGGAGGUUCGGCCCGUGGUGUGGGGAGGAGGGAUAUACAUUUCUUUAAAUGGCUACGGCCUGUGGGCUGCGGCUUCUCUUCUCCUCCUCUGCACGCCUCCAUCCGAUGGCUUCCUGGGCCCUUUAAUUUUUCCGUGCUCAGAGCGCCAGUCAGCACCCAGUGAGCCCGUGAGUCAUGCCGGUAUGGAUAAGCUAGCUGCCAGCAGCAGCUUGGCCAUCUCCAUCUGCAUGCGCUCUUGGAUUGGACCACGGCCGGAGGAGCGCUGGCCAUGCAUGCGAGCAGCAGCGAACUGGUGUGUACCACCGCGCGCCAGGGACAAGACAACGGGGCCUCGCGCUCGACGAUUGGGCAUUGGGCUAGCUAGCUGGGCCCGACUUUUCAGGCCUGGGUCGAUCCUGACUGCAGCAAGGGAUCAAAAAAGAUGGCUGCGCAAAAACCAGGGCACCCAACGCUAUCCGUAGUCCACCACGAUUGCUUACGAGCAAUCCGCGAUACCGACUUGCGCCCAAUGCACUUUGAAGUUACAGAGUCUAAUUGGGCGAUGGGCAAACUGGGUUUUUUUACUUUUUUACUAACCAUUUCUCGGCGAAGUCAAGUACAACUCAACUCCCAUUUGUUUAGCUUACUCUAUUGAGACUGAGCUGUCCCUAAAAGAAAACACAGAGAGAGACCCAAUUGGUUGGAGUGUACUUUACGCCUUAUUAUCACAAAAGUUUUCGAGGGAACUAGUUGUAAACAACACCAUGUAUUAUUAGGUUUAUAAAUGCCCAGAUAGUGUUGGAAUAUAAAGUGAAUUGCCUAUAUUUUCUCGUCAACUUAAGCUUUGGUUGGACUGAUCGAUGCAUGCACCUCAAUGCAUUGAUAGCACGGUUAAAGUAGGAAACGAUCAUGCGCCAAUUCUCUCCUGACCGUCUCAAUUGUGUUGGCCACUUACUCAAUAGAACAUGAUACCAAUGCCAAUACGUGGUGAUCAUUAGACAGAAAAAGGACCAUGACAUACCUCAACAUACUAAAAAAAACCAAUUAAUCUUAGUGAACAAAGGACAAUAGUCAGUAGUGGACGCCAUACACGCCUAGGGUACGAAUUACUAUUUUACAACACACGGUAAAUGGCUAUCAAUACAAGAACAUUUUUUAUCGGCACAGAUCCAUUAUAUUGCACUUCCUCUAUUCCAAAUUAUAGGUUGUUUUAACUUUUCUAGAUAAAUAGAUUUUGUUAUUCAUGCAUCUAGAUAUAUUAUAUCUCUAGAUACAUAGUAAAAAUGAUAUAGUUAGAAAAGCUAAAAUACCUAUAAUUUGGAACGGACGGAGUAUCUUCACUUCUUUUAUCGUGUACUAAACAAAGGCACAAGCACUGACUAGAUGGAUUAACUAGAAUAACAAGGUUAUAGCGAGAUGGUGGCCAUGUUGCACGUAAAGGCGCAAAGCCAAUAUGGGAGAUGAUGAAUUAUCUUCAUUCGUGGAAAAGGUGCUGUUGGUGCGUGUGGAUUCCAGUCCAAUGUCUAGCCACAUCGUCUCCCAAUCAGCAAGAAAGAAAUCGCACACGUUUCCGCUCUCCGUCUGACGCCCUCACGACCACCCUUGCACUUGCACCUAACGGGUAGCACGUAAACUGUAAUGCAUGCAUAGAAACAUUCCGUGUGUGUUAUUGAGUUUUACCAGGCAUAGUAAGUUUUUUCUUACAAAGCUAAGCUACUUGUGACAUUAUAAACUCCUCUGAUAUUUGUGACACAUUAUGACGAGCAAGUAGCAGUAACUAUAACUUCAGUGACACUUCUUAUAGAAGCAUCUCCAACAGAUUACUUAUCUCUCUUUUCAAUAUUAAAAAAUAUAUUUUGGUAAUUGGAGGUGCUCCAGCAGAUUACCAAUUCAAUUCCCAAUACCUAAAAACUUAUGAAAACAUACCUCCCUCCACCCUAAAUGAAGGGAAUUUAUCCCUCUACCCUAUCCUCAUAUUUUUGGUGAUUGAAUUUUGUUAGUCUGCUGCAGCAACUAUUAUAAAAAAAUACAAAAGUAGCUAUUGGUAGUGGAGAAGAAGUGUACUUUGGAUGUGAUGUAUGAGUAAUCGAUUGGAGAUGAUCUAUAUAAUUUUGAUCUGGUAACAAAAACACUAGUCUUACAAAAACCUACUCCUAUAGUUGCAUCUAUAUUUAUCAUCCGACAAGAAUCGUUUCAGCGAUUGAACUAGCUCCGUCUCUCUCACAACCACACAGAAAACCCACCGGCCAUUGGCACGGCGGCAUCUCUUGCCCGUCCGGCCGUCCCCAAGAUGCCGCCGUCGAGCCAACCUGGCGCCAACUGACACCACCCGAUGCAGCGGCCGCUGACCUCAGCACUCCCUCCACUGACAAGCGGGCCCCACAAGGAGAUGCCCCACAUGACGUAAGCAGAGGAACCCGAGGAAAACACCGCUCCCACGGGCCCCGCGUGUCGGUGGGGAUCGCAUCGCCGAGGCCGGCGGUUAUGUUUUAAUCGCGCCCGCCGGAAACCGCCCUCCCCAAUAAAACCCGCGCGCCCCUCGCCUCGCCUGCCCCCGCGCCGCGCCGCGACGCGCACCCCGCCUCCCAACCCCACACCACACGCCCCUAAUCGCCAUGGACGCCGCCGGCGGGGGAGGCGCCGUUGUGGCGGGCGGCGGCGCCGACGAAGCAGACGCCGCCUUCUUCUCCCGGCGCGGGCACCGCUGCUGCGGCUGCUUCUGGGCACCGCCGUGGGCGGCGGCCUCCUCGCCGUCCCAGUCCCCGCGCGCGCGCCGCGCGGAACCGGCGGACGAGGAGUGGUGGCACCGCGUCGGGGACGGGGCGGCGUCGGGCCGGCGCCGGUGGUGGCGGCGCGGGGUGGACGCGCUGAUGAAGGUGCGGGAGUGGUCGGAGCUGGUGGCCGGCCCGCGGUGGAAGACCUUCAUCCGCCGGCUCCGGUUCCGCCGCGGCGGCCCCCGCCACGGGGCCGGCAGCGGGAAGCUCAAUUACGACCCGCUCAGCUACGCGCUCAACUUCGACGAGGGCCACGCCGCCGCCGCCGGCGGCGGACCCGAGGGCGGCGACUACGCGGGGUACCUCGACUUCUCCGCGCGCUUCGUCGCGCCGCCGCCGGCCUCCGCCAAGUCAUCCAUGGACCUCGGCGGCCGCGACGCGCCGCCGCUGUUCCUCCACCAGGCGCACUCCCCGCGCACGCCCCCGGCCGCGGCGAGGGGCUGACGUCGGCGCGGCGCCCGGCGUAACCGCCGGCCCUGGCUUCCGUGCCAUUAAUGGGGCGGUGCAGGCGAUAAGGGGGGAGGGGAGGCCGUCGCUUUCGUCCUCUCGGUCGUCCAGUUGUGUUGCUUUUUUGCUUGUGAUGAUGAUGGAGGAUGGUGUCCAUAGGGAGGUCCUUAUUAAAUUUCUUUUUUUUCUUGUCUUUUUUCGCGUGUGAUUUUUGUAAAAUAGAUUGCUACUCUAUACCGUCCAAAAUUGUCACCAUAGCCAUAGAAAUUGUUCAUUCUUGGAGGAAGAGAUGAAACAAGCACAGAGCAUCAUGUUCUAUGAUCAUCCACUGUCAGAAAUUGAGGUGUAGUAGUUUAAGAUGUCAUCAGUAGUGCGUUAGUUUUGCUAUCUUGAUAUGCUUUUGUAACGGCAACUCUUAGGUCCCAUCUCCAUCCGAAAGGCCCUUUUAAUCUUUGCUGAACCAUAUGCCACAAUUGACCGGUUGUCCGGUUUCAUGAAAAAAUUCCUUUUUCCAUGGUCUGUGCUGUAUAAGCAGGGCGUUGGACGGUGCCACGGCUGCAUCUGCUAGUUGAUACCCACACUGUGAGUCUGAAUCUGGGCAUUGGCGUUGCCGACACCGUCCGUGCAAUCGCAUCGCCCAUGUCGCGCACGAUCCCAUGAUCUCGCACCUUGGCAUGCAUCUCGAGCACACAUGCGUGCAGGGUGGUCUUGGUCGAUCCGAUCAGGAGCCAGGCCCGAGCAACAGCCAACAAGUGCCGACCUCGCCGCCGGUCAGGCAACUGGAAUUUUCUGCUGAGUUUCGGUCCAAAGUGGACGAACCAAACUGGUGCGCAUUGACGGGUAGACCGGCGGCCGCCAUCUUCGUCUCCGGCGCCAGCGCGAUCACGUCCAGCGGCCGCCGCCGUCUAGCUUAACUGUUUUAGUAGUUUGCAAAGUAUUUCGACCGGUUUGUGACCCAAGCGUCAUCUUCAGCGUCAUGUCACUCAGCGAGCACGGACGGAACGAAGCAAACCGGUGAUGUGUGUCUACAGCUAUCUACGCUCUACAGAUCACUGGCGGACGGUUUCAGGGAGCGACGCAACUGAACUGAAGAAUCGAAUCGGAUACCGGGUAAUAUUCCGGCUCCUGAUGUUAACAUUCGACCAAUCUGGCUCUGCUUGCUGAAGAAGUUACCAAGAUAAGGUUGCAAGAAUGUUGGCAGUGUCUACUCGCAUGUUACCCUGUAAGUUUUGUCUGUUUUCUCUUGACAGAGUAUUGAGCAUUGACUGAAUAAUUUGUGAGGGGCCGGGGCCCAAACGCACGGCAAAGUGUGAACGAACAAUCAGCCAAUUAUUUGCUCUCUUAUAUGUCCUAAAGUUUCAUGGUUGACGAAUCGUGAUGCCAGCCAAAAGCUUAAAGGUGCUGCCAAACGAACCAGCGAUCAACAGUACCGUUAACAUCGCAGUACCAUCACACACUGACAGCACUGAGAGCGAAGCAAGGUAAGUCGAGCGGUCACGUUGACCUCUCUGACAGCUCUGAGGCGAAACCUGCCGAGUCAAAACUCGAAACAAAACACAUACGACAAUAAUCAUGACAAUUGACAACACGACUGACGACUGCGCAGACCAUCCAUUCAAUACUCCAUCCAUUAAGGCUAUCUCAAACGGACGCCUGUAAAGGGCCCUGUACUCUAUAUAUAUAUAGAGAAAGAUUCCGUUGUCUGCUGCUUCAGCAGCGUUCUUUAGAUGGUCCUUUAAAAUAGAGAACGCUACAGGUUUCCUCUAUAUAUAGAGAUUCUCUCUCCUCUUCUCUAUUUUUUCUUUACGUUUCAAACACUGAAUUAAAUAAAAAUAAAAUAUGUCCAUAGCGUUUGAGGUAUGAUAAAUACGUACAUACAAAAAUUUGGAACAAAAUACGUUUCGGUUUAAUGUAUAGAGAACGAGAUUUAGAGAACGUUGUUGGAGAGAAAUGAGAUAUAGAGGAGAUAAUUUUGUAGAGAAUUCUGUAAAUGAAGGAUGUAGAGGAUGGGAUUUGAAGGAUAUCGCUGGAGACAGCCUAAGUACACCGUCCGUCCUAAAAAUAGUACAACUCUCGAUUUCCGAGUACUCAAACAACUUUAGAUUAACCAAAUUUAUACAAAAUAAUAUUAUUAUUUAUAUUACAAAUAGAUCAAUCAUGUAAUAUAUUUUUAUGUUAAAUAUAUUUAAAAAUAUAAAUAUUAGUAAUUUUUUAUAUAAAUUUAGUCAAACUUAAAACUAUUUGAUUGACUUGUUAAGAAGCGAGAGUUGCGUUCCUCCGUGGAGAGGAGCAGGUCCUCGCGAGCCUCCGGUUAUGUUCAGAUGCUCUUGUCCGUUUCAAUCAUGCCCAAGCCUGGCCUUUACUCAUGAACAGCUGCUUCUGCAUCUGCGUCCGAGAAAGAACAGUGCUCUGUGUGGUCGUAGCGCUGAAAGCUUGGAUGAUACCUGUGCCCACCAAGUUUCACGUCGAGAACAGUAUUUGUGAGUUGUGAGUAGCAAUGACCAGCACCAGCCUUGUGCGACAUGUACGUGAGGUUCUGUCCGGGUAGAAUUAAUUUUCGGUAUGGAUCGUAUCGGAUGUUUAAAUGCUAGUUUGAGAAACUAAAUAUAAGGUAAGUAUAUAACUAAUUGUAUAAAUGAAGAUUAAUUUAUUAGAUGAAUCUAUUAAGCCUAAUUAAUUCAUCAUUACCAUAUAUUUUCCUUUACCAAAUCAUGAACUAAUUAGGCUUAGUGAAUUCGUCUCACGAAUCAAUCUCCAUUUAUGCAACUGGUUUUGUAAUUAGUCUAUAUUUAAUACUUUUAUAAUUAGUGUCCAAAUAUCCGAUGUCACGGGAGUAAACUGAUGAUCCAAACGCCCCUGAAUCAAGACUGUAGCCUUGUGGGACCUCAAGCCUGCAAAACAUUUGAAAUGGAACGAAUCUUUGAUGAGGCUUGUCAAUUGACAUGAACGUGGAAAUGGAGAUCUGGAAGGACAAUCACGAAGCAGCAGUUUCAGGUAUCAGAAACAAACAAUAGUUAUUUCAGAAUUCAGAUCUGGCUAUCAACAGUAACUACUGAAUUAACAAGUGAACGUGGAUCUGUUUAGAAGAGCAAGGACUCUGAGCAUGAGUUGAUUCGGAUCUCGGGUCAGAUCCAGGUGCAAAACGCCAGAUAUAUAGUAGACGGCACAUGAUACCUGCUCAUCUGAUUUAGUGGAGUCAUUUGGUGCAGGCACUCCACACUGCUUUCUGAUUCAAAACUAGCCAAAAGAUGAGUGAAUACAUUACAUGACACUGGAUUCCACUUCACUAAGCACCGUCCUUUUUUAUAUCUCAUCAGCAUACUGUAUCAUGAAACCUCCUUGGUUCCACUUAGCCUGGUCACCGUCUAGUCCACCACCACGAGGUGCAGUAAGCUGAAGGGAGAUGAUUUUCAGUUGGAUACAGAUGCAGAAAAGAGAGCUGACAGAGACCAAAUGGUCACCCCUUCCACAGAGAUGGAGCACCAGCACAAAAGGUGCUGGCUCCACUUUACCAACUUGCCAGCUGAUAUCUCAACAACUCUGUGGAUCUUAAAUUUCAUGGAUUAGGAAAUCAAAUGAUGAAGUUCAUCCUACAAACUGGAAGUGAGAAACAAAGAAAUCAAAGCACCAUUGAGAAACAAAGAAAUCCUCGCCAAAAAAAAGCACCAUUGAGACACAGAUACUAAAUUAAAAUGCUAAGAAUAUAGACAGAUAGGCGUCAUCUGUAAAUAUAAUAGACAAAGAAAUACUGAAUGUAUAAUUUGAGCAUUUUAUGGGCUUCAGGCUGCCCAGGAAUUUCUUGCUGCUCAUUCUAACCUUUCCUCUUUUGUUUGAGUAAAGAGAUUCUUGAAAGAGAGGGUCUAAAAUUCACAAAGUAGUCUUCAAAGGAAAAGACAUUGAGAAAGGUAGCAAAUGACUGACAGGCUAAAAGCAAAAGAAUAUGCUUAAUCAGAGAGUGCAGACUCAAUCAUUAGAAUUUCCUGUACAUAUCAAUCACUAUGCUCACCAGAAGGAUGAAGGCGGGAAUAUCAUGAAUCCAUGGCCUAGUUGCAUGAAUUCAAAAUUUUGGGUGCUCCUACCUGAGCCUCAAAGCUAAACGAAGGCAAAACCAUUGGAUGUUGUGCUGCUCAAUACACUCUUCAAAUACUCACAAAAUAUACAGGAAUUCAGGACCCCUGAGUGGCAGCAGUGACUUCACUAGAGCAUCCGUGGCUGAAAAUGGGUAAGAAAAAAACAUGAUAAAAUUUGUCAAUAUUUGAAACAUCCUCUGUUACCAUAUAAGGAAAAAAAUAUUUUAAGGGAAAAUAAGGUUAAUACAGGACCUUGGUUUCAGUGGUCGAAACAUAUUUUAGUGGCAAUACAUAUUUACCAAGGGAAAAUAAACAGAUUUACCAAUUGCAUCCAAGUAUGAGGAUGUAGAACUGGAAUGCCAGAGAUAAGCCAAAGAAGCCAAAUCCUUCUAUUAGUGUAUGAACAGUUAAUGGUGGCAUGCAAUACUAGCUCUUAAUAGUAAUAUAUGUCUUCCCAUGUAUUCCGGUCAACGAAUGUCAAGACUGGAGAAGGUACAGGUCAAUGUCGACUAUACUCUGAUCAGCACAAAAGAAAUUGCAGAGACAUAAAUUGUAGCAUCAGACCAACACAAAAUAUAAGGAAGACCAGAAUAACAUCAUUCUAAAUCAUCACAAUCUACAUGGUGCAACAUACUAUGCUGGCAUGACUACCAAAAGUUAAGCCCCCGACGAGAUUGACACUCCAAUCAAAAUGACUACAGGUGAGGAAUCAAGUGAGCAACACUAAUAAAAAGAAACAUUAGCUACUAUCAAAGUACACUAGUACAGAGUCAUAUGUUUGAUGUAUCCGCGGCACCUCCUCUCUUCAUCCAUGGAAGGCUCCUGGCAUCCGAACAUUCAUCCGAACCAGCAGGUAGCUUGCCCUUCAGAUUAGACCAUUGCCAAAUCUUCGACACGGAGAAACUUUCCCCUUUGUUCCUCGCGCAGAUCCUCUUCCCCUCCAUAAUAUCAGCAUUGAUCGAACUUAAACCAGCAGGUCUUCCCCUCAUUGCACCACCAGUGCCGUUCCUAACCUGGCCAGGCUGGAGAGCUACCCGGAGCUCAGAAGUGCCAAGAACAUACUGAUAGGUGCCCAUGGAGAAGCAUCUCCUUCCAUCCAGGCUGCUGCUGCUGCUCUCCCCUUGAUCCCUACUCAACACACUGGGAUUGGCAUUGGCAUUGGCAUUGCCACCUUCCACGGCACCCUGGGUUCCGACAUUCUUGAACUUCCCCAGCCUCACGGGGAACACCCUCUUCUCAGCCGCCGGCGUCUGUGCCAACCCUGAAGCCUUCUGCCCAGGCAACCCAAAUCCGUCGUCGCAAUCCUCCGACAGCCUCCCUUCCUCCAGCCUCUCCUCGAAAUCGAACAUUGGGUUGUCGUCGCCCAUGAACCCCGGGGCGAAGAGCACCCCGCGGCAGAGCGGGCAGGUGGAGUUGGAGAGCAGCCACGUGUCGAUGCAGUUGAGGUGGAAGGCGUGGCCGCACAGCGGCAGCAGGCGGAGCCGGUCCUCGGCGUCGAACUCGCACAGGCACACCGCGCAGUCGAACGGCUCCUUGCCGCCGCCGCCGCCCACGACGAUCUCCCGGUAGGCGAAGACGGGCAGCGCGUCGAUGAAGGCCUGGUCCAGGCCGGAGUCGUGGAGGUGGAACAGCUGCUGCAGCUGCCGCUGCAGCGCCGCGUCCGCCCCGCCGGCAUCCCCCCGCGCCGCCGCCGACGACGCGGGGCCCCCUCGGCCGCCGCCGCGGCGGUGCUGCUUCUUCAUGAGGACGCGCACCAGGAGGUGGAGCAGGCCGGAGAUGAAGAACACCACGGCAAGAAUCACGAUGAUGAAGAGCACGGCGGGGCUAAUCUUCCCUCCGCCCCCGCCUCCCCCACCCGCGCCCUGCGCCUGCUGCUGCAACGGCGGCGGCGGCGGGGGCGAGGCGGCGAGGCCACCGUACGGGAGCGCGUCCCUGACGACGCCGGCGCCAUGGAGGCGGCGCGGGGCGGAGGAUCCGGACGAGGACGAGGACGCCGCCGCUUCAGCCAUGCCUGCUAGGACUAGGAGCUCGGAGCGCGAGGCCACCCCAGCAUCUCAUCGGAUCCCGCGGGCCAGAGAUGCGAUCUCCGAGGGAAGGAAAACCCAGCGAUCCCCCCGUCUGGACGAGAUGCGGAGGUCGCACCUAAAAGCGGCGGCCCGGGAAGACGACGAGGCGCUAGGGGCCAAGCGGACUGAAACCCUCGGGACGGGAGCUCUCGGCUGGAGGCGGGCGGGCGAAGCAGCGGAGGGGGAGACGACGGGGGGUAAGAAUCGGUGGAGGGUUCGGCCGCUUUCGCGAGCCGGGUGGGGAGCGGGGAGUGGUGGGAGCGCACGAGCUGGGGCGGCGAAAGCGACGGCAGCCGGAAGGAAUGGUGCGGUGGCGGCUCGGUGGCUUUUGGGUCUGGGCGUUUCCGCAGUGCGUGCGAGGCUGCGAGCGGCGGCUGUGCGCGUCGCUUUCGGCCGCGAGGGCUCGCCCGUUCACAGGGCCGCGCGGCCUCGCUCGCGGACGCGGGGUGCGAGGUCAGGGCCGCCGGGGCGAGGGUACUCGCAGUGGAGCACGGGCCCGUGUGAGUGACCGGCCGGGAUGCCGCGAUGGCCGGCUGCCAUAGGGGUUUUGGACCUUUGGAGGGCCCGGUUUCCCUCUGACAGUCCAAUUCUGGCGAGAUUAGGGUUAGGGUUAGUAAAAAGUGGCUAUAUAGUGAGCUAUGUCGACAUUUUAGCAUGGUUAUGAACUGAAGGUUAGGUUCCCAUCUUGUUGGUUCUAUAGGGAUGCCAACGGAGUACCCUAGCACCAUAUGUGGUGGCGGGUGUGGGCGCGUGUCAAGGCGGCGGAGGUAGGGAGAUCAUGGUGAGCUGGCGAGGCAAUCACCUCGAAUGAUGAGCAUCGUGGUGGCGGCUUAGCUUCGGCGAAUACGAUAGUGGAGUUGCCAAAGACAGAAGUAAGAGAUGUGAAAGCGAGAGGAGGCGUCGGGAGGAAGAAGAUGGAGAAAUAAUACGAUGAGGAGUGCAUCCAAGUAUCAUAUAUAUAUAUAUAUAUUAAACGGCAACUUGGCCAGUCCUCUUUGGAGGUGUCAAGUUAUUCCAUUAUUUUAAAAUUUAAGUAUUUAUGGACACAAAUAGCAAAAUGCAAUCUAGGUAACUUUUCUAAAUAUGAAAAGCUGAGUGAUGCAUUGGUUAAAAAGAAGAUACAGACAGUUGCUCGUAGUGGUCUCUCGAGAUGCUAUUUUACAUGCAAAUAAUUUACCGGAAAGUUUGAAACAUAAUUUAGCUUCUCCUCUCCUCGUUAUGUAUUCAAGGGCUUCAAGCCUGAACAGGAAACUAAAGUAGCACGCUGGCAAAUUCCGGUAGCUAUACGGGCAGCUCAAUUAUAGAUGAUGGCGCGUGGGGGUGGAGAGGAGAAGCCUAGUAGUUUUGGCAGUGGCAAAGCAAACGGGAUUCCUCUGCAGUACUUCCCCGUUACGGGAGCGGGUUGACUGGCUCCGCCACGGACCACGGCCCAGGGUCCACUGUGCCGCAACGAGACGUAACUUGGACCAACCAAAUCGAAGCAGCAGCCCAUGCCUUUCAAAAACCCUGCUUUUACUAGAUGGAGGAGAUGCGGCUUUUCCACUGUGCAUCAACACAUAGAAAGCAGGCCUGAAUUUCACCGGAAAUUCCUGAAAGGCUGAAAGCCGCAACCUAUGUGCCAAGGGCAGGCAUCUGCAAAAAGCCUAUGUAUCCAUAGCGAUGGUUGGUGCAUACUAUCGUUUAGGCCACAGCUGUAUUUUGACCGAAACCAUCAGUUCAAGCUCAACCGAUGGUCUUCAUGCAGGUAGGCAAGUUGAAGAGUUUUUACGUGAAUUCAAGAUGUCUGCAUCCCGGACAAGAGCUAAAGAUAAAACGCAGGUCGGCGGCAGGUCAGCAGUGGCUGUGCGACGAAAAGGUGCGUGCCCUUGAUCUCACCGACCAGUGGCGCCACGGACACGGACAAGCCCGUCCAUGGGCCACGCCAUGUGAUGCCCAGUUAAAACUUAAAACUAAGCGCAACUAUGCAGAGCGCCACCGCGUCGCUGCCGCAAGAUGGCAUCGAGACCAGAGAAUACUUGUGACAAAGGAUGGGGGAUAAUAGAAAUAUAGUAGAAAGUGACAGUGAUACAUCCGAAACAACUCGUACGAUAACCAGAGUCCCAAACUCUCCAUUGCAUUUUCGAUGAUGAGUUCACGAUGGCAGGCUCGGGACCACCACUUCCCAGGCUAGGCUGCGUUUUCUCCGCGUUUAUCAGCAAAUUCAGUCAUGCAAUGAUAGACCAACAGUUUGGCUGAGUGGAUUGAGCAGGAGUGCCAACAUCGGGUCCUGGGCAUCGUAUACACCGAGAUCAAUCGUGUUUGUACAACCCAACCAUUGUUCGGUGAGGGACGCAGCCUCCCCGUUGCAGCUCACUUUGUGCGCUGAACCAACCCAUUCUCAGUCAAGUAUUCCACAAAUUCAUCUAUGAGGUAGGGCCAAGCACCUUCGUCGUCAUAGUUGGAUAGCUGUGGAUCAAUCGACUGCAACAAAACAAAAAUUAAUAAUUUGCAAGAAUAAAAGGCAAGAAAAUCAUGGACACUCGAACUUGAAAGGAGAUAUACUGAUGUGGAACAAGACUUCAGGUUGCUUCUGAGCGAUUUAUUAGUUGCUCAAAGCUUAGCUUGACAUCAGAAAUGCAGAUUACAAAACUAUAUAGCAACUACAGUCAAGGACAUCAGCUAACCACCUGAGUUGUAUGGAUUACUUCUCAAUCAAGUUUAUCUGCUAGAUUGUGGCAUCACAACUAUCUAAAUGCAUUAUACUCGCAUUCACACUGGGCAUCUAUGAUAACCACAAGCCACAACAGAUAAAUUGAAAGGGAGGUAAAAUGGACAUAAGUACCUUUACAAAUUCCAGCAGCUGGGCCCACGUGUCUCUAGAUAUGGCUUUAUUGUGCCUGACCUGAAAUUUGAAGAGCCCAAGAUGAGCAACAGUAAUGCGGGAUGCCAUUAACUUUGAGAAUGAAAUUAGUGGAACUGCCUGACUUAAGUUAUACCUGUAAAAACUGGCACCAAUGAUCCAGAAGAGGCCAGUUCCUUUCAGCAAAUAGCAACUGCCACAUCCCAAUGGCAGUCUCCAGUGAGAGAGACUUUUGACCCUGUCAAAUAAGGGAAUAUGUUACAUAAAGCUUCAUAGAAAAUAUCAGUAUAUGCAUACUGUUUUAUGAAUGAUGGAAAACUUGCCAAUGACCAACAGAUACGAGCAGCCACUGUGAAAACUGAAAGAAAUAUUCUGCAGUUAAGGCUAACCUUUUCUCUUGCCCAAGUGAACGCGAAGUUGUAUAUCUCACGAAACUUAUCUGGGUGAGAAAAGUGUAAACACACCAGUUGGAUAUGGAAAAUAAAAGGAAAUCAUUUCACUCCACACACCAAUUCUAAAGAAAAGGACACCCUUUUGCCGUGAAUGGACUUUCUAUACAUUGCAGAAUAACUUUCGGAACUAACACGAGGCCGCAUCUAACUCCAACAAGUAAAACAUUAUCAAGUUUUGCUUUAAAAAAGUAAACUCACUGUCAUCUUUGAUCUCAGCUCGUAAUGAUGGCAACUUUGCACGAAAUUUCUCGAUUGAAUCUACCCUGCAAAUAACAACUAGACUUACUAAAAGAACCAUAUAAAUGAUCGAUUCAGGAUAUGGAUCAACUUCAUAUUGGAAUAUUGCAAUUGCAAACAGCACUUACCCAAUAGACUGCAGUCCACCAAUGAAUUCCUGGCGAGUAAAUUCACACAUUGUUGCGGCUUUCAUGUGCCAUGAUAUGACAAGCUGUUAACAGCACAGAGGACUAUAUGACUAAGACCAAUAAUGAUCCAAAGGUGGCGGUGUUGAAUUAAAUAGACAGAAUAAACGUUAAAAAACUCGACCAGGGAGAAAACAUCCCCUUGGCUUGUCUUAAGAGUACCAAACCCUUUCGAGACAUACUCACACGACCUGCGAGCACCCAGGCUGGAACCAGGAUGGGCAGCCUCUCAACUGGAAGCUCUACCAACCAAGCUAUCACACGGUUUUCACAGAUAGAAUAAGGAUAUCAUUGCAACUUAUUUUUCUGUGCAAACACUACAUCCAACAUAAGUAAAACCAACUCCAGUGGAUCAGUUCAUACUACUAUAUCUGCCACAAAACUAAUUCGCAAUCAAACUUAGUAAAAAAAUAACAGAUCAUUUCAGAAGAAGCUAAGCACAUACCAUGACAAUAUCCUGAGGAUCCACCUGUGAAAUAAAGAUGAAAUACAUUCAUCAGAAAUAUAUAAAAAAGUAGGUCCGAAUAAUAGGCAAUGUAAGGUUACUAAACAGAAGGCAUAUUCCCUGCGACAGUAUAUAUGGCAACCCAUAUAAACAAUAGCAAUUUGUGUUUUUAAAACCCUCAUGAGAUAUAGAUAGUAGUAAAUGGCAGUUCCAAACUAAAAAAAAUCACAAAUCUAUAAUUCAGUCUAGAUCAUUUGCUAGAGACAAGCGCAAAGCGAUGACCCAAUAAGCCAACAUAUACACAUACUAUAAAGCCAGUCUAAUCUAAAAUCUGAUCCCUAGUGCCAAAGAAAACAAUACUAUGGAAGAAAGAUCUAUUUCUUCCACAGCAUUCAAAUAAAUUACAACAAUUGAAACAAAAAUCAGUUCCUUGCCCAAUGCAUAAAUAUAUGCUAAAUUUCUAAAUAAGUAGUCCCUCCUCCAUCUGAUUGCAUACAUAAAAAUUAUAAAUAUGCUGCCUUGGGUCCAUGCUAAUAAAAAAACUCCUAGCUUGUGUAUCAAUACACAACAAAAGUAUGUAGAUUGGCCACACGAAAUUGGUAUUGUUGAAUCAAUAAUGGGUAUAGUUUCAUUAUCGUAUUUUAUUUUUGAAAUUUUGAAAACAUUUAUGAUAUCAAUUAAAGGUCAAAAUGCUACCUCAGAGACAAUGUCAAUGUCCUAAUUUUCUUUUCUACUUGCAGCAAAAUGGAGUAAGCACAACAUAUGCCUAUGGGCGGAAAUCAAGUGAGUAAAAAGUGAACGUAUAUUUACAGAUGACAAUAGCUGCUCCUUACCUGCAGAUCAUUGCAAAGUUGAGAUAUUCCCUCCACCAUGAUCAUAUCAGCAUCAGGUUCUGCAACAAAACCAAAAUACAUCAUGAGAUCCUAAUCAAAAACAAUCACAACAGGCAAGAGAACCUUCCUCAAAGAAACAAAACAAAAAAAAAAGGUUAAUGUAUGUGUCUUGGUCUCAUGGACCUUUUUGUAUUGCAUCCUACACAACAGUGUGGGAACAUGGAAACAUAUCAGUACGUUACUAAGGGAAUUAAAUUUAAAUCUUAUCUAAGCCAAUGGAAAUUGAUACCUUUGUAUCUAUUAAAAAUGUCUUCAAGAUGCCGAGUAUUGACCGCAGAAAUCUGAGGUUGGCUAUAGAAGAAGUCAAAAGCUCCUUCCAAGUGCCAAUCACUAGCUUUCAGUGCCUGAAGGGCAACCUUCUCACUGCAUCAGGUGAUGAAAAUUGCUUACUAAAAUUGUGAUUAAUGAACUCCUAACUCCAUUUGUUGAAUACAUCAUUACAUUUUUAAUUCUCAAAUGAUGUUUUAAAUAACUAGAGUCAUUGGGCCCCCAUCUAUUUUAACAUUCCUGAUCAAUAGGUCUUAUGCACCGAAAUUGAGGUUUUCUAUAAAUUGCCAGCAUCAAAAUUCAUCUAGUCAACUACAUCUAUAAAUUGUAAGCAACAACAAUAAUUGAUGUUAUAGUGCCAAAAUAAACAAAUAUUUGUUAGAAACAAGAUGUCAAGGCACCAAAUACAUUUGAAAUUUGCAUUCCAAAGCUAGUACGAUUUUUAGGCAAGUAUAUGCCUACAAGAGAUGAGACAAAAUGCAGAAUACUUGCAUAGACAGCAACAACUUGGGUUUCUUUAUGAGUACUAGAUGCAAGUUGGAUGGCCCAGAACAGCUACCAAAUUUUUUUAACAUAUAUAUUAUGACAAGAACUAAAUUGCAUCUUAGAGCAGAAAAUGCGCAUCAUGCAUGGAUCGGCAGAAAAUUUAUUGCAAUUGGAACAUUAUGAUGCACAAUCUCAUUUAUGAUUUAGACCAACGCAUCAGCCACUGAACCACCUAAUAUGGUAGCUACGUUGCCAAUGGCCACAAUAAUUCGAUACCCUAGGGUCCACCGGUAAAAUCAAAUUCAACAGCAAUUAAACAACCGCACCUCGCGCCGGUUAUGGUCAUGAACUGCUGCACCUUGUCGCGGUUUCCUCUCCCCAGCUUAUACUGCACAGCGCGCGCGCAUAGCACCGAAUCAGCAAUAUUAUCUUUUCAAAGAAAAGAUCAGAUUCCAAGAGUUCACACAUCGGACUAGAGAAGUUAACCCACGAAUCGGAGCCGUGAAGCGAUAAGAGAACAUCGGCGGCGGCGAUUCCCGCACAGGCCGAUUCAGCUACCGAAAAAUCUCACAAAAAAGUGGGGAGGAGAUCGGGGGGAACAGCACGAGCGGAACAGGGGCAGGCGGUAGAGACCAGAGACUCACCAUCUUGGAUCGGAGCGCGGGGAGGACGCCGGGGAGGGGAAGGGGCGGCGCUAGGGGUGGGGUUUCGCGGAGAAGCUCGAGCUGUUGGCCUCUAGCGCUCUCUCGCCGCCUCGCCCCUCCUUUUUAUUCCUCUCUCUCUCUCUCUCUCUCUCUCUCUCUCUGUGUGGAUGAACGCUGAGUGCUGACUCUAAUCCAGCGUGGCGUGUGUACGCAGACGAAGACCUGGCCCGAGCCGAGGAGUGGAAUGACCGAAAUGCCCUCUCGGCGAGGACGACCGGACGAGCCCUAGUCGAUUCUCGCACAUUUCGGAUGCACCAUCAGAUUUGUGGUUAGCCCACCUUCAAUGUUUGAUCUAAUGUACUAUACGUUAUUCAUUUUAUAGAAAAAAUAUUAAAAGUUUCUAAAAAAAGAGAAGAUAGUAAAAAUAUUAUCUUUAUAGUAAUUUACCAAAUAAUAUAUUGCUUAAAAUAUCUUGGAUGUUGCAACCUCGAUCUAAUCUCUCUUUUAUGAAUAGAGUGUGGAGCUCACUUUCUCUCAUGCGAUCUACUCCAACAAUGACAAGUUAUCUAGCUCAUAAAAUCCAACUCUUCAUUUUACUUACAUCGAAGAAAGGUAAGGUAAGAAAAGUGAGUGUAUUAUCUCUUAUUCAAGAACUACCUCAUAGAGAAAAAAUGAGCUCCACGCCUCCACACUUUAUUGAGAAAAUAAAGAUUAUGGGUUCCAAGAUAUCUUGAACAAUAUGCUAAAAACUAUUAGAGAUAUAAUUUUUUUACUAGUUCUUCUAUAAGGUGGAUAAACUUUAAACAAGUGCGCUAGUUCUUCAAGAAGCCCUAAUCUUCCGUCCCACAACUACAUAUCGUUUAGCUAUAAAUUAUCAUUUUGUUACCCACGCGGAGAGGAAAAGGAAUUCUACCUAUUCUGCAUCCCAGAGGCUAUGUCCGUCUCACGUCUAUUUCUUUUUUUUUUCUUUUCUAGCAGCCCAUCAUGAUGAGAAGGGGUUGUAGGAGCCGGCAGGAAAAUACAAACUAACGUGUGCAAAGGAUAUCAAACUCGGACCUUAUACUUGGAGGUGAAGUUCACUACCACUAUUCUACCUAAUUAUUUGUGUGUUUUGAAAUAAAAGCUCCCCUAUAAACUGUUCCCAUCAGUAGUUACAAUAACGGAUUAUUCUAACUUUUUUAUUUUAUCUUUUUUUUGUAAUUCUUUUUCUUCUGUACUAUUAUACUUUAUCUUAAAUAUCCUACGAGCAUGCAUGCCAGCCGUCUCGAGCUCUCGUUCUACCCUGUUAAUUGAUAUGGGCUCGUUAUAUUUAAAUAUCCUACCUACCACAAAUUAAGACUUGACAAAGAAGAAUAUAAGUUUUAUCGGAGGGUUGGCCUAUGUCACGCGUGAGCUAUAGCAUGUCAACGGUCUUGAGUUCUUGACCUCUAGCGCUCUAUUGACGCCUCCCCUCCUUUUCAUUCCUCUGUCUUUCUCCCUAGUGCCAUGUGAAUGAAUGGUGAGUACUCAUUCCACGAGCAACAAAUAGAUUGACAAAAAUGAUUCCCUUUCCUUAUAAUAAACUGGUAUGAAGGGAAUGAAUGGGCUAAAAAUAUGCUCUAGCAUACUGAGAAAAAAAUUUCUUUAUAUUUUUCUCAAUUGAGAAAACUUAUUUCCCUCUCCCCUUUGUAAAGGGGAUUGACCCUCUCUUCCCUUUCCUACCCGUUUCUCCCUUUUCUUCUCCUGCACAGCAUCUUCUUCUUUUGCACGUAUUUUUUUGCGCUGCCCUAGCUUACUUCCCUUCACUCACCUUGCCUUGUUGCAUUACGCAAGAUCGUCAGCAUGGCGAUCAUCGAGCCCUACGCCUGCACUUGGGCUGCCCUGCUGUUGUUAGUCAAAUCCAAGCCACCGCCAUGCUCGGGCCACCGCCGGGAGCUCAAUCAGGGUUAAUUCUAGCAGUCCACCGAGGCAGAUUGUUUGCAGGGAAUCGUUGGGUCUGGAACAUAAUGGUGAGCACAGACACACAUAGAAUAAUUAACCAGGUUUGGGCUAUUAAAUUGACGUAACACACUACGUCAUGUGCUAGAGUUUGUAUUCUCAUGGUGAUGCACAUUGAAUAUGGCAUAGAUUUUUCUGAGAAGGUACCUACCCGCCUUAUAUACUCAGGGGUAUGAUUACAAGUCAUUUUAGAUCUAAUUCUAAUCAGUUACUAUCCUACAAUGUGAACGUUACAUGACAAACCCUAUAGCCCUACUGAAUUUGGCAUAGGAGGUGUGUGAUGACCAUUGCAAAGUAAUUGGGUGCCGAAGAAGUUUUUCUUUACCCUCAAGAGUGCGCUACAGACCAGCGCGGUGGGCCCCUCGCAACGCAAGCUUCUCCACCACCGCGGGCUCAACACGUUGAGUAUGGGCCGCUGCCUGCACAUGAAUGGGGCAUCUAUAAUGGGGAUGUCUCCUUAAGUCAAGCUCGCUGCCAACUGCCCAAACAUGUCCAUGGAUGGAGCGGCGACGGGACUGGGUGAACCAGCUUGGCAGGUUGAUGCAAUGGGCCACAUUCUGUUGCGUGGGCGGAUGGUAGCAUCCUCGGUUGUGUUCUUGCCCGCCAAUACGUCACCCUUUCCACAGUCGUCGUCCACCUGUACAGUUGUACCCAACUCUCUCUUGCACCAUAUGCCAGCGCUGAGAGGAUCUGCCCAGUGUCGGCAGCCGCCUACCAUCACAUAGACCCAACCACGCUCAUCAUUAACGGCAAUAGCUCUAGCUGUGGAGGCAUCCAUCUACUUUGUCUAUGCAGAUGGAUCGAAUACACCAACGUAGUUAUAGAGAUAGAGUGGUCUGGCCGGCACCAUUAAUCCGGUGGUGGCCGGAUGUCUUCACCCCACUCUCACAAUACCUCCACUGGACAGCCUCUCCCGCUGCCAUCGCCUUCUGCUUGCUGGCAGCUGCACCGGCUCGGCUUCAUCGUCACUUCAUCUGGCUGAACCCUAUAGAGAUGCUCGGUUGGUUCCUCCCUGCAAACGUUGGAGCCAGCACAACAGCCUUCUAGUUGUACAUUCAUUAGUGCGCAUUUUAGUUGAUGUUUCCUAUGAAAAGUAGAUUUCUUUGACGCCGAACUGUUCUGCACGUUCGGUUUUUAUUCAUAUUUUGAUCUGCGGAUAGUUUAGGUGUACCAGGUUUGGUGGUAUGGAGGUUAGCAAACUGUUGUAUAGGUGAACACCGAUUCUGUCCAUCUCUAAUGGAGAUAUUCAUGAAUCUUUAUUUGAUUCCAUUAAUGAUCGGUGCAUGCUAUAUUCUUACUAAGGAAAGGCAGCUUGUGUCAAGAUAUCUCCAAGCUCCAUUCUAACUUGAGCUCAUAGGGGUGGAUCUGGGGGUGCAGGGGCUGACCCCACCCCCCCCCCCCCCUCCUCGAGCUGGUGCAUCAAUGGUACAAUGGGAAGGGUGUGUGGGGGGAGGGGGGAGAGAGAGAGAAAGAGGGAAAUAAAUAAGAAAAUUGGAGAGAUUGAGAAGGAAGAAGUGAAAGCGUGAAGCAGGAACAGAAUUGCACGCGAUAGCGAUGCCUUUAUCAUUCAUUUGUUAGUAUAGUCCGUGUGCAGCAGGAUUAUAACAGAAAAUAUCUUUAUAGUUGUUUGACUAACAAACUACAACAAUCUCUAAACAAACUCUUGUUACAAGCCGGUAGCCUUCUUCAGCAGAGCAUGCACAUAUAUUCUGACAGCCUCCCGCAGUCUCAACUAAGGAGCCGGGCGAAUGGUGAGACUGCAUCAAAAAUCAGUGAACAGAGGGGUCGGUAAACCUUUCGUGAAGAUGUCCGCAAACUGAAAAUGAGAUGGAAAAUGAAGGACAUUGAUGUCACCGAGAGAAACUCGUUCACGAACGAAAUGAAGAUCCAUUUCCACAUGUUUUGUGCACUAGUGAUGGACAGGAUUAGUGGAAAGAUAUACAACGCUAAUGUUACCGCGCUGGAGAGGAUAGUGAAGCUCACGGAGGAGCUGACGAAUCCAGCAAGCUUCGACGACUGCGUUUGCAAUGCCACGAUAUUCUGCUUCCGCACUAAACCCGGAAAAAGGUAUUUUGACGUGUGGAGGACCAAAAUAUGAGAUUGUCAUCAAGAAAAAUACAGGACCCCAAAGUAGAUUUGCAUGUAUCCGGGCAGCCAGGCCAAUCGGCGUCGGCAUACGCAACAAGAUCACGAGAAGAACACCGGGAUAGGUGCAGACCGAAGGAGGGGGUACCACGAAUGUAUCUGAGUAUACGCUUGAUGAGAGCAAAGUGGGGUUCACGUGGAUCAUGCAUGUACAUAUAUUCUUACAAGAAGGAGCUCAGCCUCCCCUCCAAUGCUUUGCUACAUCUGCCACUGCAUAAUAUAUAGUGUAUCUGGCAAAUAGGUGUUAUGGUUUCGCCUUUCGACCAAAAAAAGUAUUGUUAAAUUAAAGCAGCAAAAGAGGUUAGCUCUAUUGACUUCACAAUGAUGCUAACUAGCUCCAUUUCUACUUUUUGCAUCCCACAUUCAGGAUGCACAGGUAUAUUGUAUGUGUUCAUAACUUGAUUUCAUUCCACACUGAUUAGUUGCCUUAGGUCCUGAAAAAACAUAUCAAUCCAGCAGGUUCUUCAGGUGAGCUCAGAGUUCCGCGGAGCUGAAAACAUUUUUUUCUCCAUCUUUCUUUGUUGAAAGAUCAAUACAUUAUUUUAUUAAGCUCCUUUUAGAUACAGUUUGUUUUAUCAAAUUCUGUUUAUACAUAUUACAUUGUAGUCAUAUGUUUAUUUAAUUUGUUUAGCUGAUCAUGUUUGUAUCAGUUUUGAGAUGAUUUAAUCAUACAGAUUACAUGCUUAAAUUAAAUUUCUUUUGUCUCGAAAUAUUCUUUUGCACUAAAGUCUGCAGUAUUGAGCAAAUGCCUUAAUGCUCAGUUGCUUGCGACAUAAAUACAACCUUACAUAUUACUUUUUUUGUUGACUUUAAUUCUGUGUGAAGGUGUAUAUUGUUUGCUCUUUAAGGUAAGUCCCUUAUUCUGCAAGUACAAGUAAAUUUUCAAGGUAGACUGUUUUACAAAGAGCUUUAGAACAAUGAAUUAUGUCACUGAUAGUAAGGGUGUUGAAUUAGUUCUAUAUAUUAACCUGAUGUCCAUACCUGCAGUGGUAACUAGCACUAAGGUCUGUCUGCCUGAACCUUUCACAUAAUGCCCUGUAUUGAUGUUCAAAAAUCAUAUCUUCAAUUACUGUUGCCAUUGUUAAGUACCGAGAAUCAUUGUCAGUUGUCACACAUUGAACACUUCGGAGUACUGGAAUUCGUUCAACAUCGUGGUAAAACGAUGCUUCUGUUGCUCGUCAUUUUGCUCUCUUCUUUCUUUUUCCUGAGCCCUUUCUCAUCAGAUCAGAUAGAACAACAGAAGAAGAUUCCUCCUCCUGUUAACAGGGUUAAACUGUGUGGAUUCGGAUUGGUGUAUCCGAAUCCGGCUCUUUCGGCCGGUGACAAACAAGGUAAGAUAAUUAUUUUUAUUGCUUACUGCUACUCGGAUUCGAAAUCAUCGCCUCACCAUCCAUAAAUACAGGAGCUAGAGCGCGCCUUUGCCGUGAUCCAUCAGGCGUGCGGGUGCGGCCGUACGGAGACAGAAAGGGGGAGGGAGACAUACGAGCCACCUGAUCGAGGUGGGGCUAUGUCGAAGCGCAAGGUUUCGGAUGAUCGCCGCGGCGACUGCGCCGGCAAGCGGCCAAAGCAGGCGAAGCAGCAUCUCUACCUGCUGCUGGACGACUGGGAGAGGGGCAGCGUCCGCAAGUUGGACGUCGACACCUUCGACUCCGACGCCGGCACCGACCUGCUCCAGCCGAGGCAUUUCACGGAGCCGCCGGUCGCCCGCAUUGAGGCCCUGCACGAGAUUUCCUGCGGCUUCAUCUCGCACGGCACCAAGAUCUUCGCCAUGCAGCCCGGGGAAGGCAAGCCAGCCAUCCCCGCCUUCGACACGCACGAGCUGGGCCUGACCAUCUGCCUGUGGCCCUCCUGCCGAGGGAACUACGUGAACCGACCCCUCUUCGCCUCCGUCGCCGGCAGGCUCUUCAUGUUCACGGACGUCCUCGCGGAGGCGCUCGGCGACCCGCCGCCGUACGACAGCAAGGCGCCGUGGUCCUGGACAACCAUCAAGGCGCGACCGCCGUUCUUCACCGGCCGAGUACUUUGCCACGCACUGCACCCGGACGGCCGCACACUCUUUGUGUCCGCAGGCUCUCGGUCUCGGCAGCGGAACUGCGAAGACUCCCCGGAGCAAGCAGGGCAGGGGGACUGGGUGCUGCCUUUCUCUGGCGAGGCCUACUUCGACGCCGAGUUGGAAGCGUAGGUCGGCCUCUGCGGCGAGAGGAACGGCGACGGGUGUUUCUGCGCCUGCGACGUUGCCCCCGUCGCCGCCGAGUUCACGAGCGCGCCGGCCUGGAAGCUAGGCCAGGAUAGGCUGUUCCGGAAGGGGCCGCAGUUGCAUCUAGGUGCCAAGCUCCUCUACAUGGGCGACAGCAAGUUCUGCCUCGUCGAGUCCGUCCUCCACAAGGAGGACGACGACCGGCUAGUCGCCUAGUACGUGACUCCAUCCACGAGUUCGACCUCGACGCGCAGUGCCCAUGGCCACGCCGGCGUGUGCUCCGCAUGACCACGUUUGGCCUCAAGUACAAUAAGAAGGGGAGCUGCGGACCAAGCUGCGAUGAGCUGGCGCGUGUAGGGUUUAUAAACGACCUCAUGAUUUUGGGGAAUCAUUGGACCGUUGCCCUUGGGCAUUCUGGCUCUAAGGGCUUUCGCGUACGUGUUUGGACGGGUGCACGCGUUCCCUGCGGAUCUGGAGCCGGCGGCGGUGGAGCUCGGUGGUUCUGCUGGUUCGGACAGGGAAGAAAGAAAGCGAGAGAAAAAGAGAUUGGAAGGAAAACGAGAGGCGAGGCUGAGGAGAUUGAAAGCGGGCAAGACCGGUUCAGGUCUCCGUCGGUCGUUCGAAGUCAACGAAAUUGAUUCGAAUUAACUUGCAAUUUCGAAAGUAAACUUAACAAAAA
This 133129-nucleotide long non-coding RNA is filed under the name Panicum hallii. RNAcentral's name for it is "long non-coding RNA (PHAL_LNC000456)". The record is from RNAcentral. Lineage: Eukaryota; Viridiplantae; Streptophyta; Magnoliopsida; Poales; Poaceae.